AUUAAAAAAGUCACUAAAAGUUUCUUAAGGAAAAGUGACAAAAUCCCCAUCUUAUUUAGCAACAAAAUUAAAAUCAAAGAGGGGGAAACCCUCACAACUCUCUCACAGUUAGACAUAAAAUCUUGCAUGGACCACUAAAACCUGCCAAGACCUUAGUAAAAUGGGUGCCGAAAUGCUCCUAAAAUAAGACUAUCCGGUGAAAACGAUCACAAUGUACUACACAAACGCAUGAAACACAUUACAAUCUCUUCAUCCGUGGCGGCACUAAACAUGAUGCUGCGAAUGCGCCCGUCCGACACAAAGGGGGACGCACGAUCUUCCUCCAUUGCCAUCAUCUUCGACCACUCCAAAACCUAGAAACAAGAAUGCGUCGCAAUCCAAUUAGGGUUUUCAACCUAAAACAAAGACCACAUGGAGGAACCCUAGAGAGACAAUGCAAAUGAUUCGACAAGGGGAAAGAGCGUGAAGGAUUAACCUAGAUUCCCCCUCUUCGGAGAUCGUCGAACACAACCGUAGAGCAGGAGAGAAAACCCGACUCUCUCUCCUCUGGCUCUCUCUCUCCGUGAGGGAGAGAGGAGCGGGGGUUCGAGAGACAAGCAGAGAGGGAGGCUAGCCGUCGUACGAAGGAGACGAGCGGAUGGAGCGAAGGAGAGAGAGAGUGUGUGUGCGUUGUGUGCGGUGGGAGGGAGGCAAGGAGGGAGUGUGUUGGAGAAGGGGGCGGAAAGGGAAGAGUUGAGUUUUAGGUGAGGAGUUUCCAAGUUGCGAAGGGGCGGGUACAAUCACCAGGCUGGUGAUGACAACAUUCCGAGAAUUUUUUUUAUAAAUAAUCCUAUAUAAUUGUAAAAAUAGUUUUUAAAAAAAAUAAUUAUAAAAAUAGAUUUCUAAAUGCGGUGAAUGAUUCACCGCAUUCAUAACUCCUAUUUAGGUGUGAAAUAAAUGAAAAAAAGAAAGAAAGCGGUGAAUGGUUCACCGCUUUGCUUUUAAAAGCGAUGAACCAUUCACCACUUUCGUAGGACCAUAUUUAUAAAUAAAAAUUUAACAGAAUUAUUUUUAGAAUAAAAUUUUAGAAGAAGACUAUUGCACUAAAAAUCCCACAUUUCGAGCUCACACUUGAAAUGAGCGUUUCAAGGGGGGUUUGGUCUGGUCUGGAUUAUUUUCAUAGAAUUACAAAUAAUUCUAAUAGAAUUACUGUAUUUAAUUUAUCUAAUUUAUAAUCAGAUCUGUAAUAUGGUAUUACAAAUGAUGUAAGUUUACACGAAAAAUACUACAGAGUGGGAGGUAGGUAUCUCGGAUUAUUGAAGGUGGAUAAUCGUGCAUAUUAUGUUAAAUUAAAAUUUACCCCUCCAACCUUCCAAACUCUUUUAAUACAUCAUUUUUAAAAUUUUUAAUUAAAAUUUUGAAUUGUCAAAUUUUUAAAUUUUAAAUUUUAAAUUUCAAAUUUAGAUUUUAAAUUUUAAAUUUUAAAUAAAUUUAUAUUUAUUAUUUAAAAAUUAAAAUUUUAAAACUAAAAUUUUUAAAUUUUUAAAUUUCAAAAUUUUAUUUUAAAUUAAAAUAUUAUAUUUUAUAUUUUUGGAUUUAAAAUUUUUAAUUUUUAAUUUUGAUUUAAAUUCAAAUUUUAAAUUAUUUUAAAAUAAAAUUUAAUAAAAAAUUAUUAUUUGCUUAUUAAUGGAAUUAAUUUAAGUGUAAAUUGUAUUAAGUUAUAGUUUAGUUAAUAAUGAUAUUGAAUAUGACCAAAGGCGAUUUAGGAAUAAUUUCCAUUUUAUUGUCAAAAUUACUGAAUUUUAUAAAAUACACCAAAUAUAGUAAUUCUAUAUACACUAUAAUUCAGUAUUAUAUUACUGCAUUAAACCAAAUGCAGUAAUGCAAGAUCAGUAGUAAUCUAAUUCAAAAAUCUCAAAUGCAUGGGUACAUCGAAACCACUUGUAAUACAAAAAUGCUCUAUUUCAGUUUUUUUUAAUUGAAAAAUGAUUAAUUGUACACUCCUAUUUGGGGUAUAUAUCUUACACUCCAAAUAGAGGUGAUUAAGAUUAAAUAGAAUUUUAUUUUCAAUGAAUGAAGCAGGUAGCGUGCUACCUUUUCUCAAAAAAAAAGAUUAAAUAGAAUUUUAAGUGCGUUUUAUUCUCAUCCUGCCUUUAUUUCGUUUCACACCUUUUCCUAUUGCUUUCUCCUAAGCUCUUUCUCUCAUGCACUCUAGGAAUCCUAGCAUCCAACCUUCUCAGAGCUUUCUUUUGCUCUCGUCUCUCUUCAUCAGUAGGAGCUCGUCUCUCGUCGCUUGUAAAACGCUCCGCUACUAUGACGCCCCAACUUCCCAGGAGUUACCCAUCCUAGGACUACUCCCGUCCUAGCACGCUUAACUCUCUUAACCUUUUGUGCCUAGCCACCACCCAAAAUGCUUAAGUCGGGUUUAAAGUAUUAGCCCUAUUAUAUCAUAUAUAUAUUGGAUUACUUGGAGUCUCUCAUUCUCCCUCUCUUUAAGUCCUGACGUUAUUGUCAAGCUUAAACUCACAAGUACUAGGCGAUGUGAAACUCGUCCUAGCCUAAAUCGACCUUGUGGUAAGUUGUGCUCCAUCCACAACAGUCAAUAGUAUAAGAGCCUCGCUCUCCGCUGUAUAAUCCUAACUCAGCCGAAACUCAUCUCACACUUCCGGCUAGUAAUUGGUUCUGAUACCAACUAUGACGCCCCAACUUCUUAGGGGGCCACUCAUCUUAGGACUAUUUCCGUUCUAGCAUGCUUAACUCUUUUAACAUCUUAGGCCUAGCCACUUGUCGAGGACUUAGAAAAAUUUCUAUGUAGCCCGGUCCCUGGCCCAAAUCUGCUUAGUGAGUUCGGGUUGGAAACGGGUUGAAUCGGGUUGUCAAGGAGACCCAAACCCAACCCGCUGUGGAAAACUCAAGGGUUAUGAAACUCAUGGGAGUUAUGGGUGACUCUUGAACUUUUGGCUAUUAUGAGGGCACAUUAUGUAUGCAAUAGUAUGUGAGUUAUGUGGCUAGUAGGUGAGUUAUGAGGGCUCAUUAGGCCUAUAAAUAGUGGGGUUGGCUAAGGCCAAGAUACACAAGAGAGAUUGUGUUGUAUGCUGUAAUCUCUUUUUCUAAAUAGUGUAGUACUUAGUUUUUUUUUAGAAAACAUCUGUCUCUUUCUCUUGUUAUUUUUCCUUUGCAUACUUAGUUGUAGGACGCGAAAGUCCGGGCUAGCAAUAGGGACAAAGGCUUGUCCAUCGUCGAGCAGGAAAGGUAGGCGCCGCACGGGCUUUGCGAAUGAAAACACUAAGUCCGUGACAUUUUAUAUCAGAGCCGGUUCGAGCGAGGAACCAUGUCGUCAUCUGAUGCGGGAAUCGUCGACGUUGGGGGCGAACCUCCAAAGCAACCCUCCAAGUGAAACAAGAGCAAAGACCCUGUAAGGAAGUGAAUUCUCGAAAUCUGAGAGUUAUACUUCAUUUAGAAUUUGCUACUUGUCGAGUGGGUAUGCUUCGAAAAGUGCGAAGACAUCAAAAAAUGCAUAAAGUGCAUUGAGGAGGACCCGCGAGAGCAAGCUGUGCAAAAUCUGCACAAGUUGCAGGUUUUGUGCUAUCGGGGACCGGUCCCCUCCUCCCUCUGGGAGGGGACCGGUUCUCGUAAGCAUGUGGGGGUUGAGUUGAUGCUCAACCUGCCCAAGUUGCUUUCGGGGACCGGUCCUCCUUAAGAGGGACCGGUCCCUGUACGCGUGUAAGGGUUGAGCUAAAGCUCAACCUGGCGGAAUUGCUCUCGGGGACCGAUCCUCCCUUAGAGGGAUCGGUCCCCGUAGCCCGAAAUGCCUAAGUAUGGGCUGUCACAAAGUUGGAAAGUUGAGGGGGUUUUCAGCAAUUGUGCAUUAUAAGUGUUGCUUGGGGGCUACUCCUUUCUCAUUUUCCCUUACACCUAACCCUAAUAGCUCUCUCUCUCUCUCUAAGUGCUCUUCCCCUCUCUCUAGAAGGUGAAGGAGGAGAGGGCUUUGGUGAAGACUAAGAUCAAGAGAAGGAUCAUCUUCUUCUUCUUCUUCCUCUUAGGCUUGGAGGCUUGGAAGGUUCAAACUCUUUAAUGGCAUAUCUCUUGGAUUCAUCUUUUAUACCCUAGAAUUGAUUUAGAUGGGACCUAAUGGUGUUAAUUAGAGGUUCGAUACUAGACUCUAGAGCUUGAACCAAGGGAUUUUGUUAUUGUUGAAACCCAGGGCUCCAAAAUGGGGUUUUGGUAAAUUUAGAGUUUUGAUCUAAGUUGGUCGGUUGUAAACCUAAUUGCUAGGUAUCUAAACGCGUUGGCGGUGACGGUUCGACUAUUCGUCGAGUUUGUGUGUAGGUAUCGCCAAGCGAAGAGCGUUUCAGCUUCGUUUACGCUCGAGAGGUCGAAGCGGCGACGGGUGAUCAUGAGAUUGGGUUUCCUACUGCGUAGAAUCGCCAACAGGUAGGCGCACUACAAAAAAUCAUGUAUUUCCCGGCAGAAUUUUAGAGGCGGUUGUAUCAACCGCCUCUACAAAAUUGGUACAUAUAAUUCAGAGAUACUAUUAGGGGCGGUUUUAAAAACCGCCCCUAAUAUGUUUUUUUUUUUUUUUCAUUUUCCCUCCACAGCCCCCCCUCCCCAAAAAAAAUCCUAAUCCUUUUAUCUCCUUCCCAAACCCAAAAAAAAACCCUAGCCCUCUUCGAUCUGGCAUGGCCACCCCACUCCUUUUCGCAUCAGCCGCACUCUCUUUCCCUCCGAUGAGGUUGGUCGGCGGUCCUUCGCAACUCUUUUUCUCUCUCACACACGACGAGGUCUCGAGGGUACUGGAGCCCUUCGCAGCACUCUUUCCCUCUUCGCACGGAAACCUCCCUCGCGGCGCUCUCCCUCGUCGCCCUCUUCGCCACUUCCGCGUUCUACUCCGUGGCCAAGGCUCUCACCUUCUCCAAAGAGAGCAUCGUCGAUUCCCUCAAUAAAGGCAUUGUUGCUCCUUCACCCUCUCUCUCUCUCUCUCUCUCUCUCUCUCUCUCGGUCUCGCGAUAGGAAUGUUGUUGAGUAAGAAAAAAAUAAUUGGAUUUUUUGUACGAUUUAGGGGAGUAUAAAUAAGCAAUUUUGAAACCUUUAAUGCAAAAUUGCCGAAUCUUUUCGAACUUGUUUUGGUUUUUAUAAAAAUAAGAGGAAUUUCUAGAGCAAAAAUAAGAUUUUAAGCCUCAAAAAUCAAAGCCUUGCUUUGGUGCUUUUAUUUUUGCUGUAGAAAUAAGUUACCGAGGGUAGUUUAAUGUGUACAUAUAUAUAUAUAUAUAUAUAUAUUGCUCUAGUGUUCAAUAUCCCUACUAAGUUUAUGCGAAUUGCUAGAGAACUCUUCUUAAAUUACAUUGAAACUCCUAAGAGGAUAACAGUGAGGGCCUCUACUCCAAAACCCCUUUCCCUCCAAAAUCCCUUUUUCUCUAAAAGUGAAGUGAUUAAUUGAAACCCCUUUUUCAGAUCUGUAGAUUUGUUGAAACCCGAGCAUCCAAGCUUUAAGGUAUUCUUCUCCAAUUCUUUCCCUUUACUUUUGUUCAAAUGGAUAUUAAAUAGUAUUUCAUUCUAUUUUUUUUUUCCGAUCUUUGUUUAUUUUUUUCUGGGCAUCAAAUUAUUUUUUUAUAAUUUCUCCUCUAAUGUGGGUUUUGGGAUCUCAGUACUAGCCAUGAAAAUUUAGUUUUUUGUAAUUCCUCCUCUAAUGUUGGUUUUUUGUCGGAUCUUAUAUCUUUUGGUGGGUGUUUAAGCAAAUCGAAGGUCGAACUAAGAGUCCCGAGUAAUCCCUAUGGGAAAAUAUUAGAUCCAUCUGAGAAGAAGAAACAAGGAUUAGAAACUUCAUCGGUGAGCAGAUAUAACUUUACCAAAUUAAGGAAAAUUGUGCCUCUUGCAUAUAUACUAUCUCGUACACCGCAUUCGCUAUAUUCUUCGUAGUAAGGAUAAUGUAAUGGCUAAAUGAAUAAAGCAUUGUUGUGUUCGUGAACGUAGACAAGGGUGAAUAAUAGGGGCAGCAGGACAACGAGUGACGGGAAGAAGAAACGAUCAGAAGAUAGUUCAGAAACACUUGCCAAGAAAAUUAAAAGCGAGAGCCUGACCGCAACAUCUCUCAAGGUAAUUGGUUUAACCUAUAUAGGAACAUAUCUAUAUACAUAUCUAUAUAUAGCUUCUAUUAACUUUUGUUUCUAACUUGCUUAAUUCACCAGUUAUUCGAAAAGUACUAGCUAGUUAGAUUUUUAUUUUCAAAUAGGUUGGAAAAUUUUAGUAACCCAAGUUUAAGUGCAUUUUUUAAUCAAAUUAUGUACAUGUGUUCAACUUUGAUGGAAUUCUCUCUCCCUCUCUCUCUUGAGGAAACAGUUGCAGGUGCCCAAAGUAAAGCUAACAGAUAAGAUCACUGCAUUACAGCAAAUUGUGUCACCUUUUGGAAAGGUAAGCACUACAUAUACUUAGUUGUAAUUAAGCAAAUAUUAUGUUUUCACUUUUGAAUUAAAAAGGAUAUAUAUAUAUAUAUAUAUAUAUAUAUAUAUAUAUAUAUAUAUCUUGCAAUGUUUUCAAGUUUAACUUCUCUAAUUUCUCUUAUGUUUAAACUAUCAUAUUAUAACAAACUGAUCACUUUUGAAUUAAAAAUGAUNUUCUAAUUAGUGACACCUCACUCAAAGCUUGUUCCAUCCAUGCAUGAAAGAUUAUUUUAUUUCAAGAACUGAUAGUGCAUAAUAUACUAAUAUUUCAAGGGAUAAUAACACACCAAUGAUUGGCAAAAGUAUAUGAGAAUAAUGAUCAUGGUCAUUAAUUACAUGAAAAAUAAUAUGUAUAGCUAGAAGUGGAAGCCCUUAAUAUAUAUAGAGUAGAGCUCCUGUGCUUUUAAAAGCACAGGAGCUCUUGUGCUUGGCAUUUUUUUACCAUCGGAUCGGCUUCGCUUCGAGAUUCGUGUGCAGUUAGUGGGUGGAACUAAACGGCAAGGCAAAGAAUGGCGUGAACCCCCCUCUCUCUACACGUGAACCCCCCUCUCUCUCUUCUCUCUGGCAACCCACUACCUCUUUCUCUCUCUCUCUCUCUCUCUCCCUGGCAACCCACCAGAUCCAUUCUUUUUCUUUUUUCUUUUUUUUUUCUUUUUCUCCUUCCAUCUCUCUUCCUCUUUUUCCUUCUCUACGGUGGUGGUCCGACGCUCCGACGACGCCACGAUAGUAAGUCGUGCGCACCUCCGCGCCAACGCCUUCCGGGCUGCGCGCUACAAUUUCGAUCCCGGACGCGCCCCUCCGCGUCGACGCCUUCCAAGCCACGCGCUACAGGAUCGAUCCCGGACGCGGCGGGCUACAAGAUCAAUCGGAAGGCCGCGCGCUAAAGGAUCGAUCCCGGACGCGGCGUGCUACAGGAUCGAUCCCUGACGCCAUUCUCGGGAAGAUCUCAAAGGUAAGCGUCUUGGAUCUGUUUCUUGUUGUUGUCGUUUUGAUGUUUUGAUCAUUUUCUUUGGUGGUGACGGAGUGGAAAAUACAUGGAUAAUGGCCCCAGUUGCUUGGAAUGUCAAUGGGUACGCUAAUCAGUGGUUAUUGUAGGAAAGGUGAUAUGGUGGAUGCUUUUAACAUGAGAGAUGAGAUGCUACAUAUGGGUUUCAAUCUGACAAUCUAUACAUACAACACUCUUAUAAUAGGGUCAUGUAGAAAAUGGGUUAUGGUGUAUUAUUUUAUUUUGUUAGUUAUGUUUGUGUUGUUUAUCUUGAAGUAGCACUAGGUUGGAAACUCCUACUAACACCAAAUUAGUGCUAUCAUAUUUAGAUGAUUUUAUCUUUGCUUAUCUAUAUUGAGUUAACUCUCUCUGCUAGGCCUAAUGCUUUUGCUUAUAAAUGACUAUAGGACUAUCAUCUGAGUGUUGGUAUUCUAUACUGUUGCUAUGAUUGUUGAAUUCAAAUUUGUUUCUCUUCUGAUUGUAUCCAUAAUGCCUUUGUUUUGGUGGUCGUUUGGAGAUUAAUUGUUACCUUUAUCGAGGUCUCUCAAUUUUCAAACCAGAAAUAGUUAAAGCUUAUUAUGACAGUUUAAGUGCUUCAUAAUUGAUAUUCCAAAGUCUUAUGAAUUUUAUUUACUACUCAUUUGUCAUAUUUCAUAUAGUAAGUUAUCGAUUUUUUUCUAUUAUUUGAGCUAUUUUUAUAAUGUUAAUUUUUAUAUUUAUAGGGGUUAAUUAAAUGAGGGAAUAUGGCUCUACAAUUGGUUCUUCUGUUUCUUUGUGCAAUAUUGAUGUUGAAAAUGAGGUGAAUGAGGAAUUGGAACAAAUUGCUACUGCUGAACAAAUAUGUAUGAGCACACAACCUAUUGAAGAGCAACGUGUUGGUUUGGAAUUCAACUCUAUAGAAGAUGCUAAAAAGUUCUACAAUGACCAUGCUUUUAAAAUAGGGUUUAGUAUAAGAAAAACAUACCAUUAUAAGGCAAAGAAAUAUGAUGAUGCCAUCACAUCUGUAACCUAUUGUUGCUCCAAAGCAGGUCUUUCUAAAUCCCAAACUCACGAGAAAAGUCAUUGCCAAAAUUCAGAAGGUAGCAAUACACCUAAAAAGCAAUUUUCUAAUCGACGAAGUGGUUGUAAAGCUCAUAUUGUAUUGAGGAUAGAUGAUCGAGGAAAAUGGGUGAUUACGGUGGUGGCGAACGAACAUAAUCAUGAAUUAAUCGUUAGUCCUUCUAAAAGUCGAUUUUUUCGAUCGCAUCGUGCUAUUACAAAGGAGCAAAAAGAAUUAAUUCAUAUGUUGAAUGAACAGAAUAUUUCCACUUCACAAAUUAUGGCCUUUAUGCAAGCAAGAGAGGGAGAAAGACAAAAUAUUCACUUCACUCGCAAAGAUUUAAGUAAUAAAGUUGCUGAGAAAAAUAGAAAUCUUAUUGGAAUAGAUGUAGCAAGUGCGCUUAAUUAUUUUCAUGAGUUUCAAUCUAAAGAUUCGUUAUUCUUCUAUGUUAUUGAUGUUGAUGACCAACAGAGGGCUCAGAACAUAUUUUGGGUAGAUGGAAGAUCAAGAUUGGCAUAUGAGCAUUUUGGCGAUGUUGUCACUUUCGAUACAACUUAUAUGAUGAAUAAAUAUAGUAUGCCAUUUGCUCCUUNUCAAUGCUUGAUAAAUAUGAAUUGCAUGAAAAUAAUCAUCUUCGGUUGCUAUGGAAUAUUCGACAUCAAUGGAUUCCUGCAUAUUUUCGAGAUACUUUCUUUGCCAAUAUGUCUACGUCACAACGUAGUGAAAGUAUAAAUGCCGUGGCAAAAAUAUGGUUAGAUGCGCAUACAUCAAUAUUCAAGUUUGUCAUGCAAUUUGAGAAAAUGACACAUAAUCAAUAUGAGAGAGAGGAUUUAGAGGAUUUUAUGACAAAGGAUGGAGAGCCCAGUUUAUGGUCAGAUGAUCCAAUUGAGAAAGAUGCACGCCGCAUAUACACAAGAAAUAUUUUUUCAGAAUUCAAGACUCAAUUGAGGGCGACGACGGGUUAUAAGUUGAUUGAGUUGGAAAAAGAUUCACUAUACAAGAUCAGCCCUAUAUCACACUCGUCCAGUUCAAGACAAUGGAUGUGCACAUAUAUAGUGACUGUUGUAAGGUCCAAAAAUAUAGUAUCCUGCACAUGUAAAUUGUUUGAAUUUUAUGGCCUCUUAUGUGCUCAUGCGCUUAAAGUAAUGCAUUACAUUGAGAUUUAUAACAUCCCACCUCAUUAUAUAUUAAAUAGGUGGACUAAGAAUGCAAAAAAGAGAAUACCAAGCAAUAGUGCAGAAAUGAGUGGUGGUUCCUCAUUUUGAAGAUCUCGAAGGUUUGAUUCCCUUACAUUAGAAAUGCAAAAAUUUAUCUUUGAAGGUUCAAAAAGUCUUAAGGCAUAUGAAACUGCAUGUCAGAUAAUUAGAGAAGAAAUUGAUACACUAACAUCAAUUAAUCAAAUGUUUGAAAGUGAGGAAGCGACAAUCAAGGAGCCUUCAAGUGGUCUUCACAGAAUCGUAAUUUCACAAUCAAGCCAAGUAAAUAUGCUUGUAUUAGAAUGCACGAUUAAAGAUCCUCCUCAAUCACAAUGGAAAGAGAAAACCACAAAGGUUUAAGCCUCCCAUUGUCACGCCCCGGGGUCCCUUUUUAGUUUAAAGCAUAGCGGAAAAGCGUCUGAAAUUUUUUUUUUUUUGAAAACCUGACCCCAGGGUAUGCCAGAUCCGCCACAAAUACAGAAGAUCCACUGUUCACACGGACAGAGUCUCCCCUGUAUUUGCACGGCGUCGCACAAGUACAAGAGUUCAAACAUGAUACAACCACAACCAGAUGAACAUACAAAUAACCACAGUUAUAUAUUCAUACACCAUUCACCACAGGUUCACAUUUUUACAUUCAAUAUUUAAAAUAUAAAUCCACAUCUAUCAGUUAAAAUGUUUCCAACCACAGAAACAAGUUUUGAAAUACUAAGAUGCAAAAUCCAUAGAAAACCUUUUGAAAACUGUUCCUACACAAGAAUUUAUUCUUUAAAAAAAAGCUAUCCUACGAGGGUAAAAACCUUUUUAUUUUAACAAAAUCAGGAAUGUCCGUUUAUACAUUCACGAAUAAAUGCCUAUUUUCAAAUGUGUAAUAAAAUACUGCCCCAUAUAACUAUCUAAACUAUAACAACUGAAAUGAUAUAAGGGUAAUAACUAAACGAAAUACCGUGGGUCGAAGCUCUAUCGACCGCUGUACAACACGUACCUCACGUCUCGUCCCACUACUCAUGCCUCGCGAAUACCCCUAAAAAAUGGUGGACGGAGGUGAAGAAAAUUAUAAACAUGGUUCUCCUCUACCAGUGGGUCAUGCAUAAGCCGAAGAAGGCGAGGAGCUACUUCCCGGAUCAGGAGGAGCUAUAACAACAACACGGGUGAAGUGGAAAUAUAGUAGCAACAUUUAAUAACGAUAGAGAUCUGUAAGGUAAUGAGUCAGAUAUAAUCGACAUACAGUAACAAAAACUGAAGAAGCAAGAACUAGACUGAAUAACGGCUACCGCUACUGUAGACUGGAACGAAAGCAAUACAUGAAUUCUACUGUAUAGUAGCAUAAGACAAUAUAAAGUAAAGAACUGUAAAUAUGCAUGCAACGACUGCUACGAAAGACAUAAUACGGUUCAACACGGUCCCAAGAAUCCAAAAGUACCAAAAUCUGAAACCAAUGCUCUCUUGGUCGCAACCGCAGACCUCAAAGCCACUGCGCGACUACUAUCUCCAGUCAUAUAACCCCUCUAGGGCUCACCAGGUUUCACGCAUCUCAACGCACUUUUCCAGAAUAAGAACACUCCUUGCGGUGGAUCAGACGCCAGUGUUCGUGAAUGCGGACGAGUAUCGGGGCGAUCAAAUACAAUAUGCUCAACGAUUGAUCACGUCGGCAACCAUCCGACAAUCCUCGCACGCCGAGGCCCAUCGACGCGCAUAGGUCGUCAACUUAUAAGAAGCACAAGAACCGACCAGUCAGGUCCAACUAGGAGGGACAAUCAUCGCACAUCCCUCUCAAAUAUGCAAAUACUGCUCAAUGAACCAUAAGGACUGACCAAUCAGAUCCAACUAGGUAGAUAUGAAACUCGACAAUCACGUCACAUCGUACAUGAUAUGAAACCUCGACCAAUUGCACGUCACAAGUACAGGAUAUGAAACUCGACCAUCAUGUCACAAGUAUAGUGAUAAAUGAAACUUCGAAAAUCAAAACCCGUCACACAGUCUAGGAUAUGAAACUCGACCCAAUCAUGUCACAAGUAUACGGAUUAUGAAGUAAAGUAUUAAUCAUCCGGACGGCAAGCUAACCGCAACCCCCCUCAGGGUAUACCGACGCUCACACGGUCAUGCAGACAAUCAAAGGUCGAUGAACUCACCGAAUAAGGUCACAAAUACUGAAAUACUAAAUCGACCGACUAGAUCGCUAACUUCUCAAGAUAAUACAGAAUCGCUCUACUAUAAAUAUGAAACAGGGUAUGCAGAAUAGCUAAGUAGAGCAACAAGGAAACAUGGUAUCACAUACAGAUAGACUAUACUCCUACACAUGAUACUAAGCAUGGAAACAUUUGAGUAGAGUAUAAUCAAACAACGUGGGUGUAAUGUAAACAAUAGAGGUGCAAAGCUCAACAUAUAAUAUAAGCAUGGAUAAUACAAAAGAGCAAGGGUAAGAAACCAUCACCAAGCGUGCACCACUGUACCAACGUCGGAUCGAAGUACCCACCUGUACAACUGUCGCGCCUGUCUUCUGACUACAAAAGAACGUCAACCGGACCUAAGGAGGGUCCACUGGGUUAGUGUCUAACCCACAACUAAGAAACCCUAAAAGUAUAACCCCACAAACAAACCCACGGAGAUCGGUUUUCCAAUACCGAUUACCGUAACUCGCCGGAAGUCCCGAAAAUCGCACCGGGACUCCGCCGGGACCCACUAACUAUCCCGGAAGUCACCGACUCGUACCACGAGUCACCCGCUGCCCCUAAAUAUAAUUUACGUGUGACUUGGCAGUAGAGACCUUAACUCACUCCAAAACGAUUAUCGUCGGAUAAUCGUUCCGAUCCGAGUUCCUGGAAGUGUCUAUUUCGACACCGGAACCCACCGUCGCUCACCCGUCAUUUCUGAACUCUUGAAAUGACGCGAGUGACCAGCCAACAAGGCUCAGCGACUACACAAAAGCUCACAAAGCACCGUCGGAAUAAUUCCAAACCAAAAUCGCGUUCCGUCGGCGGAUUUUGCCGACAAACGCACCGAAAAUACAUUUUCGAUCCUCGCAAAGGUCCGGGGCCUUGGACAAUCAGUCCAGAGGUUACCCACAAUUCAUCCAUGCUGCCAACAGCAGCCGCAACAACCUAAAAUACAUAAAAGCUCUCCCGAUUACCCGAAAUCGCAUUAUUUCAUGCGAUUUCGGCGCUUUUAUGGUCUGUCCAUGCGAACCAAGAGUCAUUCAGCCAAACCGAGACACCUACUAACAGGUCUCGGCGUGCCGGAGGCCGUGCUCAACUUUCGGAGCAAUUCCGGCCACUGUGGGGAGCGCACGAGCGACGCGAAAUUCAGUAAACUGCGCGCAUAGUAUGAAAAUCAUGCUUAUCUCGAUAACCAGGGGCUCGCUGACCCUAAUUGAGGUGAUCACUGUGAUUAGCACUGACUGACGAUCACCGUGCUCACUUUCGGAGGCAUCGGAACAGCCUCGGGUCGCCGGAACAGUAUACACAACUCCAAACAGUGCACAAUAAUUGCAAUACAAGCUUACCAGAGCUAGGCAGGGUUCGGGGUGGCCGGCCGCCGCCGGCCGGCGGGAAGGCUGGCCAGGGGAAGGUGCUCCAGGUCAGAGGAGGCCGGGGCUCGCGUCAUCAGGCGACGGGAGGCGGCGACGACGGCGGGCAUUGAUGCCCUAGCCACCUAACCCGAGGAGAGGACGGCCCAGAUCCGGCCAACAGGGAACUCCGGCGACAGGGAGGCCGGCGGCGGACGAGUGCUGCCGGCCAGGCGGAGCCUAUGCUCACGCCGGCCGGCGGCGGAGGGCGGCGGCGGCGGUGCUGGGUGCGGCUCGGCCUGCACAAACCUUGCGCGGCCGCAGGGAGAGGGAGCGGCGGCGGCGGCCACUGAGGCGACCGGAGGAGGGUCGGGGCGACGGCGUCACGUCGCCGGAGGCCGAGGAAGGGUGGCGCACCAUGCUGCGGGCGGUGGCGACGCGCAGUGGUCGAGAUGACCAGAUCUCGGCCCGCACAAGCCCUGGGCGGCCGCAGAGAGUCGUAGCAGCGGCCGGCGGCGUGCGGAGACGACAGGGCGGCGACCGGGAUGUACCAGGAGGGCGGCGCGGCCAACGAGGAGCAGCGGCGGCGCGCGGAGGCGGGAAUCACCCGGGCUCGGCCUGGGUGAUUGCGGGUUGGCCGCAGGGAGCAAGGUGGCUCCGACGGCGCACGGGGAUGGCCGGGGCCGGCGAAAGAGACGGGGGAGAUAUGUCUCGGCCGGGGGACACUGGUGCUCGAGCUAGGGUGGCUUCUUGGGUCCGCAACCCCAAUGCGGUGAAGAGUUUGGCCGAGAGGGAGAGAGAGAGAGGUGAUGCAGGGAAUUCCGGCGGCCGGGGGUGCUCGCCGGCGGCCGGAGCAUGCGCACGGGGAGGGCAGGAUUGCAGGUGGGGCGGCUAGGGUUAGAUGAGAAGAUAUGGGCAGCAAAAGGAUCUUAGAAACCCUAGUUGCCACCUAUAUAUACUAGAUGCCAAUUGCAAGAAACCCCCUCAAAGCCACAUAUUUUCAGUUAGGUCCCCCACCAGCACGUAUAUUAUGUGCAUAAGUUCCUCUACGUUCAAGUUUGUGCAAAACGGUGCAUAAAAUAUUGGGACUAUUGCGAAAUUCCCGAUUUGCCAUAAUCUACCCCUUUCCGGAUAUCAUGCGAUAUCCGGCAAUCCGUUCAUCGGAUUUCCGAACGGAUUGCACCAUCGCGUUCAGCACGGCGAAGGCAUCGAAACCACCAUUUCGUUUCAUCCGAUUUGCUUGCCGAUUUGCGACAAAAUCCGACCUCUCUCCAACUAAUCCAUAUAUCACACAUAGGCCUUGGUGGAAACCCGAAAUCCAUUAAUUCAAACUCGUAUUUGAAUUCCCUACCACCAGUAGGUACUUGAAACAUCUCUCACCCAUCUCUAGAUCACUUAUACAAAGCACGAGGAGUUUUAAAAUGCACGAAUAGCAAAGAGCGGAAACCCUCUUUUCUUAAAACUCCUUUUUCUCUAAAACCGUGCAUCGGAUCUGAAAUCCGUCAGUGCCAUUGGUUCCAAAAUAGCUGAACCGUUCAAAACGAUCUAUUGGAUCGCUAUGAACGGAGUCCGAUACGCACCGAAAGCCAACUCUACUCCGUGGCUUCUCCGGAAAAUCGGAGUUACUAUUCACUUAAGUGAAAACUAAUAAUCGCGUAACUUCUCCGUUUAAGCUUCAUUUUCUCCUGAAACUUGACGAGUGCUUAUGUAAUUAAAUUACACACAUAAACAUCAUCAACAGAGAGUUUAGUAGCACUGUAAAAAAAUCUCAGUCCUUACACCCAUUGAAAAAAAGGUUACGGUGCCAAGAACUUGCAAGCAAUGUGGUAAAAAAGGACACAAUAUUAGGACUUAUAAGGAGGUAUAAUAAAUUUCUUUUCCUUUAUUUUCUUCAAAUAUUUUUACAUUCCUUAUUAUUCACAAUAUGCUAAUAUUAAUAUUAUUUGCAGAUUGUUGAUGAAGUACCAUCUAACGAUCUAAGUUUUAGCGAGAGACUUGAAGAAACCGAUGACGAAGAGACUUGAAAGUAAGAACAAAUCAGUGUUGCAUUAAUUAUACUAUAGUUAUAUUAGAGCAUUGUUGUAUUAGUUGAAUUGUGAUAGUUUGGACUGUGGUUGUAUUGUAUCUUACUUUUUUUUUGUGGUAGAGUAUUGUUGUAUUAGUUGAAUUGUAAUAGUUUGGACUAUAGUUGUGCUGCUUGUGUUUACGAACAAACAACCUUGUUUUAUCAUUCUACAGGCUUAGAUGUUACCCAAAAGGAUUCUUCUUGCUUGUCAUGUUUCUUUUGCUAAUGAAAUCCAUUAUCCUUGGAGAUGGUAUUAUUUGUGUUGUACUAGAUGAUGGUAUUAUUUGUGUUGUACUGAAAUUUAUUUGAAGACCAUAUUUAGUUGCCUUAAAUGUUAAUGCUGGUGUCUUGUUGUUGACUAUGAUGACAUUGUGGAGAACAGUUGCAUGAUGAUAAGUAUGCAAUGUCAAACCCUCUUACCUCAAUCUAUCACAACGGAUGUUCCUUAAUUAUUUUAUAGAUGACACAUUAUAAACAUAGAUUAACACAGUGGAUUCAUACAUCUCAAAUUAACACAGUGGAUUCAUACAUAAACAUCAAGGUUGGUUCAGAAAUAAAAGUGAGGAACUCUAUCCUACAUACACCUCAAAUGAACACAGUGGAUUCAUAUUACAUUUAGGCGAAUAGAAGUUUAAUACAUAUAAUUGCUAAAAUGAAUACAAUAAAAAUUUUUCUUUCGGCUUCAAUUCUUUCCACCAUUGCUGUUGUCCUUGUAGAAGCUUCUUCAACUCUAUUUUUCAGAUUCUCCAUUUGCUCAACCAAACUAGAUAACUUAUAGUUUAUGCAUUGAAGCAUCUCUUCAUUUGAAGCUUUUGGAGAAGAUGCUGCUAGUUCACGGUCUACACUUUCCUUCAAAUUUAAAAGAGUGGAGCUUUCUUGUUCUAAAAGCUCUUUGGAUUUCACUUUAUCGCACCACAUGAAAAAAUCACAAUAGUUAUCGUUAUUCUUUUCAUAAUUUCGACAUCCAUAAAAUUGUCUUCCUUUACUUCUAGCUUGCUGUGAAGUUCUUAUUAUAGCUAUCUUAUUACAUUUGCACCAAACUGUUCUAUCUUCAAUAAAAGUUGUAGUAGAUGCCAUCAAUCACUCUGCGCAAAAUAUUAAAAUUAACAUGUAAAUAAAUGAUAAUGCUGCAGUGAAGUUCAAACACAGGAGACGGUGAAGUUCAAACACAAGAGACGCUAAACGAUAACUAUCACACUAGACCAUUAGAUAGCAACAAGCUCUAAUGACUAAAGUGACCUUAUAAAGUCCAUUAAAGUAAUCAUUCUAUGCAAUUACUUUUCAAUUAUAUAUUCACAAAUGCCUUGUUAUCAGACAAUAGCACUACAUCAUUAAAGCACAACCAAAUAAGUAAUGUUCAAUUCAUAGCUAUAAAUAAGUGUUUCAAGUUAUAUCCUGCAUUGUCUUUGUGUAAAGUUCCAAGCAUAUCAAGGACAGUUCCAUUAGCUAGAACAACUUCUAGUCCUGGAAAGCAAAAUGAUAUGUACCAAGAAGCAAAUACACAUUAUAUAUUAUCUAAAGGAGAUGAUCAGAUGAUAAUAAAUUUUACCACAAUGGAGGUUUUAUCACCUCCAUUAAGUUAGGCUCAAAAGAUAAUAAUUUAUGAAAACAAGUUAACAAUCCAUUAACAGAUAGGUAGAGCAAAAUAGUGAGAAAAGGAUUAAGGACCAAAACAAAAAGCUCUUAAUGCACUAACAUUUUAGUUAGAUUCACAUUUAUUAGAUGAACACUUUCUGCUGCAUAAAAGAGAAGCAAGAGAUGAUGAUACCUUUAAUUUUCAUUUGGCUUUUACAGUUUUUAUAUUUGGAACAUAACAAAAUGACAAAGUAAUGGCUGAAUAAAUGCAUAUAAUGCCAUCAUAAACAUCAAAACAUCAAAACGAUCAAAACAUCAAAACGACAACAGGAGCUCAAUCCAUGUAUUAUCUUACAGUUUUUACAUUUGGGGCCAUUAUCCAUGUAUUUUCCACCCCGUCACCACCAAAGAAAAUGAUCAAAACAUCAAAACGACAACAACAAGAAACAGAUCCGAGACGCUUACCUUUGAGAUCUUCCCGAGAACGGCGUCAGGGAUCGAUCCUGUAGCGCGCGGCCUUCCGAUCGAUCUUGUAGCCCGCCGCGUCCGGGAUCGAUCCUGUAGCGCGCGGCUUGGAAGGCGUCGACGCGGAGGGGCGCGUCCGGGAUCGAAACUGUAGCGCGCGGCCAGGAAGGCGUCUGUGCGGAGGUGCGCACGACUUACUAUCGUGGUGGCGUCGUCGGAGCGUCGGACCACCACCGUAGAGAAGAAAAAAGAGGAAGAGAGAUGGAGGGAGAAAAAGAAAAAAAAAAAAGAAAAAGAAUGGAUCUGGUGGGUUGCCAGAGAGAGAGAGAGAGAGAGAGAGAGAGAGGUAGUGGGUUGCCAGAGAGAAGAGAGAGAGGGGGGGUUCACGUGUAAAGAGAGGGGGGUUCACGUCGUUCUUUGCCUUGCCGUUUAGUUCCACCCACUAACUACGCACGAAUCUCGAAACGAAGCCAAUCCGAUGGUAAAAAAAUGCCAAGCACAAGAGCUCCUGUGCUUUUAAAAGCACAGGAGCUCUACUCUAUAUAUAUUAAGGGCUUCCACUUCUAGCUAUACAUAUUAUUUUUCAUGUAAUUAAUGACCAUGAUCAUUAUUCUCAUAUACUUUUGCCAAUCAUUGGUGUGUUAUUAUCCCUUGAAAUAUUAGUAUAUUAUGCACUAUCAGUUCUUGAAAUAAAAUAAUCUUUCAUGCAUGGAUGGAACAAGCUUUGAGUGAGGUGUCACUAAUUAGAAGGGAAAGUUGUGUUGCGGGAGUAUAUAAUAAUUUUAAUCUGUUACUAGCUAGUAAAUAAAUACAUAGAUCCAAAUGUUUGUAUGCUGUACUCUUGUUACAAGGGAAACUCAUGCAAUGCCCACUAUUUUCAUAUAAAUUUAAAAUCACAAUAACAAAUUAGGACAUAGAAAUAGAAAUAAUAAUGGAUAACUUAUGUAAGUCAUGAAACUUAAAGUGUUAUUCUAGUUUAAGUAAUUUCUUUAAGUUAUGUGACAUCAAAUUAAUCACAAACUGUGAACUUUGUAUGCUCCUUGCUGGUUAAGUUAAUUCCUUUUUAACUUCGAUCUUAGUAGCUUCAGUAAGUGUUGUUCGAAAAUCAUUUCUUGACUUUUUUGCUAACUAAUUAAAAGCUCUAUAUUUUUUUAAAAAAAUUUUGCCUGAUGCUUAAUUUCUACUUGUGGAAUAGAACAAAUUAUUUUUUUGGAAUUAAUUCUACUUUCAAGAGUUGAAAAAAAAAAACUUGUUAUACUAAAUUAUCGACUACGUAACUUCUACUUACAAGACCGAAUCCAAAACUAGGCAAAGUAGAGUUAAGUUCUUAACUUAUAAGUCACAUUAAACAACACAACUUUUUUGACUUCAUAUCUACUUUCAAUAUCAUAUUUCAAAGAUUGAUUUUAUUAUUAAACAUAAUUUGAUAUUUACAGUUAAUGAAACUCAAUUGUUCUUAGUUAUCACUAUUCAGUUACUGUUUUUGACCAGAUUUAAUGAUUUUGAUCUGUUUUUGAUAAAUAUGACUAUGCCAAUAUCAAUAUCCUACUUAAAAUAACACUCCAUAUGCUAUUAUGAAAUUUUUUGGGUACUUAAAAGCAUUGCUCACUCUUUUCUUAACCUUAGUAAGAAGUUUACACGUGUGAUUCUUUUUUUGGAUGUUAGUAGUUGACAAAUAAUUUGAUAUAUUUUCUUCUAAGAGGAUACUUGAAAUAUAUAACUCAAUUAAUCACUCAUGUUCCAACUUAUUAAAAUAUAUGUUUGACCCUCUAGCUAGGUUCUAUUUAUUAACUUUCUUUAGUAAAGCAAUUGUCAUAAUUCUUUCAUCAGCCUUGUUGGAAAAAUGCAUGAUGUUGACCUCAAUACAAAGUUGAUUAACUCAACUUCUUGCCUUAUGGAUGAAACAUAUAGGUAUUUGUCUUUUUUUUUUCAGUUGUUUAAUCACAUAAAUAGACAAGAGUUGGAAGACGAAACCUCGAAGCAGUACUGAAUAUAAAGGAGGAGUCAACAAAUUUCUUAAUUUUGCAUUUCAAAUGCAUCACAUGGUGGCAAAAUUAUGUGUCCUUGUAUUCGUUGCGUUAAUUGCUCUUUCUAAACAUAUGAUGUUGCUAAAGUACACUUGAUAUGCGAUGGAUUUUUAAGAGGAUAUACUCGUUGGAUUUGUCACGGAGAAGAUCCUAUAACAUCAUUAUCCUCUACAAACCCUACUGCAUCUUCCACCUCUAAUCAGACCUCUUAUUCACAAGCAAACACAAGUAGAUUAGAUGACAUUGAUGGUCUUUUGCAUGCAGCUAUAGGUAUAUUUAGUGAGGGAGCUAAUGAGAUAAAUUUAGUUGCAAAUGAAACGAAUGGAGAACAAUCUAGUGGAUUUGUUACUAUAGAGCAAGCUAGUGAAGAGGUUGAUGCACAGCAACAUACAAAAAGGAAUGAUGCAGAACAUCAUAGAGGAAGCUCUUCUAGGGAAACAAGCGAGUUUUUAAAGUUUUUAAAAGAUGCAAAUGAAGAGCUUUAUCCUGGUUGCAAGAAAUUUUUAAAAUUAUUAUUCAUAAUUCAUUUAUUCCACUUAAAAUGUUUAAAUGGAUGGACAGGAGAAUCAUUUAGCAUGUUGCUUGAGCUAUUGAUUGAUGCAUUUCCAGAAGGAACUUCAUUGCCGCGGUCCACAUAUGAGGCAAAAAAGGUCAUCAAGGCUUUAGGACUUAGCUAUGAAAAGAUUCAUUGUUGUCCAAAUGAUUGUAUGCUAUUUUUGGGUGAGAAAGCAAAUGACGAAGUGUGUUAUGUAUGUGGUUCAUCUCGAUAGGUUAUCAAAAAACAAGUAGAUAAAGAAAAAAAAACUCAGGAUAAAAAAACAAACAAUGUUCCUAUUAAAAAAAAAAGCCAGCAAAAGUGCUUCGAUACUUUCCAUUGAUACCACGACUUCAAAGGCUUUUCGUAUCCACAAAAAACAACAAAGGAUAUGAGAUGGCAUGAGGAGGGUCGUGUAAAAGAUGGAUUGUUAAGGCACCCUGCAGAUGGUAAGGCAUGGAGGGUAUUUGACGAACGUUAUCCAGAUUUCUUCUCUUAUUCUCGCAAUGUGAGGCUUGGUCUCGCUAGCGAUGGUUUCAAUCCAUUUAGAACAAUGAAUACUACUUAUAUACUUGGCCUAUUGUUGUUAUUCCAUAUAACUUACCACCUUGGAUUUGUAUGAAGCAGUCUAAUUUUAUCUUAUCGAUGAUUAUUCCAGGUGAAAAAAAUCCAGGAAACGAUAUUGACAUUUUCUUACAACCCCUAAUAGAUGAGCUAAAACAAUUGUGGGGGGAGUAGAUACAUAUGAUGCUUCCACUAGACAAACAUUUCAUUUGCGGGCUAUGUUAAUGUGGACUAUAAAUAAUUUUUCUGCUUAUGAAAAUUUAUCUGGAUGGAGCACUAAAGGAAAGUAUGCAUGUCCGUGUUGUGCUGAAAAUACGCAUUCUAAGUAGUUGUACAACUGUCACGCCCCCGCCCCGAGCCCGUUACCAAUUUGGCACGAUUCGGGCGCGGCGAGCGGACCGCCGAACGGACAGCACCUCCUCUGUCCGCCCAAGGCUCGAACUACUAGAUUGUGUACAACAAGUUCCCAGGAAACAACUUGGAUACAUACACAAUCAACCAACCAUAACAAUUACGAGAGCACAAACAGUGCUUGUCAACAAGAGCAAGCAACACAUGUAAAGCAUACAAGUGAUAAAAGAGAGAUGUACUUAACUAUUAACUCAUUAACUUAUACAAUUAUUCAUUCUUUACAUUUAUACAAAAUGUAGGAAAAGCCACUCAAAACCUCACCCUAUACAUCGUCUACUCUCAAAAUAGGUACAGGGUGUAACUAAUGCAUACAAGAAGUAGCCUCUACCAAUGUCGCUAGGGCGCUACGCCCUUGCCGCGAUCCUCACCGGGGACGCUCGAGCUCGGACCUGCAAUGUGGUGGAGUGAGAACUACGAAUAGUUCCCAGUGGGUUCGGCCGCCGACUCCGCCGAUCUCCCCACUAGGUCUUAAGCAGGCACAGAUAGAUAUGCAGAUAGAUAGAUAUAUAAAACUGAAAGCAGUAACAGUAAUGAACGGCUAUGAUCUAUCAAUGCCUCAAUCCAGAAUGAUGCAUGCAUGGAACUCAUGGUAAGAAGGCUGGCUGCUACACUAUUAUGCUCAACAACAAUGUCACUCAUCCGAUUACCCAAUCUCUCGGCGAACGCAAGGUUCGCUCACAGUCUCACGUCUCUAAGUCUCAUAGGAGAGGUGGCUAGCUAUUCACCUACCCCGAGACCGCCUGUGGACACUACACUGGUCCAAGGGCACUACACUGGCCCCCUCGCGUGCCAAACUCCGGAGUGUACUACCUGUGAGGAGCUACCUCCACAGGUGCAGACAGGCUAAGUGAGCUCGAUCCAAUCUCAUGAACUGGGAACACCCUACCCAACCAGGGGUGAUAGCAACAUAGUAUCUCAACUAUACUAGUGUUCUCAUGCCACUCUCGCACUACUUAAUGCCACUCGUUCAAUGUUUAAGGUUAACUAGAUGCCACUCGUUCUCUUGACAAGUUCUCGAUACACUAGUUUCCAACACACUAGGUUCAUAAUCACAUAAACAUGUUCGUCAUAUAUAGGGCGAACUAUCUCAUAGUAUUCAACUCAUGCAUACUAGGUUUUCAUUCAUGGUAUCCACAACCUAAAACAUCACUAGCAUGCAGGGAUAUGCACAAUCACAUUUAACACCCUAUAAUGCUAUAUCGCAAUAUGUAAAUGAUCGAGGUUAGUACUCAGACAUAAAGAGCAGCCCGACUGCUUCGGGAUGGCACUCCCCCACCUCGUGGUGAUGCCGUGACUCUGCGAUUGCGAUUCGCCGACGUCUCGACGCCUCGUUGGCCUUCUAGGCGAGAACGAAGCUCCGAAGGUCUUCUUGGCGAUAACGUCGCACCUACUCGACGGAUCGACGAACCGUCUCCGCCUACACGCUCAGGGACCUAGCAAUUAGGUUUGCGACCAUUCAAAUUAGAUCAAAACCCUAGAUUUGCCAAAAUCCCUAAUCGAAGCCCUAGAUCUCGAUAUUGGGGAAAUCCGCGGUGCGAGCUUCGAUUUCGAGCUCGAACCUUCUCCCUAGCUUCAAUAGGUUCCAUUUGAACCAAUUUCAAGCUAUAAAACACUAGUUUCCAAAAUCCACCAUUAUAGGGUUUGAGGUUUACCUCAAUACCAAGCUCCAAGCUUGAAGAGGGAGAGAAGAAGAUGAUCUUCUUCUUCUUCUUAGUCUCCUCCUCUUUCUCCUUCUUUUCCUUCCUCUCCUUCUUCUUCUUCUCCUUCUCCUUCUUUUCCUUUCUAGAGAGAGAGAGGGAAGGAGUGUGAGAGAGGAAGAGAGCAACUGAGAGGGAGAGGGGUCCCCUAGCCUCUCUUAUAAGCCACUUUGCUAAUAAACCCCUCAACUUUCCACUUAUUACACAGCCUCUCACUGGGCAUUUUCGCAGUGAGGGACCGGUCCCAGGUCGGGGAGACCGAUCCCCGAAAGCUGCACCUUCGGGCAGAGGGGAUUUCGCGUUCGGGAACCGGCCCUUGCCUGAGAGACCGGUCCCCGGGAGACCGGUCCUUGUCCGAGAGACCGGUUCCCGAGAGCAACACUUUCGGGACUGAGCCAAACUUCGGCUUCUCUCGCUGGGCCAACGUUCGGGAACCGGUCCCUGCCUGCCAGGGACCGGUCUCAUCAGAGACCCCCGCAGCCCAGCCCGAUGGGACCGGUCCCUCCCUGCCAGGGACCGGUCGCCGAGAGCAUUUUUGCUCCAGUGCAGCUUUUGCACUGGUGCUCUCGCGGACACCUCCUCAAUGCACUUUAUGCAUUGUGAUCACCUUCGGACUUUCCGAAGCUUGCACACUCGACAAUCAGUCGAUUCCAGACGAAGUCUAAUCCUCAGAUUUCGAGAAUUCACUUCCCUUACAACAAUGGUAGAAAAUAUUGUUAUAUGGGUCAUCGUCGAUGGUUACCCGAGGGUCAUACUUUUAGGUAUCAAAAACAUUACUUUGAUGAUAGUGAGGAGCUAAGAAUGGCACCCGAAAUAGUAAGUGGAAGCAAUGUACUGGGACAAUUAGAAUCUAUGAAAUUCACUUUAGGAAAGCUUCCAAAUGAAGAAGGCAAUCGAAAGAAAAAUAAAAAAGGCAAAAGAAAACGAAAAAGACAAGUACUGGAUGAGAUUGGAGAGUCACAUGAGCAAGAUUUAGGCACAAUGAGUGAAGCACGUUGUGAUGCUAUGAAGUGGUGGAAGAAAAAAAGUAUAUUUUUCACUUUACCUUAUUGGGAGCAUAACUUGAUACGUCACAAUCUGGAUGUGAUGCAUAUAGAGAAAAAUGUGUUUGAUAAUUUUAUUGGAACUUUCUUGAAUCUUGAUAAGAAAUCAAAAGAUAAUCUUCAGGCCCGUCUAGACUUGAUAGAUUUGGGUAUUAGACCUGAGCUCCACCCUCAAAUUCUUGCUAAUGGUAAGAGAAGACUACCUCCAGCUUGCUUUACGAUGUCAAUGGAUGAGAAAAGAACUCUUUGUCAAGUUCUCAAAGAUUUGAAAAUGCCCGACAGUUAUGCUUCAAAUAUUUCUAGAUGUGUAAAUCUCAAAGAAUGCAAAAUUACCGGACUUAAAAGUCAUGAUUGUCAUAUUUUAGUUGAAGAUAUUCUUCCACUUGCAUUACGGGCAUGUAGUCCUUCCAAUCAAGUUACUUUUGUAGUAACUGAGGUGGCGAACUUUUUUAAGGCAGUAUGCUUUAAAGUGUUAGAUGUUGAUGAAUUGGACAAAAUUCAAAAUCUCAUCGUAUUGAUACUUUGUCAUAUGGAGAGAAUUUUUCUUCCCUCAUUCUUCACUAUCAUGGUACAUUUAUGUGUUCAUUUGGUAGCUGAAAUAAAACUUGGAGGCCCCAUACAAUAUAGGUGGAUGUAUCCUCAAGAGAGGUAUAUUCUACUCAAUUUUCCAUUAUCUUAUUUCAAUCUCUCUUUUUUCGUCCACGAUGUCAACUUUACUAUUCCUAUCUAUUGUAGAUUCUUUGUUCGCUUAAAAUCAUAUGUUCGCAAUAGAGCUCAUCCUGAAGGAUCGAUUGCUGAGGGGUAUAUAGCCGAAGAGUGUUUAACGUUUUCUUCAAGAUAUUUAGAUGAAGUUGAAACAAGGUUCAAUAGACUUGUGAGAAAUCCUGACCCACUUACAAAUGAAGCACAACGAUUGUACUUGUUCUCAAGCGCGGGUCGGGUUAUAGGAAAGGUUGAAGAUAUUGUCUUGGAUGAUAAAUUAUGGGUCCAAGCACAUUGUUAUGUAUUACGUCAUUGCGAUGAAAUACAGAGUUUUCGUCAGUGAGUAUUUAUCAUUAUAUAUUUAUCACUAUUUUUAAUUACUAAUUCAUAUAUAUAAUAGUAGUAUAUAAAUAAUAAUUACCUAAUUUUUUUUUCUUAUACAUGUAGACAAUUCAUUGAUAUGGAAAAAAGAAAACGUCGCCGACAUACUCACUUAACAGCACAAGAAAUAGAAAAGUUAGUGAAUGAAAAAUUUCAUGAAUGGUUUGAAAAGCAGGUAAUUUUGAAUUGUAUAGCUAUAUGAUAUAUUAUACUUACUAUUUCUAACCUACUUGUGUUGUUAAUGAUAUAGGUUACGAGAACGGAUGAUUCAGCUAUUUCCGAAAAAGUUGCUACGCUUGGUAGGGGUCCUAAUAAAGUAGCUAAGCGAUUUUCAGGAUUUAUCAUCAAUGGAUUUCGAUAUCAUACGAUAUCUCGUGAGGAGAAUAUGUUGACACAAAUAGUGGUGUGGUUAACACAUCAGAGAUAGAUGGUGUGAAUUACUAUGGCUUUGCGAUAUUAUUGAAUUAAAUUACUAUGGUAGUUUUAAGGUUGUCUUAUUUAAAUGCGAUUAGGUAGAUGUCCAUCACAGUUCAGGAAUCAAGCAAGAUGAAUUUGGGUUCACCUCUGUAAACUUUUCUCGUUUAAUACACACAGGUGAAAAGUUGGAACAUGAUCCAUAUGUAUUUUCAUCUCAAGUUGAGCAAGUAUUUUAUGUACAAGAUCCACAUCACCAGAAUUGGUUUUUGGUUGUAAAGUUUAAACCAAGGGAUUUCUUUGACAUAGGUAAAGAGUUGGGGAUAAAUGAGGCUAGUUCUUUACUACCUCCAAAUGCUCAAAAUAUAAAUGAAGACGAACAUCCGAAAUAGAUUCGGAUUGAUGCAAGUGAAGAUGAUACAAUUGGUAUUUAGAUCGUUUCAUGUAAUAUGAUGUUUCAUGUAAUCUGAACUGAUUUGACUUUUGUAAUAUGCUAUAUUUGUUUUUUGGAUUUUGUUUAUUAUUUUUAAUGUAUAUUUUUAUAUUAUAUUGAAAGUAAUAUUUUGAGUUUGUUUUAUAUUUUUGUUAAACUUAUCAAUUGGAACACGGUAUGCAUACGUAAGCUGAACUUUCAUUUCUAAUUAUUUUUGUUAGUUUUCUUAUCCUUGUAUAGCAUAGACAAUGACUAGAAGAUCUAGAAGGUUACGCAAUUGCAAAAUAGUGAGCAUUAACUCUUAAAAUGAGACCACGCAAGAGCAAUCACUUGAACAAGAGCAACGAUCAUCACAAGGACAGCAAUCAGCUUCUUCUUCACAACCUCAUAUCGGUAAUGAGGAUCAAAGCAACAACGAGCAACAAAGUGAUGCACAAGAAGGGCGAGGCGUUUGGAUUGUCGGUAAUUUUUUUAACAAUAGCAAUUUAGUUUAUGCUCUUCUUUCUUUCUUUUCUUUUAAAAAAUAUUAUUUGCUUUUUAGGUGACAAUGGACAGCAUCGUAGAAAGCGAGGACGAACUACAAUGGCAGAUAUAUGGAAUUUGGCUGAAGAGGAAAGGAUAAAAGUUGAAGUAAACAAGUAUGGAUGUCCAUGUACUGAAGAAGGAGCUGUGCUUAGCUCAUUUUUGGGAGUUAUUGCAAAGAAUGGACGAUAUGCACCUCUAGAUAUUUCUAGAUGGGAUAAUAAAGCACUUAAUUCAUAUAAAGAUAAAAUGCUUAAGCUUAUUGAGGUAUAUAUUCAUUUACUCACUGUUGUCUAUUUGCUUUGUACUUCUAUCUUGAAUAUUAUUGCUUUUAUGUUUUUUAUUUUUAUUCUAAUAUCUAUAUACAUGGUAAGCAGUCAAAAUUUUCAUAUCCGAUUGGUACAAGAGAUUGGGUUCUAGCAUCAUUGAACAAGAAAUGGAGAGACUAUAAGAGUGAAUUAAAAUAAGAAUAUUUUCUUCCAAAAGAAAAGUCCGUAAAUGAGAUAAUGGCUAAUGUACCACAAGACGUCAUUGAAGAUCAAUGGUGUAGAAUGGUAUCAGAAUGGUGUACAGAGAAGAGCAAUGUUGCAAUUUUUUUUCUACUAAUCUUGAUAUCUUUACUUUAGAACUUCUAUUUUUAACUUAUAGUUAUGUUUAACUAACUUAUUAUUUUUUCGGUGAAUAGAAACUUUGUGAAGCAAAUACUGCAAAUUCAAGGAAACAAAAGAAUGCUCACACAUCCGGUAGAAAAAGCCAUGCAAGGCGAAGGAAGGAAAUGAUUGUCUACCGUUAUUAUUUUUUUCGACUUUUGAUAAUUUGGUGACUUGACAGAGAAGAAAUUUUUUUCGUCGUUCUGUUUGAAAUAGAAGAAAUUUGACCCACUCUCAUGUUUCAAGAGAACAUUUAACAUAGUUUGGAUCAGAAUUGAAUGUGAAGGUAUUAAUUGUAAGCACUUAUCCAUAGAUGUACAUUUUAGUAGUUUAGACAAUAAGGUUGCUAUUUUUCUAUUAGUUCUAGAUCGAAAUUCAAAUUCCAACCUGUUGAUCAAUUAAACCCCUGUUAACAACAAAUAAUUGGUUCCUGUUCAGGUCAUUGUGUUCACAUAUUGCCCCCCUAGUUACUCCAGAAGCAAGCAGAUGCUAUUUUAGCUAUUUUAUAGGUUUUGAGUGGCUUGGACCUGAUCAACAUACGGAAACUGUUGUUACUAUUUUGUUGGUUUUGCUCAGCGUGAUCUAAUCUGAAAUUCUUUGCUUUUGUUACUUCUCCUUUCAUAAGGAUUCUAUAUUGUGUUGUUUUCUUAUGUUUCCUCUUCUUUUGAUAUAUAUAUUUUUUUCAGUUAAAAAGACUCCUUUAUUCAUGAAAAAAUAGUUUGAUUUUGCUCAUAAUCAAGUACUGUUUCGGAGGACUUAGUAAGAAUGUUGAAUCUGCAUAUGCUACACUUGAUUUCUUGCAUCUAAUAUAUGUCUUUGACUGUUUAGUAUUGUUCUGUCUAUCAUGACUGUUUUCUCUUUUCUUCUGAAUUUGUUAUAUAGGGUUGGUUUUAACUCGAUGUAUCACCUGACAGACUUGCCAUCUUUUGCAAGCAGCAAAUAUAUUGUAUUAUUUGAUCCCCAAGGUGCAUACCUUCCCAAUGUUUCUGCUUCAAAUCCGGGGAAACGCCUCGACUUUGUUAACUCUUCAGCUAUUACACUAUAUAGAGAUCAAUUUUUACCGUAUUGUGCUUUUGGGUGUAACAUGACAGCCCCUUUUUCGGGCACUUUAUUUCGUUUCCCCUUGAGGAGUGCAAAUCAGGCGGCUGUUAGUAGGCUUUCCAGGCAAACAUACUUGGAAGAUGAUAUUCUUUUGCUGUUUUCACAGCUUUAUGAAGAAGCUGUGUUUUCUAUGCUCUUUCUUUGAAGCAUACUCUCAAUUGAAAUGUAUAUAUGGGAUGUUGGUAUGAAUGAGCCACGAAAGUUGUACUCUAUUAUUUAAUGGUCCUUUUUACUGAAAUUUAUAUUUUGUAGUUUUUGCUGGAUGAUAAUCUAAUAUUUUUGUGGUUAAUUUUGUAGGAAAAGGAAUAUGGAAAGGAACCGGAUAGACUAACGUUUUGGGAGGUUGUGCAUAAGAAAAAAACUGGAGAAUUUGUUGAUUCUGAUACAGAAAGAAAAGUAGUAAGUAUAAAAGUUUAUUUAUUUGUUAUUUUUAAAUAAUUUUUUUAAUGUUAUUUGAUGGUUUCAUGAGAAAACAAUUUUAAAAUUGAUCAGAAUGCUGCGUGUAAAGAAUUGGAUGGAGUUGUCUCCCAAGGUAUUGAGCCAACUAGUGAGUUGAUUGAAGAGCUAUUUACAAAACACAUAGGGCCCGAGCGCAAUGGCCGUAUGAAGGGCUUAGGCUUGGGACCUACGCUAACUAGCUACUAUCGGCUGAAUUGUUGGGGAUUGCCUUCAAACAAUCAAGCUUCUUCAAGCGACGAACGGUUAAGAGAGGUGGACAAACUAAAAGGGGAGAUGAAAGGCUUACAAAAAGAAGUGGAACGUCUACAAGCAUUAAUAUCUAAAAAAUUUCCUGAGGAGAAUCUAGGAUCCCCAUCACCUACAUCCGGUCCAUCGAUUAACCUGCAGGCAAGAAAUUUUAGAAUAUUUUUUCUUGUAUUUCGUAUUUUCUAUCAACUCAUUACUAUUGUUUGAACUAAUAUAAAUUUAUUGCAUUUUUUACUUUCAGGUUGUAGAUCAUGGUAGUGCAAAUUGUUCUUCUUCUAACAAUCGGUCAUCAAAUUCAAGUUAUGAACCACAAACCAAUCUUCAUGGGCGAACCGUUUAAAUGCAACCAGUGAAAGACAAGAAUCAUAUUUUGUUUACUUAAGAACUCAAUGGAUUAAAAGACGAGUCACAUUUUGUUUAGUAAAGUACUCGUGAAUUUCUUUUUUCUUAUUUUUUGUUGAAGUUUAGACUGACAUUAUGCAUUUUGGUGCAUCACAAGUGAUUAGCUGCUAUAUAUCACUACAACAAAUAGAGCUUCUUCCGACAGUUUUUUUACCAAUAAUUAGGCUAACUGCCACUAAAAGUAUAUUAUACCAGCGCUUUUUAUUUUUAUUGCAGCAGUUACUAAACCGCUGGUAUAUAUGCUGAUAAUUCUCAAAUUUAUAAAUAAUAUUGGACCAAUGGACUAUGUUUUAUUAAUUUUUUCCAUCAAUUGGGCCAUGGGCCAACCUUGGGCUCUCCUUAUAUUUCAAAUAACCCCUCUCUCUCUCUCUCUCUCUCUCUCUCUCUCUAUCUCUCUCUCCCCUCGAUCUCUAUCUCUGAGCUCUACCCAGAGAUUUUCGGAGAUCUCCACGAUCUCCACCACGAGCUCUCCAUCUCUGAGCUUUCCUUUUUUUUUCAAAUCGGAGAUCUCCGCCGCUUCAAGAGGCUGGGAUUUUCGGAGAUUUCGAGCUCAAUCGCCUUCUCCGAGCGAUUUCUCACCCGGAUCUACACACGAUUCCACGAUCGCGUGGGAGAGGUGAGCUAUUGAUCUUCUUUUAUUUUUCUGGAAGAACUUGUAUCAGUUUCUGCAUGUAUCUGCUUCUAGAUGUGUAGUUUGCAUUAAAAGAAUUGUGUUUCUCCUCAUUUCUGCGUUUAGACCUGAUUAAACUUGAAUUAAAUUAGGGAGAAUUAAAUGAGAUGAGAAGCUUAAAAAGAAUCAAACCUCGGAUUUCCUGAGCUACUAUAUAGAAAAGAGUCUUUGUGAUGGUAGGGAACAGCUGAGAAGCAUGAUUUAAAAACCAUUUCUUCUCAUCCCGUAAGGAAUAAUCAUGGCUUUGAUGGCACCGGUUUGAUUGAGAUAUGAUUUAAUAGGUAGAUAAACAUUUUUCCAUGCUUUUAUUUAUGUUUUAUUUGGAUGUAUAAAUAUCUUAUUUAAUUUAUUUUUAAAAUUUAUUUUAAAAAUAAAUAAUAUUUAAAAGAAAAGGAGUAUGAUCUAAUAUCUAAAAGGAAAAUUAUAUUCGGCCUUUUAAGUUUUUUUUUUAAAUAAAAUAAAUUACUUCAAAAGUAAAAUAUGUUAUCCUACAAAAUUAUAUAUAUUAAUAAAUUUUUAAGAAUUAAAAAACAGAUUUAUAAUUUUCAGUCAUAUAAUUUUUAUUUUUUUUUCUAAUUUCCUCAUAAAUAUGGACCGUGUCAGGUUUUUUUUUUUUUUAAAAAAAAAAUACUAUCUAUACAUCAACGAGCAAAGCUCAAACUUUGCAAAUAUGUAUGCACUGUUCUUGAGUUCUUGAGUUUGUACUGAAGCAUGUUUGGUUGUACCAUUGUAAUUAGUUCUCCGCUUAAUUUUUUAUGAAGUAGAAUCCUAGGUUCAAUUAAUGUAAUUGAGAUUCAGGGGAUAAUAUGAACGGAGCUAGGCUGCACUAUAGUUUCUCUACUUUGUUAUUCAAUUAAGAUUCAUUAAUUUAUUGGUGGAGCCUGAUGUAAUGUGAUUAUACAUUUACUUUGUAAUGAUGAUGAUGAUGAUGAUGAUGAUGCCUAGGUGUAGUUAAUUACGCAGAUAUAUAUAUGCCUGCAGGGUUUGGAUGAGGCUUUUAUUUAUUAAUUUAAUCAGGCAAUUACUGCAAUAAAAACCUUGUUUGUAUUCGAAAGUGCUUGUUAAAUCAGAAUUCAGAUUUACAUCCCUUAACCUUGUUUGUAUUCGGAAGUGCAGCAUCUAUUUCCUCAUUUUAUCUUGUAGUUAUGAAAAAAAUGGAAUCAUUUUAUUUUAUAAAUAAUUGCUUGUCACUUCUGAAAUAACUGAUAAAUAAUUAUGUUUAAGGACAAAGUUGUCGGCAUUCGCACUUGCCAUUAUUUUGAGUAUUCAUGCAUGCCCAUUUUUGAGUUUUACUUCCUUUUUUCUUUAAUUUGACUAAAGUAGUUAACCAAUAGAACCUGGUUGUUACAUUAUUUUUUUGUUGUAGAUAGCCUUUAGUAAUCCAGGCAAAAUUGAACCUCCAAUAAGUUGAUAUUUGCAUAGUGUCAUCCAUAUNCUGUCUUGGAGGAGAUAGGCGGGUUCCGAGUUGUUGUUGCUUAUGUACAUAUUUCUUUAUUUGUUAAAGGUCCUAUUGUAAAGUUAUAUGUACCGAACGUGCUCCCGUUCGUUGUUAGUGUUCACUAUCAUUCGAUCGAUAUGUCUUUUUAAGUGUCAUUAAAUUUUGAAAAUGGGCUUGACAUAUUGACUUUGUAAAUCAAUAUAUGUACGAAAUGUUAUGUAAGUAAUUGUACAGAGUCAUGUAGUUUUAUCUACUAUGUACUUGAGUUUUACCAUUGACGAUUUUGAAACCACAGUCGAUCGAUUCGACGUCCCGGGAACGGUGCUAGGAGCCGGUGUUGUGAGCGUGACCUUGGACAUACCUAUCACCACACUCUUGAUGUUCUUUCAAGGGUCACCCAAGCCGGCGGCUGGAGCGGCUGAGUGGGUGAUCCAGAUAAGUCCGUAUACAUCCGUUUUUUUCAUUGUGUCUAUCAUUGGUUGACAUGUACAUUGAUGAUGUUACGGACAUGUUCGACUUUCUUUCGUUAUAUCCUUUUGACAUUUAUACGUACGUACGAAAAAUGACUUAAAUGGGUUAAGUAACCAAUUGGGAAAACCAAUUGUUAGUGAGUGACUAUGAUAGGGUUUAUAGCCCCUCUGCGUUGGACGUGGGCUGCCCUGACAGUUGAUCCCCUCUGCGUUGGAGGACCAGGUCAUUUCUACUGAUGAGGCCUCGAGUAGCAGGUUCCCCCUCGCUGGGGUGAACUUGGUUUGUUUACACUCAUACUAGACUAGGGGGAAAUCUCCUAAGUUGACUGUUUGUGACAGUGUGAAAUGAGAUUGAUCAAGAAAUAUGAUCAAAGUGUUAAGGUAAAGAGCUACGAUUGGUUUAGAGAUCAACUUACAGUGGUUCAAAUGAUAACAAUAUCAGGUAUGUAAGUAUCCCAAGAUACAGGUGUAAGAUUCAAGUGUAAAAGAGUUGUAACUAUUUGUAAGUGUAUAAGUUGAUAGUGAACGUAUUAUAGUGAUGGGAUACUACGUACUUAUGUUCAUUAUACGAGUUACCUUUUGGUAUCUGUACUUUCCACUAAGUUUCUGAAGCCUAUCGUGGUGGGUGGACAUCACCACAGUUAGUUGACUCUAGUUACAGAGCCUCACGCAGCUGUUGAUCAUGAGCGCUGAGUCACGGUUAGCUUGAUCUUGCCAGAGAUGGCAUUAAUCGUGCAGCGGCUGGACAGCUUUUCAGUUAAAUCUGAAAGCUUGUGCUAAUUAAUAGUAAGUAUAUUCUGAUCCUCCCUAAUUUGGUCUCAGUUAUGAGUAUGAAAUGUUCAAUCGGAAAGGUUAAGGUUCAUAGGUACAUAUACAUAUGUAAUAACAAAUUCCUAUGUUUAGUCGGGUUACGACUAAAGUCGUAGUUCGACUUUGAUCAGAGUACGACUUAAAAGUCGUUAAGUGGAGAAGAACUCGUUAGUCUAAGACGAUCUCGUUGAUUAGUGGAAAAUAGAACAAAAUGAUGACUCAAUCAAAGGAGUCGGAAUUAUAGUUCAGAAGUUACGACUAAAGUCGUAAACUUGAAGUGUCGAAAGUCGUAAUUAAGUUUACGAUUGGAGUUGAAAUCGAUGAAUGUUAGUCAGCGUUACAUCGAUUAUGUGAUGAACUAAGUCCUUAUUUGUAGUUAAAUGGAGUGAUCGACAUGGUUACGAGUUCUCAAGAAAGAGAAUUGACCAAAGGACGAGUUAUCGGGGUUUAGACUUUAAAGUCGUUGUAUCGAGAAUUGAAUUAGGUAAAAUAUCGUUAAUUAACCUGAUAUUAGGUUAUGCCUUACUCGAAUGGAGUCAAACGACGACUUCAUUGAACGGGUGCCGAAGUUUACUAGGUGGAGUCAACAUUAUGUGACUUGAAAACGUUUAACGCCUCAAGCUCAUACACCUUACCACACACCUAGUGAGGAUGUACAAGAUUUUCCAAUCUUGUUCAAAAACCUAUUCAAUCUCCUACUAACCUUACGCUUUUCACUCUUUUGCGUAACUUGUCCGCUUUAGUCGGAAAAGACGAACGACAUGGCCAUGUCGGCGAUACCACAUGGCCAUGUGUCACCGUUAAGCACCGUCGUUCCGAUAAAACCAUUAAAGUGGAGAACAGGGAUAGAUGAACUGGGGCCGUACUGGACCCUACGAGUCUCCUCCGACGAUCUCAAGACUCUUCCGAAGAAAAUGGAAGAAGAGAGAGAGAGAGAUCCUUAAAAGAGAGAGAUGUAUCUUCAGCAGCAAAACGCGGUUAAAGCGCGGCGCGAGCAACGAGCGACCAAGCCUCUGAGUUCCCUUCAGAAACCUUGCACCCUUUCUCCUCGAAACCACACAAAGAUACUCCAAUGACGGUCCCCUUCGACUUAAAGUCAAAAUCUCUCCAUUAGUUGAGCUAAAGAGAGAUCAAAGGCCAAAAUACAACUUAAACCUGUAGAAAAACACAAUCACGAAGCUUGACUUAAUCCUCCACAAAUGUCGUCAUUUCUCCUCGAAACAACCGACGAUUAAUGGGGAAAUUUGAGACACCUUGAACGAAAUUUCGAAUUUUACCGAUUAAUCAUUUGAUAUGGAGUUAAAGCCUUGAUAAACUGCAAAUGAAUCAGCUUAACUACGUUUAAACCUUAAAAAGAAGCGUCGUCCAGAAGCUCAGAGCAACUCGACUUGAACGUGAGAAUCUUCGACCAAACCUUCCAUAAGAUUGGACUCCACGUUCGGCGUCUGUGUACGGGCCCGGAUCGACCAAAGUGGCGAUAGCGGGACGUGACAGCAUCUGCAUUUGGAGAAGCAUCAAAGGGCACUAGUAAAAUCUAUAACUAUGAAGUCCCUAAUGUAAAUGCUAAUAUGCAUGAUAUGUUAAGUGAAGUUUUUUAAAUUAAUAAUCAAACUCUAGAAGAAGCUGGAGGUGAUGAUUGUUUCCAUGAGUCAUCAAGUGAAGGUCCUGAUGUACAACAAUUUACACAACAAUCUACAGAAGGGAUGAAUGAAGAUGCUAGAAAGUUUUUUACCUUGCUUGAAGAUGCAGAACUACCACUGUAUGAGGGGUGUGAGAAAUACAGUAAAUUAAUAGCAAUUUUGGUUCUAUACCAUUUGAAGUAUCUUAAUGGGUAGAGUAACAAGUCAUUUACUAUGUUGCUUGAAGUGUUGAGGAAUAUGCUUCCUUCUGGUUCUAGAUUGCCAGAAGAUUCCUACAAGGCUAAAAAGUAUAUUAUGGACUUAGGACUUAAAUAUGAAAAAAUUCAUGCUUGUCCUAACGGCUGUGUAUUAUUUUGGAAAGAUAAUACAUGUGCUAAUUUUUGUCCAACAUGUGGUGCUUCAAGAUGGAAACCUGAAGAGGCAAGUCCUAAAGUAGAUGUGGAAGAGGAAUCUACUAGGAAGAAAAAACCUGCAAAAGUUUUAAGGUGGUUUUCCUCUAAAGCCAAGACUACAAAGGUUGUUCACGUCUUCUAAAACUGCUUCUUUAAUGAAAUGGCACGCUGAGGGUCGCAGAAAUGAUGGUGUUAUGAGGCAUCCUGCUGAUUCACCGGCAUGGAAAGCUUUUGAUAAGCAAUAUGUGCACUUUUCAUUGGAUCAUCGUAAUGUCAGACUUGGUUUAGCUACUGAUGGCUUUAACCCUUUUCGAAUGAUGAGUGCUAGUUAUAGUUGUUGGCCUGUUAUCUUGAUCCCAUAUAACUUACCACCAUGGAUAUGUAUGAAACGAUCUUCUUUCAUCUUGUCUUUGCUAAUAUCAGGCCCAAACUCACCUUCUACUAAUAUUGCUGUGUAUUUACAACCUUUAAUUGAUAAACUUAAAGAAUUGUGGGAGUUUGGAAUUGAAACUUAUGAUUACUCUAGUGGAGAAACCUUUCAAAUGCAUGCUGCUUUAUUGUGGACAAUUAAUGACUUUCGAGCUUAUGGUGAUUUGUCUGGGUGGAAUACCAAAGGUGCUCUUGCUUGCCCUUCUUGUAACUAUAGUACUCACUAUCGAUGGCUAAAAUAUGGAGGUAAAUAUUGUUUUAUGGGACAUAGGCGGUUCCUACAUAACAAUCAUAGAUUUCGAAAGGAUAGAAUGUCAUUUGAUGGCACUCAAGAGAUGGAAGCAGCACCUAAAAUGCUAUCCGNUGCUAUCCGGAAGUGAUAUUUUGCAACAAACUAAAGAUAUUGAAUGCAAUUUUGGUAAGUAUGUUAAUUCAACAAAAGGUAAGAGGAAACGAGGCGUACAUGAAAAGUUGCAACCAUGGAAGAAAAGGAGUAUAUUCUUUACAUUGCCUUAUUGGGAACAUCUUCUUAUCCGUCAUAAUCUUGAUGUCAUGCACGUGGAAAAGAAUGUAAGUGACAAUAUUCUUGGUACAUUGUUGAAUCUUGAUGGUAAAACUAAAGAUAAUUUGAAGGCACGAUGUGAUCUACAAGACAUCGGUAUACGACAUGAACUUCACCCUCAAAGUGUUGAUUCAAAUAAGAUAUAUCUACCACCAGCUUGUUUCGUUAUGUCUCUGAAAGAUAGGGAUGAGUUCUUAAAAGUUUUAAAGAAUGUAAAAGUACCAGAUGGUUACUCAUCAAACAUAUCACGAUGUAUUCAACUCAAGCAGCAUAAGAUUACAGGAUUGAAAAGCCAUGAUUCUCAUAUUCUGAUGCAACAGCUACUUGUCGUAGCAUUGCGUGGUGCUUUGCCGAAGGUAGUAGUUGCACCUUUAAUUGAUUUAUGUUGUAUUUUUCGCGAGCUAUGUUCUAAAACCUUGAAUGUACAAGAGCUUGAGCGUCUAGAAUCUCGAAGUGUGGAGACAUUAUGCCAUCUUGAAAGAAUCUUCCCCCCAUCAUUUUUUACGAUUAUUGUCCAUUUGGUAACUCACUUGGCUACGGAAGCAAAAAUCGCAGGACCGGUUCAAUACCGUUGGAUGUAUCCAAUUGAGAGGUUAGAAAUUUCUAUUCAAAAGUUUUCACAUUUAUUCUUAAAGACCUAUUGCCUCUUUUUUUUUUUGUUAGUCUUUAAUUAUUAUGUUUCUAACCUAUAGGUUUCUUUUUGAUCUCAAGUCUGAUGUACGUAAUAAAGCCCAUCCGGAGGGCUCAAUAGCUGAGGGAUAUUUAGUAGAGGAGUGUAUGACGUUUUGUUCGAGAUAUUUAGAUUCUGUCGAAACCAUAUUCAAUCGACCUGCAAGAAAUAUUGACGGUUCAAUUGGGGCAACAUCACACAUUCAUCUUGAUCAAAAAACAUGGAUGCAAGCACAUAGAUAUGUACUAUUUAAUAGUAAUGAAAUAAAUCCUUUUCGAAGGUUAGUUUUGAUAUUACAUAAGCCUUGCAUACUAGUUCACUUAUGAUGUCUUACUAAUAAUACUCUUUUAUUUUGUUUAAGUAUUCAUAAGGAUAUAAUAAAAAGACAAAAGCGUGGAACCCGCCCAAGUGAAGCUGUUAUAAAUAAAAUUCAUAUGGAGAACUUUGUUGAUUGGUUUCAAUCGUAUGUAAGUAUUUAUUUAUUUACAUGCUUCCUAAUAUUAUUCAAUUAGGAAUUUGAUGUUUCAUUUUGUACUUAUAGGCUUUACAAUAUGGUAGGUUAUGAAUUCCGAUGGUGGAAAGGAUGACCGGUUCACGGAGAAGAUAAAAUGGUUGGCUCAUGGCCCAAACAAUUUGUGUAGAAGCUUUCGGGGAUAUAUUAUAAAUGGCACCAAAUUUCGCACCAAAAAUUAUGAAAGUAAUAUGAAGACUCAAAAUAGUGGAGUUUCAGUGGAAACUGAAGGAGGCUUAACUUACUAUGGUAUUUUAAGCGAUAUAAUUGAGUUGAACUAUUAUGAUAAAUUGCGAUUUAUUUUAUUCAAGUGCGACUGGGCUGAUGUUACAUCAAAUAAGGGGCACAAGAUAGAUGAAUUUGGAUUAGUUCUCGUAAAUUUUUCAUACUUGAUCCAUACAGGCGCAAAAUCGAAUGAUGAACCUUUUAUUUUGGCAUCUCAGGCAAGGCAAGUAUACUAUAUAGAAGAUCAAAGAAACAAAGAUUGGCUUACUGUUGUAAAAGCUAAGCCUAGGGAUGUGUUUGAUAUUGGUAGUCAUGAAACUUGUGAAGAUAAUGAGAAUAGUCAUUGUGAUAAUCUACCAUAUAAUAUCGAUAUAACAAGUAUGCUGGAAAGCUUGAAUGAAAAUCUAGACUGGACUAGAGAUGAUGCGGAUGGAACCACAAUUAGUGAAGCACCUUCUCAUGAAAACCUACCGUUAGAAGAGGAGUAUAGCAACAACUCCGAGUCAGAUGGUGAUAUGGAAAAUACGUGCCAUUCUAGCUAAAGUGAGUUAUAAGUUGCUUCUUUGUUCACAAAAUUGGGUUUUGCUUCUGAUUGCCUUGGUUGUUUAUAUUCAUUGCUGUGUGAAUUACUAGAAUUUGUUGUUUAUAUUUAUUGCUUCUGAUUGCCUUGGUUGUUUAUAUUCAUGGUAGAUAAGAUUUUUGGAUCGUGGUCAAUUUUGCAUAACUCUUGUGAUAUUUUCCAUCUUUUGAUAAACAGUGAUAGUAAUGCAUGGCAAUUGAAGUAUGAUUUAUCAUAAGAUUGCUUCAUGAAUUUUGUGGAUGCAGCAAUGUAUCCUGUUCAUUGAAUUACAAAGUGAAAGUAAUUAAUUUUUUAUGUUCAAUAUGCUUAUUCAAUGUUCAAUUGUGCCUGUUUGUUCUAGCUGUUGUAGUGUGUAAGGUACUCAGUUAUUCUCUCCCUCCAUCUGAGACGAAGUGUUUUAAUCUAUGUUCCUUAAACAGGUUAGAUCAUAUUUCCUAGUGUUUAGUACUGGAUCAGAGGCCGCAGGAAUUGAUGUUUAGUUAGGGCUUCAUGUGAAUUUGAUAUUUCUUUUUUACCGCUAUGGAAAUGUAGUUGAUUGCAGUUUUUAAUUGAACGUGUGUAGAAGGUGCAUAGGCAUAGCUAUCCAUAAUUUCGUAUCCACAGAUUUUAUGGGCUUGUUUGGAUGCCGGAACAGGUUAUCUGAUGUCAUCUGAUGAUAAUGGUAAUGUGUGUGUUAUAGAAUUUGAUUUGUGAAUGCAACCAAGAGAAUAGAUUUUUAGCUACAGUGAAUAGUUAAUAAUUCCGGCUUCUCUGUUUUCGAGAUAGCAAAUUCCACUGACGAGGAGAUUUAUCAUAUCAUAUUCUGUGAAACAUAAAUUAGAGGCAGGAUAUAAAAUAUAUUUGAUUGUAGGCAUCCUUCCAUAAUCUCCAUCUACUAAUUACAAAUUACAACAUGCCCCUUGAGUAAAUUGAAGAUGCAUACUAAACAAGAUAUUCGUGGAUCCGAAUAGGCCCUGCUGAUUUAUAACUUAAGGUUCAGUUCAUAUAUCUCUUUCAUCACAAUUUAUUCUUGCCUAAUUUUUGAGCUCUUCACCUUCUCAUAAAGUAUAUUGCUCUUUAUGUUAGCUUUUUAUGAUAUAAGGCGCUUAUAUAAGUUCAACGACUUCUACUUCGACAAGGAGGAAGAGUUCGUCAUCCGAUUGCAGGUAUCUGUCUAAAAUCAACAUCCUUCUUUUCCCCUGUCCUCUUCUCUCCGCACUUUUUAACCUAUAUAUGUAUAUCUUUCAAUCUGAAAAGUAGAGCAGAGCUUUUUAACCUAUAUAUGUAUACCAUCAAUUUUGUUCACCGGGCUUUGAGUAAUAUUAUAGGUGCUUGAGUUGGGGAAUGUGUCUAAAAUUAUGCCAGAUGGAUUUGUGAGGUCACUUAUCCAGUGUGAUUCUAAUUAAGGAAAAAAAAACUGACAAUUCAUCCAUAGUAAGUACAGUAAGUACUAUGUUAAGAUGGAAGUUUUCAGACAUGAACAAAAUAAUAGAUGUAAAAGCUUAGAAGUAUAAGCUGUUAUAUCUCACAUCAUGCACCAAUCACUAAUUACUAUAGAUUACAAAAACGCAGAACUAGAAAAAAGGACCUAUGCUACCACUUCUUCCAAGCUUCAAGUACCCGUUCAUAAGAAGCUCUGCAAAGUAAGAACGACUAGACUUUCUUGCUAUUGGCAAUUCGGAGAGAAACUUAUACAACAAAAUGUGAUAUCCUGACAACUUCAGAACCUAACUUACAUAGGGUUGAAGCUCCCCUUAACAUAAUAGCAGUAAUCAAAUGAACUAUGGAGUCAUUUGAGAAAUCCAAUUCUUGUUAAUUCUAACCAGGUUCUUGCAUUGUCUAUGCCUUAGUGAUUAGUAAUUUGGUUCUUGUUUGGAUAGGUUGUCGCUAAGAGUUCUUGCUCCAGGUGCUACUCGAGAUCCAUUACUUGUCACGCCCCGAGCCCGCUACCAAUUUGGUCCGGUUCAGGCGCGUCGAACAGACGCCGAACGGACAGCACCUCUCUUGUCCGCCCAAGGCCAAACAACCAGAUCAUGUACAGUUAAGCGCCCAGGGAAUGCUUAAUUAACAUACAUGAUCAAUACGAUGCACACAAGUGCAUAAUAGCUAAGAGCAAGAACCACGAGUGAAAUACAAGUGUGUAAAGAGAGUACAUCUAGCUAAUACAAUCAUUCAACAUUUACAUCAUUUGAAUAUAUUACAUUUCCAUCUUCCAAAUGUAAAUACAUGUUCUCAAAAUACCUCAUGGCUUUCCAAUAUCUAUCCAAAACAUCUGGUACACGAGGGUACUCUAAUGCAUAAAGGAAAGCUACUAACUAUGCUCACUUAGGGCGCUAUACCCUUGCCGCGAUCCUCGCCCGGCCCGCCUCUAUGUGUACCUGUACCCCAGAACCACACGGGGUGAGAACUAUAUAAAUAUAGUUCCCAGUGGGUUCGGUCGCCGACGCCGCCGGUGUAAGGUACCGGACUUCUAAAACUAUGAAGUUACGGUGUACAUUUGAUUGGAGAGCCGUUUGAAUGGUUUCGGUGAGGUCCCGGUGAGGUCCGGAAGCAUUCGGGCGUUGUCGGUACGCGUAGGCGCUAAAACGGACCCGAAAGGCUAAGUUGGGCCGUGAGUUAAAUCCGGCAUUAGCGAGGAUGGAAAGAUGAUGAAAACAUGUUUGAAAACAUGUUUGGAGAGUCUCGGUUCGAUUUGAGACGAAUCGGAGGUCAAACGAACGAAAACGGGCGAAAACGGAGCGAAAACGGACGAAGCUGAAAAUUGGCUAAGUCUGGGCUGGAGGUCUCUCUGGGACCGGUCCCAGGUAGAGAGACCGGUCUCUCAGAGACCGGUCCCUCAUGUAGAGACCGGUCCCCGAACCCCGAAAAUGCCCAGUUCGGGCUGUUGCAAGAGAGGCUUUGUUGAGGGGCUUAAGUGCAAUUUUGCACUUAUUAGAGUGUAUAGAAUGGGGGAUUAGGUCUUUCUCUCCCUCUCCCUCAACCGUGUGAACCCAAAACCCACCCCUCUCUCUCUCUAGAAAGAAAAGAAGAAGAAGAAGAAGAAGAAGGAGAAGAGGAAGAAGAAGAAGAAGAAGAAGAGAAAGAGCUUUCCAUCUUCUUCAUUCCUUCCUUGUGCUUGGAGAGGCUUNAAGGCGUUGAUGCUUCUAAAAGUAUUCUAGAUCAAUUUUAUAUAUUCUAUCUCAAUUCUAUAUAUUAUAUAAUUAAGCUAGAAUACUUUUAGACACUACAACAAAUAGAGCUUCUUCUAACAGUUUUUUUACCAGCAAUUAGGCUAACUGCCGCUAAAAGUAUAUUAUACCAGCGCUUUUUAUUUUUAUUGCAGCAGUUACUAAACCGCUGGUAUAUAUGAUGAUAAUUUUCAAAUUUAUAAAUAAAAUUGGACCAAUGAAACUAUAUUUUAUUAUCUUUUUCCAUCAAUUGGGCCAUGGGCCAACCUUGGGCAAUAAACACUUUUCACAUUAGCUCUCCCUAUAUUUCAAAUAAUUGCGGGGAUUUGAGCUGGCUUAGUGUUUGCUCGGUCCAAAUCCGGUCCAGUCCAUCUACACUACCGUAGAGGUCAAUAGAACCCAACGGAAGAAAACCUCUAAAACCCUAGACCUUCUAAAUGGUCAUCUUCCUCCUCCUCCAACGAUGCUCCGCUAACUCUUUUCCCGGCCACUCCCCCUCCGCCUACAAACCCUAACCCUAUUGUCGUCCUCCUCUUCCUCCUCUCCCCUUCCUCCACCGCCACGCCCCAAUCCUUGCCUCCCUUUCUCUGGUCGCGACCCCACUUGGAGCUUCCUCCUCCGAUCGCUGAGAUUCUUCUCGGCCUCUCGAGGCGACGGGGGCGAUGACGAUGACGGGACCUGGAAGCUCUCUCCGGAGUUCGACGAGGUCGACUCCGUCUUCGGGGACAUCGCCGAGGGCGGCGAGGAGGUCUUCGUAUCGGAGGCGGUGGAGGACGUCGUGAAGGGAUUCACCGGCGGAAGCGGCGAUCCGUGGGCGGAGGGCGCCGCGGCGGACAGUAAGGGCGAUGUGUUCGAGGACAUUGAUCGGGAGGUCGCCUUGAAGGAAGGAGGGGGAGGCGUCGGAGAGGAAGAGUGGGGAACGGUUGAGGGGUACAAGCCGUGGACAUUGGGGGAGGAUGAGGAGACGGGCGAUGUUUUUGGCACUGAAGAGACUGAGGAGGCGGAGAAGGACGUCGCCUAUGAGAAGCAGAAACUGGAAGAGAGGGAGAAAGAGCUCUUAGAGACGCUCAAAGGUACUUCGCUCAGAUGAACUUCUUUGAACCCUUUAAUAAUUUGCUCUGAUCUCUCUCUCUCUCUCUCUCUCUCUCUCUCUCUCUCCUCUUUAUUUUCAAAUCGGAGAUCUCUACCAUGAAGCUUGAGCCGCUUCAAGAGAUUGGGAUUUUCGGAGAUUUCGCACUCAAUCGCCUUCUCCGGGCGAUUUCUUACUUGGAUCUACACACGAUUCCACGAUCGGGAGAGGUGAGCUAUUGAUUUUUCUUUCAUUUUUGGCUUUGAUCUCGAAUAGCUUCUCAAUUAAGCCAAAGUGUUCGUAAUCGGGGUUUCAGGAGUUAAUUUUUGGAUUCGCUUGUGGGAGAUAUUAUCCAGUUUUUUGACAAUAUUUGAUCAUCUACAUGCUGAUCUCUUUUAAAUUUAUUUCGAAACUGAAAUUUAGGCCUUUUUUGUGCUUCAUUAACACUGAUUUAUUAAGCUGUGUGAGAUUAUUUAGGUUUCAAGAUACAAGAGCUCAUUGAAUCUAACCAUCUAGGCCCAUCAACCUUUUGAUGCAUCUCUUACACGUUUACUAUAGGAUCUACAAAAGUGUAUUUGGGUAUCUCAUCUAUUGAAUAGCAUAUGUAAGCAGGACACGAUAAAUCCUGUUGAUAUUCCUCUUGCUUGCUUCCUUCUCUGGUACUUUUUUUGAGCAUCCCCAGCACAUAUUUAUGCUCUUCAAUUAAGUUCUGCGUAUCCUUGAUAGGAUUACUUUGAAUUAUUUUGUAACACUGCACCUUGUAAGUACUUGAUAUAAAAUUGAGUAUUAGAAUUGGUAUAUGUUGUGUGCAUGUGGACUGCACAUUAAAUAUUCAAAUUUCAAUGUUAUGGUGGUACCCAUUUUCAUUUUUGAAUCAAAGAAGAAGAUCGUACUUAUGCAUAAACCAUCUAUCUUCUGCAGUAGCCAAGCCAUUAUUGGUUGAUGGAAGCGAAAAAUGCCACGAAUUAGCUCUCGCUUACGAUCAGUUUGGAUAAAAUUCCGGGUAUCCGUACCCAUUCAUCCCUAUCUAUAAAUGAGUAGAAUUUUGCAUUUUAAACUUAUCUCUGAUCCGUACAUUCUAAAGCUAAUCUUUCUUUAGAGUUAUUUUGAGCAUUUAAAUGAUUUGAAUUGGUUUUAAGAUCCCUAGUUUUGGAUCUGCACCAACUCAAACUGGUUGGUCUCAGAUUCUGCCAAAACUCCAAACAGUGCCUUACUGCACGAUCUAUCAUUUUCUCCGUACGUACAUGAAAUAUGGCGCCUGAGAUAAAACUUGUAAUACUGUAUGAGUCUGUAAGAAUUAAUUCUUAGGUGUAUAUGGUUAAUUGGAUUGCCUGAAUUUGUAUAUUAGUCAAUAUCAUUUGGCUUAUUAUAAUUCAUUAUUCAGAUCACUUGUGCAUGCCAUCUUUCCAUCUAAUUUCCUGCUUGAAAAGCUGUUUGCCCUGUGAAGAAUCAGCUUUUUCCCCCUCUUCAAGAACAAAUCUAUCUACCGAGAUUCCUCAUGCGUCAUGAGUGGUUCUCUUGAACUGCAAUUUUCUACUCUAUAUGAAUUCUAUUGUUGAUUUGAAAAUUGAAAGUAGAUAGAAUCACGUAUAUUCUUCUGAUGUGCUCUUUUUGUUUUUUAAGUCUCAGUGCAAUUCUAUGAACUGGAAAUAGGUAAAUAUGUUUGGAGAUCCCUCAAUUAUAGACCAUUUUAAGAUAGGCUCCUGUGCAUCACCUCAACUUUGAAUUUUUUUUUUUUUUUUGUGAAUUUAGGAUUCCAUUUAAAUCGAUAGCUUCAUUAGCUAUUGGUUCUCAAGUACUAAUGGAAUCCACCACCUUUAGCUUAAAAGCAGUCAGAGCCAUUAAUGUAACCUGCAUUUCAACGCGCCGAAAUUACUGUUGGUUAAAGUGAAUGAAAGUUGAUGUGGGCGUCAAAAUAAAAAAAAAAAGAAAAGCGAAGUUCGAGUGUUUAUUUCAGAAUGCCCUCGUGAGGGUGUCCCCAUACUUUUUACAUUGUAGCCAUUUGACAGAAUUCUCACAGUUGUAUUGCUGUCGAAAACUUUUCUUUUACAUUUGAAAAUCUUUGCUCCUCCUGUUCAGUAACCUUAUUCUAUUUAAAUUUCUGCAGGUCUUUGACGCGCGAGUAGGCCAAGUCAUGUAAAGAAGGUGGUUGGAUGUGCUUCCAUGAUUAGUCAUCGACAUUCCUCGUCGACGAAAAACUUACGUCUCUCUGUGUAUCCAUUUUCUGGAAUAUAUAUAUAUAUAUAUAUAUAUAUAUAUAUAUAUAUAUAUAUAUAUCAACUCAUUGCUAAAUUAAUUGACUAAUGAUGUUCCACCAAAUGAUAGGAAUUCUGCCACUACAAAUGCCAGUCAUAAAUGAUUGCUACUGCAUAACAAGAAGUUCGAGCCAAUGCCCUGUUAUAGAGCUUUUCUGUUUUCAGAUUUUUAAAGUUUUUGUUGUUGUUGCAGGAUUUGGUAAAGUGCCAGGCUAUGAGCACGUAUUCACGGACUUUCUCCUAAGCCUAGUGCAGAGCAAGUACAAACGGCGCUUGGCAAACAGUUAAACACGACGCGUCGUACGACCCAUAAAACUCCCAAAGUACCCUGAAAUUCGCCUGUCCACAUACUCCCAACAAGAAUUCCCAUGUACAUAACAGGGAUAGUUCCGGUGGGUGCUUUAGUCGCUGCGAGCAUAACCUCCCUCGUCGCCCUUUAAAUUCACUAAAGUAAGCUCUUCUGCCACGAAUGUAUGCAAUAAUAUCUCCUUUAAUCACAAGCUUCUUAACCUUAGGUUAUUUUGUGCUUUUAAGUUCCUUUUUGGAAAUUUUGAUAAAGAAGGUUGUUGAUUACUUUUGCUGCGCUCAUAAUAGCUGAUAUAAACAUAUAGAAAGUGAAUACGCGACUAGUGAAUGUUUGAAUGAUUAGACAUCUGAGAGAUAAUAUGUGGCUGUUGUAGUUUGAUAUUUGUAAUCUUGCGUUUACUGUAAUAGUAGCCUGAUAUCUUUGCAUGUUCCUUAUCGGAAGCACUCGGUAUUCUAUUUUUGUUUAUAUUUGAAUUGCUUGUUGAUAUCCUUGCAGUGUUCUUUGUGCUAGUAAUUUUUUAAAAAAUUGCUUUGAUGUAAUAUGUAAAUGAAUGGUGAUAAAAUGCUUUCGUAUGUAUGUGGGGGUUAUUCUUACCAGAUCCUGGUAGGAACUAAGGCAAUCUUUAACCUGGGGUAUAUAUAACUUUUUUAUGAAUAAGACUAUAGAAACUAGUGCUACUAUAUGUUUUUUUGCUCACGAUUGACUAGUUUGCUUGGUAUGUAGCUUGUAAAUUGCAUGAGAUUGCUAGCAAGUAUUUUAUGGUAUAACAUGGAUCAACAGUAUAAUGUAUUUUUUUUUUAGGGAAAACUUCAAAAACCCCCCCUGUGGUUUCAUACGUUUUUAUUUUAGUACCCUGUGGUUUGAAAUGUAUCAAGUUAGUACCUUGUGGUUUCUCACUUUAUCACUUUAGUACCCUGUGGUUUAAAAUGUAUCAAGUUAGUACCCUGUGGUUUCUCACUUUAUCACUUUAGUACCCUGUGGUUUUGCACUUUAUCACUUUAGUACCCUAUGGUUUAUAUAAAUCACAGGGUACUAACUUAAAAAAAAAAAACACAAGGUACUAAAGUGAUAAAAUGCAAAACCACAGGGUACUAACUUGAUACAUUUUAAACCACUGGGUACUAAAGUGAUAAAGUGAGAAAGCACAGAGUACUAAUUUGAUACAUUUUAAAUCACAGGGUACGAAAGUGAAAAAAAGUGAAACCACAGGGGAGAUUUUUGAAGUUUUCCCUUUUUUUACAUUAUUGUAGGAACGAAGUAGAAAGAAACGACAUAACAGGGAUCAGCAAAUAGACUUUUAUGCAGCUGGUUCAAAAUCGAUAGCGCAAUAUGCAUAUAAUAUGGUAUUUGAUAUCUUCCUUUAUCAAUUUUUUGGAUCCUGGUUUCUUAACUAAAGUUGUUCUAUAUAUUUUGCACACAUUAUGUAGGAGAAAAAUAGAGUAGUUCCAACAAGAGAAAAGCUAUAUGUGGUGCAUCACAAACCGCCUGAAAAUGGAGGCUACAUAAUCAUUUUCUGUUGUGAAUUCGUCAAGUUAGUAAUUGUUGUGCUGUGAGGAUUGGUAAAUGCACCUAUGAUUUACUCUUGUUCAGUCAAGGUCUAUAUUUCCUUAGAAGUUUUUCAGGAUGUGAUAUUUAUGCUGCUCUGAGGAGAAGAUUUAUGCUAACUUCUAAUUAAAUGACAAUCAAGCUGCGUAAUUUGACCUGAUUAAUAAUUAGAACUAAAAAGAUUUAGUUCUUAUGGCUGUUAUUUAUACUUUUAUUUUUUGCUAUAUGUUAUUUAUGAUAGAUUUUUUUUUGGAAUGAGCUUAUGCAACUUGUAUGUUUCAAUUUUUUUUGUUACAGAUUGAAGCAACAAGCAGGAUUUGACGUUCGCAUUUCAAGAACGUUUAGCUGGAGCUUUUCACUUUCCUUUUUCUUAGCUUUCUAACAUUUGGGAUUCAAAUAAAUUUUCUAUUGUAUUGAUUUCUAUUAAAACAUAAAAACUUAUUUUGUUGCAUUUUAUCACUGCUCUAGAUCAUUGCUUAUAGUUUUGUUUCAAGAAUGAUUGUAUUAUUUUAUUGCAAUUUAGUAAUAUGACUCCUUUUUUUUUUUAGAUAUUACAGAUUGUUGGUUUUACAAUUAAUAUCAAAUGGAAAAGCCUAUUGCAAUUUGUUGAUAUUAGUUUUUUUUUUCAUAUUAGUUUCAAAUUGCCAACGGUCAAAAACUAUCGGUACAUGCGCCUUACGUCAGUGUUUUUCUUGUAGUUUUAACGACGGUUUAAGAACUGUUGCUAAAGAUCAUCUUCACCGGUGGUUAGUAAAAGUGCUGGAAAAAUGUUAUACCAGCAAGGAUAUUGUAACGGUCAUCUGUACUUUUACCAACAGUUUUAGAAUUGCUGGAGCAAAUAUUACCAGCAGUUUUUGUAUUCUUUUCCAGCAGUUUUGACCGCUGGUAUAUGCCUAUAUUGUUGUAGUGAAUAGCACCAACCCCUUGGUGCUUCUAGGUUUCUAACCCUUGGAUCUACUCCUUGAUUACUAAUAGCCUUUGGAUCAAACACUAUCCCACCUAUCACUGCCUACCACCAACUACCACCAUCAUCUCUCCAUCCAAUGGCUAAAAACUCAAAAGCACCACCUUCAUGGUGCUUUUGAGAGUAUUCUAGCUCAACUAUAUAUAUAUAUACACAUAUAUAUAUAUAUAUAUAUAUAAUAUAUAUAUAUAUAUAUAUAUAUAUAUAUAAAAUACAUUAUGAUAUUCGCUAGAACAUGAAGAAUAAUAGUAUGUUCAUAUAUGCUCUUAGAUAUAAGCUGUUAUGAUCCAAUCAUGCACACAAUCACUAAUUACUAUAGAUUACAAAACGCAGAAUAGAAAAAGGACCUAUGCUCCACUUCUUCCAAGCUUCAAGUACCGGCGUUCAUAAGAAGCUCUGCAAAUAAGAAACUUAUACAAAAAAUGUGAUAUCUGACAAUUCAGAACCUAACUUACAUAGGGUUGAAGCUCCCUUAACAUAAUACAGUAAUCAAAUGAACUAUGGGUCAUUUGAGAAAUCUAAUUCUUGUUAUUUAACCAGGUUCUUGCAUUGUCUAUGCCUUAGUGAUUAGUAAUUUGGUUCUUGUUUGGAUAGUGUUGUCGCUAUUAGGUUUACUUAGUAAAUUGCAUUCGAGUAAAAUAGAUUUUUAUUUACUUUUUGAUGCUGGCACAUAUCUCUACCUGAUUUGAAAUGUUUACAGUAGAGUUUUCUUUUCAUUAUAUUUUUUUCUUUUCUUUCCAAGUCCCUGGGAAAAUAUUAGCUUUGGUAGUGUAAUGUUACAUCAAGUACUAUCCGUUUACUUGUGUCCGUUGAUCCAGGAUAUUCUACUAACCUUGCAAAAUCAAAGUUUGAUGUUCUUGUUUUCAUAGCGAUACUUCCUCCUCUUUCUUUUUCUGUCUCUCUGACUAUGUCUUUCUUUUUGGGGAUUCUUUCUUCUUCUCUCUUAAUUCUUUUAUCUAUUAUGGAGCUUAUAAACCACUUCUGGUAAUUCCAUGUUUUGAACUUGGAGCGUCCAUGUUUGUAUCUGUUCGAAGUUUCUGUUUCUGGAAUUUUGACAUAUGAAUGGAUAAAUGAAUAGUUCUCCCCAUUUCCUAAUUUUUCAAACGAAAUGUUUCCUGCUGUUAACAGAUAUAAAACAUGUUUGGUACAUUUAAACAACGAUUCAUAGCGUUUGAAACACUAGUUUUUCUUCAUGGAUCUAUCAAAAAACAGCACCUCUAAUACUUUUCCGAUCUAUCUAAAAACAUGGCUACUUUUUAUGUCUAAUAUCCUGUCACAUUUUAUGUCAAACAUGAUUUCUUUUGUAUAUAUGGUAUAUCAUUUUUCUAUCGUUCUUUACGCUUAAAGCCGUAAUUUAUAAGCUUACAAAUAGAUUCAGUACCUGACAAUCAUGUGCCAAAGUGUUGUUGUAUCCUUUUAACCAUGGUUCUAAGAUGCUGCUGCUUUAGAAUAUAAAUCUCAUAUAGUUCAUAUAGAUAUGGCAAAGAGAAAGCUCAAGUAUGCUCUGUUGAGGAUGAUCUAGGGCAGCCUAGAGAGGAACCACCACACAACAUCCUACACAGCCUCAAGUAUCCUUAUCAUCUCAUCAACACAAUGCAACUUCACAUAUAGCAGUUGAUGAUGUAGACCAAUUGUUGAUACUGAAGUUGAGUAUUGUGGUGGAAGGUAAUAUAUCAGGAUUGCUAUUAAACCUUUUUCUUUCUAUAAUGCAAAUAUGAUUUUUACUUCUAACGUUAUGAUCUCUUUUUUUAAUAGAUAGUUCAGGUUCACGUAAACACGAGGUUGUUACUCGUAUGUCCGACGUAUGGAAUUUGCCACCUGAAAUGCGCAUUUUUGUAAAGUUUAACAGCUUCUUCAGCCUGUUGAUACAGAAGGAGUGUUCUUCAUCGGUUUAUGGGCACUAUAGUCAGAAAGCCAAACUUGCUACCAAUUGAUUGCUUCAAUUGGCGGUAAAAUGGAUGCCAAAUAUAAGGAGUACUGUUGGAAGAUUCUUGAGGUAUUAAUUCAAUAAGUUUUCCUUAUUUCUUAAUUUAUUUUGAGUUAAAUAUUACCUAUAUAGAACUUUAAAGAGUGAUUUUUGGUUGCAGUCAAAAUUUUCAUUCCCUAAAGACCAAGAGAUUCGAGGACGGAGCGAAAUGAUUCAACGCAUCAUAAUGAAAAACUAGGAGAUCUUUGGAGAACUUUAAGUGUGAGCUGAAAUCAAAUAUUUUGAUGAAUCACUACAGAAAAAUGCCAUUUUUGAUGAAGGCACCGGCCUCGGUUAAUCGUGCACAAUUUAAUAACCGUUGUGAUUUUUGGUUCUCCAACGAAGGGAAGGUAUCCUAAUAUUUUCAUAAUUCACUUAUUACUUGUAAGAUACUAAUUUUUUUUUUAUGAAUAAGACUAUAGAAACUGGUGCUAUUAUAUAUUUUUUUUGCCCACGAUUGACUAGUUUGCUUGGUAUAUAUGUAGCUGUGAAAUUGUAUGAGAUUGCUAGCAAGUAUUUUAUGGCAUAACAUGGAUCAGCAAUAUAAUGUAUUUUUUUACAUUAUUGUAGGAACGAAGUAGAAAGAUCGACAUAACAGGAUCAGCAAAUGGACUUUUAUGCAGCUGGUUCAAAAUCGAUAGCGCAAUAUGCAUAUAAUAUGGUAUUUGAUAUCUUCUUUUAUCAAUUUUUUGGAUCCUGGUUCUUAACUAAAGUUGUUCUAAUAUAUUUGCACACAUUGUGUAGGAGAAAAAUGGAGUAGUUCCAACAAGAGGAAAGCUAUAUGUGGUGAUGCACAAAAAGAAAAAAAUGGAGAACCUGUUACAGAAUUAGCAAAAAACAAAAUUGUGAUGUUUUAUAUGACUCUGUAAUUAAAUUAAGUCAUAUUUUCUUAGCUAAUUUAUUAUAAUUGUUUUAUACUUUCUAUACUAUAGGAAAAGCUGGAGCACUCAACCAAAAAGAAGUAGAUGUCUCACAAACUGGUAGCUCAGGAGGAAGCUUAAUGUGGCGCAGCUACUGAUGCUUAUGCGAAGUGAUAGGCAAAGAACGGCAUGGCCGUGUUCGUGGUGUAGGAUUCGGCCAACUCUUCUAUGUUUGGUACCUCAUCAAUUAACACAUCUCAGCGGCUAAGGAUGGUUCCGGAAGAAGAAAUUUUAAGGGAUAAAGAGGAAAUACGUGAUCUUAAAGACAGAUUAAAAUUCAUAGAGGAAAAGUGGCAUUCCUUUUAUCCAACAAUCAAAUAUUUGUUCUUCACAGAGUUACGUAUCGUAAAUAUGUUAUUUUGUUAGCUUUUAAUCUUUUGAAUAAAGUCUUAUAUUCUUUUAUUAUAGGUUGAAAAGAUUGCUGAAGAUAUAAUUUUAGAGAGAUCAAGUGAUCAGGUAUUGUCAACUUGUCGAUUGAGAAUUAUAAUUUAAUUGAUUUGUUUGUGGUUGAUUCAAUUGAGGUGUUAGGUAAUAAUAAUAAUCAAAUUCGUAUUAUUGCAGAAAAUAGUAGAGAUGGCAGGUACAAUAUGUAUUUAUUCAGCAAGGAGUUCAAGCUACUGAGACUGCCCAACCUCGCAAGCGACGUCGCUAUCGUAUGAGUUUUUAUUAGUUAUAUUCAUUGCUAUCUUUGUUUUAAUCUAUUUCUUAUGUUGGUUAGACAUAAUAUUUUUUCUCACUUGUAUAGUAAAAAGUUAUGGACAAACUAAGUGUGGAGAUGAAAAUCAUCUAAAAUAACCAUAAACGGUAUGUUAUUUCACUACAAGAGUUAUCAUUAUAAUGCAUUGAAAAUUUUCAAUUUUAAAUAUAAACGAAUCAAACUAUUCUUUUGAAUUUAUUAUGUUUCGCAGCUUCUAUGUUGCAGGUUUUGGAGAAAGUACAUGUAUUUAGCUUGGGUGUUAGUACUGAUGACUGUAGGAGGACUUUAAAUUGAGUGCUAACUAAGGUAUGUUUGAUCCUAUCUCUUAUGCAAUGCCAUGUAAAACUUAAAAUAACUUAUAGCUCACUUUAGUAGUUUAAUUACUUAUCGGUUAAAUUUCAUCAUAUGCAUAUUUCAUCAUAGCUCACUUUAAUGGUUUAACCCUUCAUUGUCGUAUUCAUUGAUCUAUUGUACAAGUCGUAAAAACCAUUAACUAGAUCUGCCAUCAACUUGUGAUCAAGAAUCAAAAAAUAGUACUUUUAUUAUUGUACUCAAAUUUAAUUAUAAUAAGCCACUAUGAUUUCUGCAAAAUAUUCCUUUUUCUUCUCUAACUUGCUCUUUUGUUGAGCUGCUCUGGUUAUGCUUCUAGCUUGGUUAGCUUAAACCUAUUGAGUGUUCAUGCAUUGUCUUCUCUAACCUGAUACAAGUUGUUUGAUUGAAGUUGCCUCAUUUGGCUGUUUUCUUCAUAACCGUGAUAGUAGCUUUUUUCUCCUCCAUCUAAGAUUUCGUUCUCUUGAGCUUGUUGNNNNNNNNNNNNNNNNNNNNNNNNNUAUAUAUAAAUAUAUAUAAUACACCCACACAUAUAUAUAUAAAUAUUCAUAUAAUAUAUAUAUAUAGUAUAUAUACUAGCAUAUAUAAUAUCAUAUAUAUUACAUAUAUACUAUAUAUAUACAUACACAACAUAUAUAUAUAUAUAUAUACAUACGGCUCGGGUAGGGACCGAACUCGCACACACACACACACACACACACACACACACACACACACAUAUAAUAUAUAUAUAUAUAUAUAUAUAUUAUAUAUUAUAUACCAACCACCUACCACCAUUGUAAGGAUCGAAAUUUUUGCAGUGUAGCUAACUCUCAGUUGACCGGAUGUUUUUUGUGUGUAAUUUAAUUCACAAAAAGCUCGCUCCAAGUGUUCGGGCGACAAUCGAGUUAAAACGGAAAUUCUACCGCGAUUUCCAAGUUUCACUUAAAUGAAUAGUGAACUCGAUAUUUUCCGGAAACCGGCGGGUGUAGAAGUUGGUUCCCUGGCUCGUCACCGGACUCUGUUCAUAACAGUCCAAUAGCUCGUUUCGACCCGACACACACACACAUUUGGAGCUAAUGACGCUUGACGGAUUUUGAGUUGACCGGCACUGGGAUUUCGAAGAAAAAACCGAAAAAUACAUGUUUAUAUUAUUUAUGUUGUGUUUUCCUUCUAUUCGAAGAACGGUUGAUUUGUCGUGAAUCCGUGGUCGAUUUAGACGAAAACGAAAUCGCAGCUUUGUUGUCUCCCGAGGUGCCUGAUCGCACCGGUCAAUCCGUUCGCUGACAAUCGACGGACGGAUACUGGCGGAGAUGCAGCACAAAUAAAACCGUUGAUCGAGGAGGCGUCGGUAGUGGCAAAACGGGUAUUUUCCUGAAACAGGUCGGCGAUAUCUCUUAUGUACGGUUUCGCUGAGGGAAUCCGCAGUGGCAGGGCCCUUCACCAGCAUUUUCUAGUCGUCGGCUGAACAGGGCUCCGGCUUUGAAAUUUCGGUGUUUGGUGGACUUUUUUGCGAAGUUGCGCCUUGUAUAUAGUUGUUUCCUAGGGUUUUUCUCAACCUAACCCUAACCCUAGCUACCCUAAGUCGCCCCAGCCACCUUCACCCUUCCCCCUGCCCUUGCUGCACCAGCCCCGGCCAAGCCGCGGCUGACCCCCGCCGCCGCCAGAGCCAUCUCCCAUGCUUUCUUCCUCUCUUUUCUCUCGACCUCUCCCCUCAUCGGUUGUGUGAAGACCCCGGACGCGCCACCUCGGACGCUCCCCCGGGGUCACACCGUCUCCGGGUUCUCCCGCACCUGACCGGGUCGCGCGCGCCCUGUCGCCUGCGCCGCCGCAGCCGCUCCAGCGCCUGCAGCAGCCCAGCCGAGCCUGGCCGAGCCCGGUUUUGCUCGCAAAAAAACCGCCAGCGGCGCCGCCGCCGCCUGGGACCUUCGCGCGACACCCCGUGCCGGGCACCCUUCCUGCCGGCGCCGCCGGCCUCCCCGACGCGCCGCGCGCCGCUCGGCCGUAGCCGUGCCGCCCCAGACCAGCUGCGGUCCGAGUCAAGCCGGCCUCUCCCAUCCGCGUCGCCGCCGCCCUGGGCGCCCCUCGUGGCACCUCCCGCCCUGACAGUCGGCGCACCUCUGCCCCGAGCCGCCCCGAGCGCCGCUUGCCUGGUUGCCGCCGAGCCGCCGCACCUCCAAUCCGAGCCGAUGCCGAAGCCGUGUGCGGCCUCUAUUCCCCCGGCGCCGCACCUUGGCACCCGUGGCUAACUCCCCAGACUCGCUCAGCCGCUGCCGCCGUCCAGCUCCCCACGCCGCCGCCUCGUGGCCGCAUGGCAACUCCCUGGAACCCGAGCCCGAUCUCAGUGCGGGCUCGGUUUUGCUCGCGCCGCCGCCUGCCCUCGACGCUUCCAGCCGCCAUACUGAGGUGAGCACGGUGUUCCCUCACCUCCCCCCCUCACCCGUGCCCCUGGCGCUCGCCGGCCGCCCGUGCCGCGAGCGGCCGGCAGCAAGGCUGCUCCGCCAAGCCCGAAAUAGGACUUAAUAUGGGAUGGAUUUUGUGAUCUGACUCCAGCUUCCCGAUCUCUAGAAGAGCACCGAUGACUCCUGGCAAGUUGCUGAUCAUCGUGCUCACCUUGUUUCCUGUCGGGAGACUCCGUUCCGCUGUUUUGGCGAUGUCCGCUCCGUUUCAGCCUGCGGCAUUAUAAAUCCUGUUUGUGCUAUUAAGAUUGCCAAAAUCACUGGAUCUACCCCUUGGAUGCUUGAGCUGAUCGUAACUUAAUAUAGCAGAUUCUACUCUAAACCUUGUAUUAAUUGUGGAUGAAAUUGCUUUUAGUUGAUGUCUAAUUGACUAUUUCCAUAUGAUUAACACCUCAAUAAAGGUAACUUCCAUAGUUAGCAUAGUACUGUAUUGGAAUUCCUUAUGAACUGUUCAAAUCAUGUGGUUAACAGCUCAAUUUAUGGAUAACUUCCAUAGUUGGCUGAGUACUGUAUUGGAAUGUCACUCAAAUUAUUUUGUUUUUAGGCUUUAUUAUGCAAAUCAUAACAUUUUUAACGACGCAUUUAUGAAGUAAGCAGAUGUUUCUUUUUAUUCAAGGGCAAAAAAAAAAAAGGAAGAUAUUUGAUUGCUAAUGAAAUGUGUUUUAUUUUUUGCUAUAUGUUACUUAUGAUAGAUUUCUUGUUGGAAUAAGCUUAUACAUCUCAUAUGUUUUAAUUUUCUUUGUUUCAGAUUGAAGCAACAAGCAUGAUUUGAUGUUCGCAUUUGAAGAAUGUUUAGCUGGAGCUUUUCACUUUCCUUUUUCUUAACUUUCGAAUAUUUGGGGUUCAAAUAAAUUUUCUAUUGCAUUGAUUUCUAUUAGAAUGUAAAAACUUAUUUUGUUUGCAUUUUAUCACUACUCUAGAUCAUUGCUUAUUAUUUUGUUUCAAGAAUGAUUGUAUCAUCUUAUUGCAAUUUAGUAAUAUGACUCUUAUUUUUUUUUACGGAUGUUAUAGAUUGUUGGUUUUACAAUUAAUAUCAAAUGAAAAAGCCCUAUUGUAAUUUGUUGAUAUUAGUAUUUUUUUUCAUAUUAGUUUCAAAUUGCCAACGGUAAAAAACUGUCGGUACAUGCGCUUUACGCCAGUGUUUUUUUUGUAGUUUUAACGACGGUUUAAGAACUGUUGCUAGAGAUCAUUUUCACCAGUGGUUAGUAAAAGUGCUGGGAAAAGGUUAUACCAGCAAGGAUAUUGUAACGGUCACCUAGAUUUUUACCAGCAGUUUUAGAACUGCUGGAGCAAAUAUUACCAGCAGUUUUUGUAUUCUUUUCUAGCAGUUUUGACUGUUGGUAUAUGCCUAUUUUUUUGUAGUGUAUGUAUGUUCGGGAUAGUCUUUUUGUUUUGAUGUGUUACAAAAGGAUUAGCUACUAUGUGAUGGAUUGCUUUAUAUGAAAAUUUGAUACUUGAUGAUCAUUUGGUUAGUAUACUUUGUAGAUUAUAUUUUAUUGGUUUAUGUCUUAAUUUGUAUUCAAGUUUGAUAUUUAUUUGUUGAUUUGAAAUCAGUAACUUUGAUUUUUAAAAAUUCAGUAAUUAUAUGUAAAAUAUAUAUAAUUUGGAUGAUUAUUACAAUUUAGCAAAAUAUGUAUCGACGGUUUAAACCGCCGGUACAAAUAAUAUAAUUAAUUUUCACUUACAGAAUUUUAAGGUUAGCGGCGGUUUAAACCGCUGCUACCAAUUCUAAUUGAAAUACUAUCUGAGUAACAAGCAGCAUUUAAAACCGCCGGUACGGAACCGCCGCAACGUAUUUAUCUUACCCCGGUGGUCGUUGAAACCGCCACUACAAUGUAGAGACGGUGGUAUUCACAGCGCUCUACCGGCGGUUGGUGAACCGUCGCUGCGUUUUAUAAAGGCGGUUUAAACCGCCGGUAAAUCUCAUAUAAACCGUCGGCAAAUGUGUAUUUUACUGUGGUGGUGGUGACCAUCCCGAAGCAGUUAAACUACACCCUAUGUCUAAGUUUGCUAUUGAUCAGUUUUGCAUAUUGAGCAUGAUACAAUAUAGGGUACCUAGAUGGUUUUUUUUACAUGUUAUUGCAUUCUAGGGGUAGUGUAGUGUUGCUUGUUUAGCACUUGGACCUAGUAUGCAUGAUAUUGAGACGUAGUGAAUUGCAACCCUAUAAUGAGAUGGUAAUUGUGGAUAAGAACCGAGUAGUAGCUCUUAUAUGAUAAUGAGUGGUAUCUAGUAAAUGUUAAACACAAGAACGAGUGGCAUGAAAACCUUAGUGUAGUUGAAACACUAGGAGGUUGAGAAUUGGGAUUUCAUUGAUCCGUGAUAAUGCUAACCCUAGUUGGUAGGGUAUCCCCUGUUCACAAGGAUUGGAUUGUGCUCACAUAGCCUAUCUGUGCUUGCUGUGGUCGCUCCACACGAGCUGUGCACUCCAGAGUUUAGACACACGAGGGGCAGUCGUUGUGUGCUGCCUAGAUAGCCGCUAGCUGUCCGCAGGCGGUCUCGGGAGUAGUUAAGCAGUGAGACUCCUCCCCUAUGAGACUUAAAAACGUGAGAUUGAGGGCGAGCCUUUGGGUUAGCCAAGUGAUUGGGUAAUCUAAUGAAUGGCUUCAUUAUUGAACAUAGUAGUAUGGUAGCUAGCCUUUACUAUGAGUUGCAUGCAUUCAUUAUACUGGAUUAAGGCAUGAUAGAGUACUUGCACCUUUUCUUAUUGUUAUUGCUUUCAAGUUAUCUAUCUAUCUAUCUGCCUAUGCCUGCUUAGACCUAGUGGGGAGAUCGGCGGAGUCGGCGGCCAAACCUACUGAGAACUAUGGACAAUAGUUCUCACCUCACUUUGUUCCAGGGCCGAACUCGAGUACUCCCGGCGAGGAUCGUGGUAAGGGCUUAGCGCCCUAGAGGUUGUAGAUGCUUCCUUUUCGCAUUAGUAGUCACCCUAUAUACAUGCUUGAGAGUAGAUGAUGUAUAGGUGGUGAGAUAUUUGGAUGAAUGUAAACUUAUGUUUAUAUUUUGGAAGAAUGUAAAGUGAUCAAUGUAUUAAAGGCUGAAUGAAUGUAAUAGAUUAGUAUCUCUCUUUUAUUCACUUGUGUUCACUCGUGAUGCUUGUUCUUGGUUGUUUAGCACCGGUUGUGCUCUCGUUGUUGUUAUGAUCGUGUAUGUAUUCAAGUUGAAUUUCUGGGAACUUGUUGUACAUAAUCUCGUUGUUUGCCUUGGGCGGACAGGGGAGGUCCUGUCCAUUCGGCGUCUGUUCGACGCACCCGAACCGGACCAAAUUGGUAGCGGGUCUCGGGCCGUGACAGACCCAUAGCGAAUCACGAGGGAUUCUGCUUCCUUGGAGGACCGCCUUGUGCUGUUGGAGGACAUUAUCGCAAAAAUGGGUGAAAGGUACACCGAAAUGGCUGAUACUUUUAACUCAUUCAAUGAAGAUGACCACAGCAUGGAGGAAAGCGUAUCUACUGCCAUGAUGACCUUUUGAAGCGAACUCAAAAAGCUCUAAGGCAACAUGACUCGUCGUGAUAAGGAGCGAAAGAAACUGAUCAAGGAGCUUGUUACUCGAGUCGACGAGGUCGAGGACUUCAAGACGAGAGUAACGAUCUUUGAGAAAGCGGUGGCGCGUGGCCACGAACCCCAAAGAGAGUCCGCUUCGAAGGUACGUGUCCUUGAGCCUCAAAAUUUUAGGGGUACCCGCGAUGAGAAAGAGAUCGACAAUUUUUUGUGGCACAUGGAGCGCUACUUCAAGGUGUUGCGGCUGGACGACGAGGAGGAAAAAGUCCAGGCUGCAUCCAUGUACUUUGCUGACGACGCGAUGCUGUGGUGGUGUCGGCGUUCUGCAGAAGCCGAGAAAGGCCAAUGCAGCUUGAAGACGUGGGAGGACUUUGUGCGCGAGCUCAAGGCGCAGUUCUAGCCCGAGCACGUCGAGUACCUUGCGAGGAAGCAACUUCGACGGCUUAAACACACAGGGACGCUUAAGGAGUAUGUCAAGGAAUACUCUAAGUUGAUGCUGUCCAUCACUAAUAUGGCGGAGGAAGAUCGCUUAUUCUUCUUCCUCGACGGACUCCAACCUUGGGCAAACAAGGAGCUUGCAGGGCGCGACGUCAAAGACGUUGCCUCCGCAAUUGCCUUGGCGGAAAAACUGCUUGAGUGUGAUCGAGCGGAUUCAACUCGGAGCAAGGGGCUCAAAACGAGCAAGGCCAAAGGUGAAGGAGACCAUCGCGACCAAAAGAAGCGCAGGGGCCGCAAGAGAGGUCCUGUGCCACCGCCGAAGAACUUGACAUGCUACGUCUGCGGCGAGAACCAUUAGGCGAGGGACUGCCCAAACAAGAAGAAGCUGAAUGCAGUCCAGACCAAGCAGGGCGAGGGCAAUGCAGAACCGACGAAGAUGGGCGCGCUCAGGCUCGUCAACGCGGAUCAGGGGCUGGCAAGCAGUAGCAAGCCCCUCAACAAGGAGCUUAUGUACAUCAAUGCGACCCUUAACGGCAGGGCCACACGAGCAUUGGUGGACACGGGAGCCACUCACAACUUUGUUGCCGAAGUGUAGGCCAAACGGAUAGGUCUUCCCCUUGAGAAGGAUCCUAACAGGAUCAAGGCCGUCAACUCUGAGGCCCAACCUGUUGCGGGCGUGGCCAAGGGCGUGGCCAUUACGGUGGGACCUUGGAGAGGCACCGCAAACUUCACCGUUGCACCCAUCGACGACUUCCAAGUCAUACUAGGUAUGGACUUCUUGGCUUCGUCAAAGGCGGUUUCGAUGCCACACCUUGGGGCCUUAAGCAUCAUGGACGAGGCAGCCCCAUGCAUGGUCCUAGCGAGCAAGGAGAAAAUGGUAAGCACCCAGACCCUCUCUGCAUUGCAGUUGCGAAAGGGUGUGAACCGUGACGAGAUGACUUACCUUGCGGCCAUCCGCGAGGUGAGCGAUGAGGGCCUCGAUGAGGAGGGUCUUCCUGCGGAGAUUGGAGCAAUCUUGGCAGACUCCAGGAUGUCAUGCCAAAGGAGCUGCCGAAGCAACUUCCACCCAAGUAGGAGGUGGAUCAUGCCAUUGAGCUCGAGCAAGGGGGUUUUUUACCCAACUAGUCUCCUCCAAAACUUUUAUUCUAAAAAUAAGCCUAUGAAACUUUUAUUUACAAAAAUAGGCUCCAAACUCCCACGUGGGCAGUGAGUUGGCGGGGGAAGUUAAAAACGGUGAACCAUUUACCGCUUUCAAAUGAAUGCGGUAAAUGGUUCACCGCUUUCAUAAGGAUUUAAAAAUUCUAUGAAGGCGGUGAACCAUUCACCGCCUUCGUAGUAUUCCCCGCGAAGCUGAGAAAGCACUUAAAAACGGUGAAUCAUUUACCACUUUUAAAAGCGUUGAAUGGUUCACCGCUUUUAAAAGCGGUGAACCAUUCAUCGCCUUUAUAUGCGGUAAAUGGUUCACCGCAUUCAAGCUAUACUACAGCAAUGUAGCAGCAACUUUGCAUUUUUUCCACAUUAUACAAAAUAGUAAUAUUUUCAAGCAUUUCAAUUACAGCAAUAAAUACAUAAAAUCAUCUAUACCAACUUAAACCACACUUUAAGCAUAUAAAAUGAGCUAUACCAAUAUCGACACAUUUCAAUAUGAAUAAAUUUAGAUAAUACUCUAAAAAAUUAAUGUAGAAAGAUCUGAAAUAUCAAAUAUACAUAAGAAUCUCAAAAAUGAUAAAAAACAUCAAGUCCCCUCCAUUCCCCUUCUAUACUCUCACCCUCGUCCCCUGCCACGUCCACGUCCACGUCCGUAUCCACGACUGCGUCCUCAACUCCGUCCUCGAAUAUGUAUGUCAUGCUUCAUCUAAGGCUUCACAGGCUCAAUAACAUGCAUCUGAUCAAUAUGCUCGAUGGCGAUGCCCUCGACAAUCGGCUCCAUCUCUUGCUCAACAGCUAAUGGUAGUAUCCCUUCCUGCGUCUCAAUAUGACCCUAUCGUCGUCGCCUACGUCGAUAUACAACAUCAUUGCGAUGAACCUGUAGAGUAUGUCUCACCUUUAUCACGGCGCUUAACAAAAUAAUUGUUCACCUUAUAAAAUGUAGCGGCCACAAAUGCUGUGAUAGGUAAACCACGUACACCUUUAAGCACUCUAUUUAAACUCUCCGACUGAUUUGUCGUCAUUGUCCCAAAACGCCAUCCUCCAUCAAAUGCUCUCGCCCAAUAUUCCAUAUCUUUCAACUGCUCCUUAUGCUCAUAAUAUUCCUUUGCAGUUGCAGCACAUCCUAUGCUCGUAUAAAAUUUAUUGAGCACAUUUUUAUUUUUGAAACCGGCUUUUUUCAUGUUAGCCUUCAUAUGGCGGAGGCACCAACGGUGAGCAUGUCCCUCGCUUCUCGGAAACUCCUCCGCAACAAUCUCCUUUAACCCAGGAAAGCAAUCUGAAAUUAAACAAAUAGAUCGAUCAUGUGUCACUAAGACCUUUAAAUGUCGUAAAAACCAACGCAAACUAGCCGCAUUUUCUCCCUCAAAAAUAGCAAACGCCAAUGGGUAUAACCCAUUAUUGGCAUCUACACCAGCCGCAAUCAACGCAUGCCCUUGAUACUUUCUAUACAUAUGAGUUCCAUCAAUACUCAACAAUGGUCGACAAUAAGAAAACCCAUUAAUUGACGGCCCGAAUGCCCAAAAUACUCAUCCAAACUGCCUAACGCCAUUUGGUAGGAUUUAGGAUCAAGACACCAUUGAGUCCCGGGAUUCACGCGCUGUAGUAUAGAUAGGAAGCGACCAAGAUCGGUGUAUGACUCCUUCCAACCACCAUAAAUGAUCUGUAGUGCUUUACUUCUAGCCUGCCACGCUUUCGAAUAAGGUAUGUCUACAUGCAAUUCAUUACGCACCUUUUCUUUAAUUUUUGCCGAUGUCAAAGUAAGCUUUACCCUCAAUGAUGGGAGAAUAUGUCGACAUAUAAGAGAUGAAGUACAGUUUCGAUGUGCAGUGUUAAGCACCGGCACUCAACAUGUAUGUUGCCCGGUGUAUGUUUUAACUCUAAAAUAACUCACAUUCUUUAGUACCGAUGCAUGUAAUCUCCAAGGACAUGAAUCUACUCUGCAUUUAACCGUAUACGCCUUUGUCUUCGACUUUUUUACUUUCAUUUGCACGUUGUGAGCAAUAUGCCAUUCCCCAAGAGUGUGCAAUAAACUUGCUUUAUCACGAAAUACCCGACCAACCCAUAAGUCAUCAAUAGUAGGAGAGGGCUGUUCAAUCUGCAGACGAUCAAAUUCACCGUUAUCGACCACAUACUGGUCAAUUCAAUCGUCAUCUUCUACAAAUUGCUCUGGAUGAUCUAUGAACUCUCCACCUUCAUCCGGAUCAUCAACAUAUUAAUUAUUGAUAAUUGGAUCAUCACCCUCAGUAUAUAUGAUAUCUGCGAGGACCCCCAGUCCGCCAUCAUGAUCUGCAUCAUAGUAAUGACCUUCCGCCACAAUAUUCUCAUUUACGGCCAAAUUUGAAGGUUCAUGUUCAACACCCUCAUGAUCAGUAGCAUAACCGUCUUCAGCUACUUCUUGUUGCACUUCCGCCCGAUUUCCUAUACCGUUAUUUUCGGUUCCCAGUGGAUACGAUCCAAAGUCAUAGACAUCAUGAGAGGUAUGAAAUCUGCAAUUAUUUCGUAAUUAAUCACUUUCUAACUAAAUAAAAUAGUAAAUGAUUAUAUUAAUUCUAGCGUAUUGUAACCCUUCUUCACAUGAGACGCCUUGCUCUCUACCUAGUGAGGCAUGAGAACUAGAAGCUGAGGCAUGAUGAAUAGUACGUGGGAGGGGAGGAGGAUCACCAAUAACUAUAUUUGAAAAUUCGUACUCCCUACAAUUGAUGGAAGAAGGUAAUAUAAACAUUUGUUAUAUUAAAAUAAUUAUACAAAAUUCAUAUUUUGCAAUACUAACCUAGGUGCAUUUGCUCCUCCUCCGAUAUCAGCACGAAAAGGUUCUCUUUUGGGGGACAGGGGAUAAUAUAUCCACAUUAAUGUCACAAUUUAACAUUCUAGAAUAAUACCCCUGAGAUAAAACCAUAUGUUUUUCAAUGAAAAUUAUCAAACACGGAGGGUUUUCCGACAAUGCCAUCGCACCACACAGUGAGUCAUCGUCCAUAACUUCAACCACAUCGAAUUGAUUCAUUCCGGUCGAAUAUCGGAUUUUGAUAAUUAGACGAUACUCAUCUCUCGGAGUAUCGGUUAAUCUAUAUAUUUUUCUCUCGAAUUCUGUAAAUACAAUAUCCACUGGAAUACCACUUAAUUUCUUACGACCACCAACGUACUUUGGAUUGUUAUCGUGCGCCAAUAUUUCUCCAUUCCAAUGAACAACAAUAGCCACAUUACUACGCGUCAUCCUAACUUAAACAAAAUAUAAAAUUUGUAAACAAAUAUAAUCAUACCAAUAUUUGAGAUAAAGUGCAAAUUUUACUAUUUCUACACUCUCGAUGAGAUGGACCCAAAAUUUAUAUUAAAAAAUUUGGUAUACAAGUAGCAUUUCUCUUUCUUUUUUCUUAAGGGUUUAGGGUUUAGGGAUUUUAUCUAGUAUAUUUUUUAAAAACCAAUUAGAGAUUUUAUCUAAUUUAUUAAUAAUAUUAUCAAAUUUAAUAAAUUUAAUUAUUUUUAAAUAAACACAACUAAGUUAAUUAAUAGUUAAUAACAAACAAAUUGAGUGUUUAAAUCUGAUAAAAUUUUAAAUAUCAAUAAACUAACCUAAUGAAGCAAUGUAGAACUAACCUAAUGGAGCAAUGUCAAAAUAACUACAACUUUUUCAAUGUGAAAGUUGAGGAAUCAAUGUCAAAGUUGAGGAAAAGUUGAGGAAUCAACUCUACUUAGGAGAAACAAUGUAGAACUAACCUAAUGGAACAAUGUCAAAAUAAGUAACCUAAUGAAGCAAUGUCAAAAUAACUAACCUAAUGGAAUAAUGUAGAAGGAAUGCUUAGAAGAGAGGGCAUGGCAACAGCACAGGUGGGCACCGGCAAUGGCUGCAGCGACGGCGACGGCGGCGUCGGCGUCGGCGUCAGCGUCGGACUCGUUGGGUCGGAGUGAGGGAGACAGAGAGGAGUGAGUGAGAGUGAGGGAGGCAGUGUAGGAGACAGAGAGAGCUCGGGCGGGGCCAGUCAGGGAGAAAGGAAAAGGGUUCGGGCAGGGUUAGGGUAUAUCGACUAAAUGCGGUGCGGUGAACCAUUUACCGCAUAUAAAUGCAGUAAUCCAUUUACCACAUUCAUGCGGUGAACCAUUCACCGUAUUUAAAAGCGGUGAACCAUUCCCCACUUUUAAAUGCGAUAAAUAGUUAACCGCAUUAUGAAUGCGGUAAACCAUUUACCGCAUUCUUUGUUUUUACCACGCGGUGCACCUAGAUCCACAAAUGCGGUGAAUGGUUCACCGCUAUAUAUGCAUUAUGAAUGCGGUGAACCAUUCACCGCAUACAUGCAUUAUCCCAAACCCGCGCUGACCUGGCCUAUUUGAAGGCUAUUUUUACAAUAAAUUUUUAAGGAGGCCUAUUUUUAUAAAUAAAAUUUUUGGAAAGCCUAUUUAUAAAAAAAAUUCCAAGCCAGGAGCCAAAUCGCCAGCGAAAGCGCCAUAUAGAUGGCCCCGCCAAAGCUUGAGGAACUGCAAAAGCAGUUGAAGGAGCUCCUCGAUGUAGGCUUCAUUCGACCGUCGAAAGCAUCUUACGGAGCACCAGUUUUGUUCCAGCGGAAGAGCGACGGAAGCCUGCGGCUUUGUAUCGAUUACAGAGCGCUCAACAGGGUAACGGUAAAAAACAAGUACCAUAUUUCUUUGGUUGCAGAUCUCUUCGACCAAUUGGGCAGAGUGAAGUACUUCACCAAACUCGACCUUCGCUCUGGGUAUUAUCAAGUGCGGAUUGCGGAAGGAGACGAGGAGAAGACCACGUGUGUGACGAGGUACGGGGCCUAUGAGUUCCUUGUCAUGUUGUUCGGCUUGACGAACGCGCCAGCGACCUUCUGUACACUUAUGAACAAGUUGUUCCAUCCCUAUCUCGAUCGCUUUGUGGUGGUGUACUUCGACGACAUCGUGGUAUACAGCAACACCUUGGAGGAGCACAUCGAGCACUUGCGAACCGUCUUCCAAGUGCUGCGGGAGAACAAGCUGUUCGUCAAGAAGGAGAAGUGCAUAUUCGCGAAGGAAGAGGUGCACUUCCUUGGCCACUAGAUAGGCCGGGACCUGAUUCGCAUCGACUAGCGGAAGGUGCGAGCUAUCUGCGAAUAGGAGACCCGAACGACGGUGUCCGAGUUGCGGUCUUUCCUUGGGCUCGUCAACUAUUACCGCCGCUUCAUUGCGGGCUACUCUACGAGAGCAGCCCCGUUGACGGAUCUGCUGAAGAAAAACCACUCGUGGGUUUGGACCUUUCAAUGCGCGGAGGCAUUCGAGGACCUAAAGUGAGCGGUGACGAAGGAUCCAGUGCUGCGACUACCCGACUGCAGUCGCACCUUUGAGAUACAUACUGAUGCCUCUAACUUUGCCAUUGGCGGUGUUCUCGUGCAAGAUGGGCACCCCAUCGCUUAUGAGAGCCGCAAGUUCAACAACACCGAGCGGCGUUAUACAGUCCAGCAGAAGGAAAUGAUCGCUGUGGUGCAUUGUUUGCGAACCUGACGACACUAUUUGCUUGGAAGCAAGUUUGUGGUGCGCACCGACAACGUUGCCACGAGCUACUUCGAAUCGCAAAAGAAGCCGUCGCCUAAGCAGGCGAGGUGGCAGGACUUCUUGGCGGAGUUCAACCAUAGUUAGUUAAUUCGAAUUCGGCAAAAAUUCGGUACGGGUAUAAUUCGGAUAAAAUUCGUCUUUUAAUUUUUAAAUUCGUUGAAAAAUACGGCUAAAAAACGGAUUCGAUAAUUAUUCGGAUACGUGAUUUAUACGGAUAUUAUACGUCCACCAAUUAAAAAUUCGGCAUCAAAAAUUCGGCUAUAUAAUAAAUAUAUAAUAAUUAAUAUACUAUAUAUAUUAUUAUUAUAAUUUUUAUAUAUAGAUUAAAUAUAUUCAUAUAUUAAUAAUAAAAAUAUAUUAAUAAUACAUAAAAUUUAUAUAUUUAAAAUAUUAAUAAAUAAUUAAAAAUUUAUAAAUAAAAUAUUAUAUAAAUAUUUUUAUAUAAAAAUAAAAUAAUAUAUAAAAAGAGCGGCGACGAAGUGUCGGGCUGGGUUCUACGCCUGGAUUGGCCUGUGAGUGAACUGAAUCCGCCUCCGCCUCGGAUGCGGAUCCGGUCUGGAGAAGCUACAGAGAGGAAGUGCAAACCCAAGACCCGAACAGGGCAUUUCCAUAGUUCACCCCUUGGAUGCGGAUCCGGUAACGCUACAGUGAGGGAGCGCGAACCCAAAACCCGAACAAGCUUCUUCUUCACAAAACUCGCCGCCGUCAUUACUCCUCUUUGCCAUGGAUCUUCUCUUGUCUUCCUCUGGUUCCUUCACCUUAUCCUACUCCUACGCUUCCCACUCAGGUCAUGGUAGCACCAUGACAAUCCCUUCCCCUCAACGCGAGCGGCGACGAGAGCGGCGACGACGAGAGCGGUGACGACGCAACCGCGAUCGCCGGAUUUUUGGGCGAAUUAUUCGCGAAUCGCGAAUAAUUCGCGAAUAAUUAUUUUUGAUGAAAAAAUCGCGAUUUUUUUCGUACUUUUCGGAAAAAUACGAAAACCACCGUUUAAUUCGUAUCUUAAAAAAUACGCGAAUAAUUCGCGUAUUAAUCGCGAAUUAACUAACUAAGAGUUCAACAUGAAGAUUCAAUAUAAGCUCGGGAAGGAAACCGCGUGGCUGAUGCUCUCAGCCACAAGGCUGAACUUGCAGCCGUGUUGCAGCUUCACGAGACACUUCGCGAUCGACUUCGUUCAGGAACCAACGAGGACCCUAUCACUCAAAAUCUAGUGCAGCUUGUCAAUGAGGGCAAAAUGCGAAGGUUUUGGCUGAGCAACGAGCUGCUUCUUACCAAGGGGCGACGGGUGUACGUGCCCAAGUGGGGCAACCUUCGCCGCGAGCUCAUCAAGGAGUGCCAUGACUCCAAAUGGGCGGGCCACCCAGGUCAGAAGCGAACCCUGGUGUUGCUCGAGGUCGCCUACUUUUGGCCGCGGAUGCACAAAGACGUGGAGGCCUACGUGCGAACUUGCUUGGUGUGUCAACAAGACAAAGUUGAGCACCAGCGACCUCGCGGACUCCUCGAGUCAUUACCUGUGCCUAGCCGUCCAUAGGAGAGCAUUUCUAUGGACUUCAUCUUUGCCUUGCCAAAGGUGGGGGUGCUUGGGUCCAUUCUAGUGGUGGUUGAUCAUUUUUCCAAGUACGGGACCUUCAUUGUAGCGUCGGCCGAUUGUACUGCUGAAGAAACGGCACGCCUCUUCGUUAGCCACAUCGUCAAACUUUGGGGGAUCCCCACGAGCAUCGUGAGCGACCGCAACCCCAGGUUCACUGGCAAGUUUUGGACCGAGGUGUUCAAAAUCUUGUGGUCAGAGUUGCUCUUCUCCACCAGUUGGCAUAUACAGACCGACGAGCAAACAGAGCGAGUGAAUGCUCUAUUGGAGGAGUACUUGCGGCACUAUGUGAGUGCCAAUCAGAAGGAUUUGGUACAUCAUCUCGAUGUCGUCCAGUUUGCUUACAACUUGCGGCGCAGCGAGUCUACAGGCUGUAGCCCCUUCGAGUUGGCGAUCGGACGGCAACCACUUGCCCCUCAUACGACCGCUGUGGGAGAGCAGUUCCACAGCCCAGUUGCUCUUCAGUUUACUACUAACUUGCAGGAAAAGGGUGAAAUUGCUAGGGCAAACUUGGAGAAAGCCUCACGACGGAUGAAGAAGUGAGGUGACGAAAAGCGACAGCCUCGUGAGUUUGCCGAGGGUGAUCGCGUGAUGGUCAAGCUUCAUCCGCAGCAAUUCAAAGCCUUGCGGAAGGUGCACAAGGGACUGCUGUGCGAGUAUGAAGGCCCAUUUACUGUCGUCAAGAGUGUUGGCAGGGGGCCUACAAGCUGCAGUUACCCGCGAACCUCAAGAUCCACCCCGUCUUUCAUGUCAGCAGGUUGAAGCUGUACAACGAAGAUGCGGAGAAUCCGAGCCGAGGAGUGUCGCAGCGAGCACCUGCGACUAUGGUGACUUCGUUCGACAAAGAAGCGGAGUCCAUCCUGGACACUCGACUCAUUCGGCGAUGUGGAGUUACGCCGAAUCCUGAGUACUUGGUGAAGUGGAAGAAUCUCCCCUUCGGCGAGGCAAGUUGGGAGAAAGCGGAUACACUUUGGCAGUACCAAGCGCUCAUCGACGAGUUCCAGAAGCAGCGCGCGAUGAGCACGCCUGCGCAUUAGGUGGAGGAGGGUGUCAGGGACUUAGAAAAAUUUCUAUGCAGCUCGGUCCCAGGCCCAAAUCUGCUUAGCGAGUUCGGGUUGGAAACGGGUUGAAUCAGGUUAUCAAGGAGACCCAAACCCAACCCACUGUGGAAAACUUAAGGGUUAUGAAACUCAUAAGAGUUAUGGGUGACUCUUGAGCUUUUGGCUAUUAUGAGGGCUCAUUAUGUAUGCAAUAGUGGGUGAGUUAUGUGGCUAGUGGGUGAGUUAUGAGGGCUCAUUAGGCCUAUAAAUAGUGGGGUUGGCUAAGGCCAAGACACACAAGAGAGAGUGUGUUGUAUGCUGUAAUCUCUUUUUCUAAGCAGUGUAGUACUUAGUUUUUUUUUUAGAGAACCUCUGUCUCUUUCUCUUGUUAUUUUUCCUUUGCAUACUUAGUCGUAGGACGCGAAGGUCCGGACUACCAACAGAGACAAAGGCUUGUCCAUCUUCGAGCAGGAAAGGUAGGCGUCGCACGGGCUUUGCGAAUGAAAACGCUAAGUCCGUGACACACCGCUCAAAAUGUUUAAGCCGGGUUAAGACUUUUAGCUCAAUUAUAUCUUAUAUAUAAAACUACUUGGGGUCUCACAGCUCCCACACCCAUUGCAGGACCUUGCCACUCAUUCAUCGGCUCGUAGGGGCCCGAAAUUAAGGGCAACUUCCAACCUCUCGGCCACAACCCUCUAGACUCCUAUAAUUCCUGUAAUUUUAUUCUUUCAUAUUAUUUAUUUAAUAUAAAAUUUUAUAUUUUUAGCAUUUGACUACCAUUGUCGCAUUCACGUUUGUUGUGCCACUGUCUUCGUCACCGAGGAGUAUCAGAUUCACUUAAUUUAAGAAAGCUAUUCAAAUUCAGUUCUACCGGUAUAUAUUAUUUUGGUUGUAUUUUUAUAAUUCAAGAUUUAGGGUUAGGGUUUAGAAGUUGCUACUUCUAUACCACAGUCACACACGCACAUACUGUUUAUAGAUCAUACAUAUGAUAAAAUUUUGUUCGAUUUAAGAUGAAAAACAUGUAUUUAUUAUAAAUAUACAGUAUUACAGCAUAACAGAACAGUGCUGUAAGGUUUCAAAUUUUGUUGUUUGAAUGUGGAAUAUAUAUUCAUUGCAAAUGUACACUUUAUUGGUAGAAUAGUGCUAGAAAUCCACCGGUACAUGCUAUUUUAUUUAUAUUUAUAUAAUUUAUAAUUUAGAAAUAGGGUUUAGAAAUUUCUACUUGUAUACUGCAGUCAUACAAACACUGUCACGCCCCAAAACCGCUACCAAUUUGAUCCUGUUCGGGUACGUUGAAUAGAUGCCGAACUGACAGCACCUCCCCUGUCCGCCCAAGGCUAAACAACCUAAUCAUGUACAAGAAUUUGCCCAGGAGAAGAAAUUCAAUACAUACAUGAUCAACUAGAAGCACACAAGUGUGAUACAACUAAGAGCAAGAACCACAAGUGUAUAUACAAGUGUAAUAAAGAGAGAUGCAACUAGCUAUUACAACUAUUUAACAUUUACAUAAUUGAUUACAUUACAUUUCCAUCUUCCAAAAUGUAAUACAUGGUCAUCUCCAAAAUACAUGGGUAGCUCUCCAACAACUAUCAAAAUAUACAUCAUCUAGUACACGAGAGUACUCUAUAUGCAUGUAGGAAAGCUACUAACUAACUAAGGGCGCUAUGCCCUUGCCGCGGUCCUCGCCCGGUGUACUGGUACUCGGCCCUGCAACAACGUGGGGUGAGAACUAUAUAAAUAUAGUUUCCAGUGAGUUCGGCCGCCGACUCUGCCGAUCUUCCCACUAGGUCUAAGCAGGCAUAAGCAGAUAGAUAGAUAGAUAGGUAGAAAUGUAAACUGCAACUAUUCUACCAUGCCUUCAAUGCGAUGCCAUGUAUGAAAUAAUCAUAAUGCAACAGUAUACUAUCAUGCUAGUAUGAUGUCAAAAGUAUGUAUAUGUAACAUAGCAAUACAAUCUACAAUAUACACUAUGUUUACUCAAGGUAAGAAUGCAAUUCUACUAUGCUAUUCAUGUUCAUUACACAAUUUACCUAGCUAACCCGUAAGUUAAGUCCUCGACUCAGUUUCAAUCUCAUAGGUGAGGAGAAACUGUACUCGCACACCGAGACCGUUUGCGGGACAACUACAUCUGCCCCUAGGUGAAGUACUCCGGAGACCACUGCUUCGGUGGAGCGACCACCGACAAGCGAAACAGACUGGUCCAAUCCUCACAAGAGGAUACCCUAUCUACUAGGGUCAUAGUGCCUCUGCUGCAUAAUCACAAUGCAUAAUCAAAUGCCGGGACUUCUACCAUCCCUAAGUUCAUGUCAUGUUUACUACACUAGACUCAAUGCCACUCGUUUGAUCAUUUGUAGUAAGUUUUCUAGUUAGUUGACAUGCUACUCGCUCAUGUUUAGUGUUUCUACUACACUAGUUCAAUGCCACUCAUCUAGGCUGUAACAUACCGAACUUCUAAAACUUUUAAGUUACGGUGUACAUUUGGUUGAAAAGCCAUUUGAAUAGUCCCGGUGGAGUUCGGUAAAGUUCUGGAGCAAUCGGGCGUUUCGGUGCGCGUAGGUGCGAAAACGGAACCCGAAAGGCUAUUUUUGACCAUGGACUAAAUCCAGCAUUAGCGUGGAUGAAAAGAUGAUGAAAACAUGCUUGAAAACAUAUUUGGCGAGUUUCGGUUCGAUUUGAAACGAAUCGGAUGUCAAACGAGCGAAAACGAGAGAAAACAGAGCGAAAACGGUGAAAAUGCUGAAAAAUUGGCUAAGUCCUAAAAAAAGGCUGUGUACCAGUGACAGGAUUUCGUGUACCGGUACGCAGUGUAAAAUCCGAGAAGAUGGCCCUCGGGUUUGGCUGUUGCGCGAGUCGUGUACCGGUGACACCAGCCCGUGUACCGGUACGCGGGGGACCCGACAGCACAAUGAAGUCUACUGCAAAUAAAAAUAGUUGGGGGGCUUAUUUGCAAUUGUGGCACACCCCAUAUGUUCCCAAACACCCCUUCACAGCAGCAAACACCUCUCUCCUUUAUUUCUUCUCUCUUUCUCUCUUUAAAAGCUCUCCACCAAAGCUUAAAGAGAAGGAGAAGAAGGUCUUGAAGGUGGAUUUUGAGGGUUUUGGAGGAUCAAGAGCUCUCCUUCAUGGUGGACUUGGAAGAGCUUAGGCUAAGGUGAGUUAUUUCGCAAGAAUACUUCUAGGGUUUAGAUUUAUAUCCUAAGAUUUAGUGUUUUGGACUUCUUGUAAGACUAGAACCUCUCUAGAGGCUUGAGCUCCAUGAAAAUCUAUGGAAGCUUAGGGUGCUCUCAUGGUGAUCACCUAGGGUUUGUGUUAGAUGCCUUAGGGUUGGUCCAAUUAGGUUGGAGAUGAUAUUAGAGAGCUUCUUGGGUGGUUCUAAGCUUGAUUAUGCUUAGCAACAAGAUCAAUCCCAAGAAAUCUCAUUAUGGCAUUGUCAGGGCACCAAAUUUGGAGCUUUUGCCUCCGGAUGUUUCCGAGGUAAAUUGACCUUGUAGAACCCAAUUGGGAGUAUAACGAACGCGUUGGUGCGCUCGGUUCGACAAUUCGACGAGUGUACGUGAAGUUAUUGACGAAACGGUCUGUUUUGGUACAGAUAGCCGCAGCACGCGGGAUAGACGCCCAAAAAUCAUGAAAAUGGAUCUGGAGCAUCGUGGUAACGGGGAAUAAACUCCCGAACAGACGGAUCACGGAUUGGUGGCCGUUCGGGUGGUCGCACAAGAGUUCGGGCCAAACCGGGUCACGGGUGCCACGGGAGGCCGAUUGCAAGUGACUACAAGCAAUCGGAACGCGUUAAAAGGUGGGUUGUGCUCACCGAAGCGACUAGGUCGCCUAUAUGUCUAAGUGUAAUGGUUUUCUAAUUGAUGCAUAUAGUUGAUGUUAUUUACUGUCGUGAUAAAAUGCAUAAUGACAUAUAAUGUGUUAAAUGCUAGAUGAAUGCAUGAGUUAAUUGUCACAUGAAUGCAUGAAAUUAAUGUUAUACUAAUAUGUUAGAGGUAAUAUGCAUGUUAAUAAAUUAUGGAACAUGUUGGAUGGCAUAUGAAUGGUUGGUAUAUAUAUGUAGACAUAUUGUGGAAUAUGAUGAAUGAGUGCAUGUUGAUUUAUUGUAGAAUAUACUAGAUGAAUGUAUACUGACAUAUUGUGGAUUAUGUUAAAUGACACAUGUAUGUUGAACUUGGGUCGAUAAACUCUAGGUGAAUUAGAGAACUCGAUAUUGGAAAACAAUGACAUAUGAACUAUGAUAUGUGACGUGGACAAUCUAUAUAUAUUAGAUCGAGUGGCAUAUGAUUAGUAUAGUGGAAACAUUUAUGGCAUGUUGAACACUUAGAAAACAAGUGUGUCAUGAAUCCGAGAAUAUAGUAGUGCAUAUGACACAAGUGAUAGUAAAGAAUGUAAAGAAAAGAAUGAUUGAAAUAUUAUGACAUUUCAACCCUAGAGUUAGGGUCAUUUGAGUAUAGUCUUCCUAAAGUUAAGGAAUGGAUUGAACUUGACAUCCUCAAGAUUUUGGAUUUGAUCAUUAAUCAUACUCACCUUUAGUCCUUGCUCGAGGUUGUGGUAGCUCCCCCUCGGGCGAUGUGUUCCGGAGUCGACAUCACUGGGUUGUAACGGUUAUCUCCCCAGAGGACGGUCCCACCGGGUUGUAGCGGGUAUGUCACGCCCCGGGACCGAUACCAAUUUGGCCCGACCCGAGCACGUCAAACAGACGCCGAACGGACAGAGUUUCCCCUAUCCGCCCAAGGCUCAUCACAUGUACAUUUUCAUCAAUAGAGAAAAGCACUAGCGGAAACAUACACAAACGGCUUACACGAGGGUAAGCAAUUGCCACGAGUGAAAGAAAGGAAAACUAAACAUUCGCUUGUACUGUGAUUCAAUUUAGAUCAUAUACAUACAUCCAACUUGUAAUUUUUUUUGAAUUUCUUACAUUUCGUUUCAUCAUUUCUUUCGUACAUCACAUUUACCACAAAAUACACAUUACAUUCUCUUCUUUACAUCAUUUAUCAUCAUGUACAAAAGAUGAUCAUAGGGUACUUUACUACAAAAUGAAACCCAACUUUGGUGGCCUCUUACUAAGGCGCGAUACCUUUACCUCGGUCGCUCGCCGGCUCGCUCGGUCCCGGCUCUGUGGAAAUAGUGGGGUGAGAACUACAACAAAGUUCCCAGUGGGUUCGGCCUCAACAUCACCGACUUUCCCACUAGGACUAACUCAGGCAUAAUAGAAAGGGUAAACUGAAAUAGAGUAACCAAUCUACAUCAUGAUGCUAAUAUGCCUGAACAAUAAGCAAGGAAUAUGCUCAACAUUAACAUAUGCAGAUUAUGCAAGUUCUUUGUUCUUUGCACUUUACUCUUUGUUCUUUGUUCUUUGUUCUUUGCACUUUGUUUUUUGCUCUUUGUUCUUUAAUCUCAAGGCUAACCCGGGGGUUUCGCCACAUUAACUUGCUUCACAUUAAGUCCAUCAUCGCAAGAACUCACCCGCUAGGACCGUCCUUCGGGUUUACUCCAACCCGUGAUGCAUAACUCCGGAGCGCAUCGCCCGAAGGGGAGCGACCGCCCUCGAGCACGGAACUCAUAGCAAGUAUGAUCAUAUCCUUAACUCAAAGGAUUUAUAAGUUCAAUCUUGACUUUACACUAGCUCUAGUGUUCAUUACAUCACUUUUUGUUGCCACUCUAGCAAUCAUUGUUCUUUACCAUUCAUUACUCUUGCUAUCUCUAGCAAUUAUAUUCUUUACAUUCUUUACUUUUGGCCACCUCUAGCACUUCAUGUUCUUUACUCCCCACAUUACUUUAACUUUAAACAUUGUCAUUUUCAUCAUUCUUUACAUUGCUUUGGUUCUUUGGCUCACACUAACUCUAGUGUCACUUUACUUUACGUUUUCAAAUGCCACUCGAUUUAUGUCAUUGUCUCACUCUGUUCUUUUGCUCACUUUGGGUGCUCACUUUUCUCUCAUGCAUACACAUAGGGUUUCCGACAUCACAUAGUUCUCAUUCAUCAUAUUAUGCAAGUUGUACUCACAAUCAUGCAUCAUUACGUUUUCAUCAUUACUUUACCCUGAAAUGCAUGCAACAAUAUAUAUACAUAUGCUCAAAUGAAUGACACAUUAGGCAUAGAGAGAAGUUCAAUGAGUUUGAGAAGCACCACCCACCUCGUAGGCUUUCAAAGGUGCUCCGAUGAUUUUCUUGGGAUUUUUAGACGCUUCGUUCUUUACCUGCGGCAUAACGAAGCCAAAUUAGGCUUAUUUGGCCAUAACUUUACAUACACUUUUGGUAAUGCUAUUCCGAGCGCACCAACGCGUCAGAAAUACCCCCAAUUAGGUUUCUAAAGGGUUAAUUGCACUUAGAAAUCCCUAUGAGCAAAAGCCUCAAUUUGGGUGCCCUAGCUCCAUAGCAUACAUCAAACCUAGGGUUUGAUCUUAUUGGGAAGCAAAAGUAGCUUCAAUAUACUCUAAAGAGUUCAUCUAAACCAUUCCUAGCUCAUUCCAAAUCCUAGUUUGGAUUUCACCAUUAGAGGUGUUGAAGCUCACCUUCAAGCUUCAUCUCUAUACCAAACCAUGGUUUUGAUCUCAAAAGAAGCAAAAAGAAAGCUUCAAAGACUCUAAAUACUCCAUAAAAACCAUCUCUAGGUCACAUUGCUCCCAUUUUAGGGUUUUAGCAUGAUUAGGGUUAAAGCUUACCUCAUAAGCUCUCCUUUUCCAAGCUAGAGAGGAAGAAGAUGAAGUUGCUUCACCUCUUGAUCUUCUUCUUCACCUUCUUUUCCUUCUUUUCUUUUUUUCUUCUUCUUCUCCUUUGCCUUCUAGAGAGAGAGAGGGAGAGAAGAGAGUGUGAGAGGGUGAGGAAAUGAGAGAAAUAUCUCAUUUGCCCUCAUACAUAGCUAUUGGGUUGCAUAAUUGCUAAUAAACCCCUCAACUUUCACUUUAAUGCACUGCCCGAACUAGGCUGAUCGCGCAGGCAGGGACCGGUCUCUCCUUCAGGGACCGGUUCCCGAAGGCUCUCCCCGCGCAGCCAGAGCUGCUGCACGCAGGGCAACCGGUCUCCCUUUGGGGGACCGGUCUCUCGGGGACCGGUCUCUCGGACAGGGACCGGUUCCCGAGAGCUACUUUCUCAGGACUUAGCCGAUUUUUCGGCUGUCUCAUUUCAUACGUGUUCGGGAACCGGUCUCUCCCACCAGGGACCGGUCCCCGAGAGCUGAAAAUCUACAGUUUUGCAGAAUUUGAUUCUUUAGCUCUCGAAAACCUUCCACAACGCACUUUUGAUCGUUUUAACACCUUCGGAUUUUCCGAAGUGUACCAUCCUCGCACUUUGGUCAACUUGACUAAAGUUCGAUAUUUAUUUUCCGAAUUUUCGGUAUAUUACAGAGUAUCUCCCCGGUUAAUGGGAUUUUGGGUUGGUGAGUUUGUUGAGGGCGAAACCUUCGGGUUAGCCAAGUGAUUGGGUAAUAAACUUAUGAGCUAUAGUGAUGUCCUAGUUGAGGGGAUUUAAGGCCGAGGUGCAAGUGAGACGUCCUUCGCCUCGGGCCUGGCUUUGUGCGGUACUCCGCAGACGAUUGACUCAAGACCGAGUCGGGCGGUUAGCUUUGUAACGAUAGAUGAAACUUUAUGAUUAAAAUGGUAAAUGACAGAAAACCUUAAAUGUCAAUUGGAUGAAAGUAGUAAUCGAUUGAAUUACUAGUUGAUUGUAUAGUCGCAUCAUUGCAUGAUCUUCAUAUUGCAUUUGUGAGGCAAUGCAUGGUUUUAUUCGUUGCAUAAUCAAGAUAUAUAUCUAUCUGUUUAUUGAACUAACUUGCAGUUGCCUCCCCUGGACCUAUUGGUCGAGCUUUUCCCUUGGGUGGCCUACUCACUGGGAACCAUGGAGUUGGUUCUCACCCUACAUGGUUUUGGGGUGUUACAGGUUCACACGUGAGCGGCGCGGCGGCGCGAGGCGAGGGCGUAGCAUCAUAGUUAGUGCCCUACCACCGAGACCAGAGAUAGCGGUACCCUGAGUCGGCUUUGCUUAGGGUUGUAGAAAAUGAAAAGAAUCAAGUUGUAAUAAUCAUGUUAAAUCGGAUUGUAUUUUGAAGUUGAAUGUAAUAAGUAUUUGGGAUGUAAAAUGUAUGAAUGUGAAUGCUUGUAAUAACAAGUAGAUUAUGUUUUUGAUACUUCCUUAUGCAAUCUUUGAUUGAAAUGUGUUCCUUGUUGGAACUUUGUACAUUGUAUUGAUUGCGACGCCUUGAAUGUACAGGGGAGACUCUGUCCGUGGUACAGGGGAAAUCCUGUCCGUUCGGCGGUCUGUCGGCGUGCCCGAAACUGACCAAAUAGGCGGGCUCGGGGCGUGACAGAUAAGAUGGUAUCAGAGCAUAAAAAGAACAUAAAAAGAACAAUAGAAAAUGGUUUAGUUGGACCUAGGAGACCCUAGGAUAGUAAACCAUAGGAGAUUAAGGCUCGUGAGAGACGAGGACUUGUGACUUUUGGCGAAAGGUUAGUUGAUUGGGUUGUGUCGUAAACCUCUAAAACGGAUGUUAGAGGUAGAUUCAAGGUGUGGUUUAUUCUCAACCAAUGGUGUUCGUGUUGGGCGCGCACAACAUGAAACCGAGUGAUGAGAAUAGACGCCCUUGCAUGACUUUCGCCCGAUUUGAGUCGGUAAUAAGUGUCUCGUGUUCGACCUAGAAGGUCGAGGAUUAAUAGAGUUGUUGCGUUUUAGGAAACGACAGCACUGCGUAGGCGAUCUUUGUUUAGAUCGGCGCUGGAUGGACCAAGUGGUGUCCCUUGGCAAUUUGAGACGAGCGGAGACUUGAGACUUCGCGAGCGAUUGGCCACUCUCGUGUGUGUGGCGGGGUAAUGAGCCGAAUUAGUGCAGUGUUAGCAGAAGGCUGCCAUAUACCGGGAGGAGCGAGUUAAGAGACUCCAAGAGUUGGGGGAUCAGUAGUGACCGCACCAGUUCCGGCUGGUUAAGUACGGCCGGGAGUCGCGACGAAGGUGUGGUGGACAGGUGUCGAGUGGGAUUGACUGCCUGGUCUCCCUCAUGUGGUUUGGGACGAGUUUCGGGGAUCGUAUUCCCUGUUUACUCCCCUGAUGAUGGAAAAGAAAGCUUCAGGAAAGGUUCUCGAAGCUGCGGCAGGUAGACCGCGCCAUGAGGGAAUACGAGCGGGAAUUCUCCCGUGUCGUGAAUUGCAUCCUGGACAUAGAGCGAGAUAAUGAGAACGAAACUCCUUUUAGGAGGGGAGAAUGUAACGUACCGAAAUUUCGGUAAAUAAACAUCAAACUUUAGUCAAAUUGACCAAAGUGCGUUGAGAGAAAUAGUUGGAUAAAGUCCAAUUGACAUUCCGACGAUGUUGGAAGGAUAAAAAUUGGGCUCUAAAAGAGUUAGAAUGGUUUUAGCAUCGAUCGGUGCGAGUUGGAGUCGAAAACAAGCUAAAACUACGUUCUUGAGGAAAGUGUACCGGUACAUGUUGAUGGUUGUACCGGUACAGCAAGUGGCCCGAGAAAAGCAUUGCUCUCGGGUUUGAGUUUUCGCAGAAGUGUACCGGUACACCCCUGGUUUGUACCGGUACCCUUUGGUAAAAUCUGAGGAGGUUGCUCUCGGGUUUGCCUCUGCACAGCUUUGUACCGGUACAAAAGCCCGUGUACCGGUACACGAUUGGUCAGGCAGCAGAUUGAGAUCUGCUGCAAAUGAGAAAUGUUGGGGGGGGGUUUAAAUGCAGUCGUGGCUGUUUGUAUAAACCCCACACCUCUUCUUUCCUUGUUCACAACAAGGAGUACCCCUUCAACUUCGUGUUCUUCCUUCUCUCACUCUUCAGGAGCUUUUCUAAAGAGGAGGAUUAGAGAAGGUUUGAGGAUUAGGCCUUGUGGAUAGAACAAGGCAGUGCAAUUGUGCGAGGGGAGCGUGAGUCCAAUUGCAAGGAAAAGGGAAAUAGAACGGCCAACGAGUGGAUUUGAUGGUCCGUCAAGUUUUCAAGUGAGUGCAAUGUGUUCGCGCUCGUGAUUCCGAGUUCCGGGGACCUACUGUGUUCGGUCCUUAGUGAGACGUGUCGUUUGUGGGUGUUUUCGUUACCCACAGUAUUGCGAGCUGUGAGAGGGCAAGUGCUACAGGUGUGGGCAACCGGGAUGUGCGCGGGACGAGUGUCCGCAAGGUGACAGCCGGGGCCUGACACUGGCGACAACCCAUUCUCUCUAGGAUGGCCUGCAGGUGUGCCAUCUGCGGCAUGGUCGGGAGAGAGGGCGUUGAGGACAAUGCAACCUAAAGGUUCGCGGUGAGCGCCGGGUGGCCGUAGAUACGCGACCUAGGUUGAGGACCCUGCUGCUGACGACGUCGUUGCAGGUAUGAGUUAAUGAUGCAAACAUAUGUUUUCCAUGAAGUAAAGUUGAUGCAUUGCAUGCAAUGGUUAUGUGGUUAAUUACUAUUAUCGUGCACGAGCAUAGUUGAGACCGAGUGGAUGGGUAAGCAUAGAUGCCCGGGCGUGCUCGUGUUGUGAGGGUGUAGCGGUUAUCUCCCCAGAGGACGGUCCCUCCGGGUUGUAGCAGGUAUCUCCUCGGUUAAUGGGAUUUUGGGUUGGUGAGUUUGUUGAGGGCGAAACCUUCGGGUUAGCCAAGUGAUUGGGUAAUAAAUCUAUGAGCUAUAGUGAUGUCCUAGUUGAGGGGAUUUAAGGCCGAGGUGCAAGUGAGACGUCCUUCGCCUCGGGCCUGGCUUUGUGCGGUACUCCGCAGACGAUUGACUCAAGACCGAGUUGGGCGGUUAGCUUUGUAACGAUAGAUGAAACUUUAUGAUUAAAAUAGUAAAUGACAGAAAACCUUAAAUGUCAAUUGGAUGAAAGUAGUAAUCGAUUGAAUUACUAGUUGAUUGUAUAGUCGCAUCAUUGCAUGAUCUUCAUAUUGCAUUCGUGAGGCAAUGCAUGGUUUUAUUCGUUGCAUAAUCAAGAUAUAUAUCUAUCUGUUUAUUGAACUAACUUGCAGUUGCCUCCCUUGGACCUAUUGGUCGAGCUUUUCCCUUAGGCGGCCGUACCCACUGGGAACCAUGGAGUUGGUUCUCACCCCACGUGGUUUUGGGGUGUUACAGGUUCACACGUGAGCGGCGCGGCGGCGCGAGGCGAGGGCGUAGCAUCAUAGUUAGCGCCCUACCACCGAGACCAGAGAUAGCGGUACCCUGAGUCGGCUUUGCUUAGGGUUGUAGAAAAUGAAAAGAAUCAAGUUGUAAUAAUCAUGUUAAAUCGGAUUGUAUUUUGAAGUUGAAUGUAAUAAGUAUUUGGGAUGUAAAAUGUAUGAAUGUGAAUGCUUGUAAUAACAAGUAGAUUAUGUUUUUGAUACUUCCUUAUGCAAUCUUUGAUUGAAAUGUGUUCCUUGUUGGAACUUUGUACAUUGUAUUGAUUGCGACGCCUUGAAUGUACAGGGGAGACUCUGUCCGUGGUACAGGAAAAACCCUGUCCGUUCGGCGGUCUGUCGGCGUGCCCGAAACCGACCAAAUAGGCGGGCUCGGGGCGUGACAUAGGCUAUACAUGUCCAAGUUCACCUCAUUAUGCCACUAUAGGAUUCUAUGUCACAAGACCCAAUCCUCAUGCGUCCCUAGUCCAUGUGUCAAGCCUUCGAUGCUACACUACUAAGAAAGCAUGCAAGGAAUUAGAAUUGCAACUAUCUACUAUCCUAUAUGUUAAGUUUUGUGUGUUGACAAGUUUCGUGAAGUGAGUCAGAGUCUUGAAGAAUCGGUGAGUGUCGUCGAAGAUUGAAGAAUUCAAGAUUUCGAAGAAUUUGGAAAGUAGCUCACAAUGUGAAUCACGACGUAAAGGUAAUGUGUUAAUUCAUGUUAUGGUGAUUCAUACUUAGUUAUAGGCAUUAAAAUCAUUGUUAUCAAUGUUUAGCUGAUUAGAAAGUGCUUCGGAACUCUGCGGAACCCGAAACAGUGCAAAGUGUGAAAAUUGAAUUGUGUACCGGUACAGCCAUUGCCCCGUACCGGUACAGCCAUCAACUUUGGCUUCGCAAAUUUUUGUUCUGUCAUUGUGUAACCGGUGACAACCUUUCGUGUACCGGUACACUGUGUAAAAUCGUGAAAACUUUCUAAUCCGACUCUAUUUGAUUCUAAAGUCUAUAAAUAAGCUAUUGGCGUUCUCUAACUGAUCAAGCAUCACGAAAAUACAUGUUUGAGAAACCCUAGAGGCUCGGAUUUCAUCUAAAACCUAUUUUCUACAUACUAGCCUCUUUUAGGUCAAAUCGAGAUUUUGGAUUUUGAUAUCAAUAUGCCGAUUUGAUUUUCGCUUCGCUUAGAGAUCUAUUUUCUGGUUUUCAUUGAUACUCUAAGCGAAGGAUCACCAUACACAUGAUGUUCUUCAUGGUGGCGUCGUGGAUUCGGCGUGACUGACGGCGGUUCGUGGAUUCGGAUCGUGGGCUCGUGGAUUUGAGUGACGUUCGUUGAUUCGGACGUGUGCGAGGCGUUCGUGGAUUCGAACGUGAGGGCGUGGCCAACCCAGAGGAUUGCGCGAGAUUCAUAGAAGGUUAAGAGAGGUUGAGUCCGUGGAGUCGGUAAUCACCUUGUAAUCUUUUCUCUUAGUGAAUUAUUUUUUCGCGUGUUGGUCCCAUGCGUUUUUCUCCAAGUUGGAGUUUUCCUACGUAAAUCUCGGUGUAAUUUUUAUUUUCCGCAUUUAUUUUUUAUCGCAUUGAGAUUUGUGGUUUUUGGCUAUUAUACCUAUUAACCCCCCUCUAGGUGUUAGAUACAAUCUAGAUAGAUCCUUGGGCUCCUCAAAACUUUCAAUUAGUAUCAGAUCGGGAUCUAGAUGAAUUGUUAUCUAAUGGCCGAAGGCGGAAACAUUAAUCGAUCACCGCUCUUCGAUGGCACAAACUAUGCCUAUUGGAAAGUUCGCAUGAGAGCUUUUCUAAUUGCAAUCGAUGAGCGCGUUUGGCAAUCAAUCGAAUUUGAAUGGAAACAUCCUAUUGAAAAGAUCGAGAAUGUUGAAACGCCAAAACCACGGAACAAGUAGACGAAAGAUGAAAAUAAGGCAUCUUCGUUUAACGGCAAUUGCAUAAACGCUUUAUUUAAUGCAUUGUCUCAAACGGAGUUUACUCGUGUUUCGGCGUGUGAUACCGCCAAGGAGAUUUGGGAUACUCUACAAGUUACGCAUGAAGGAACAAGCUUAGUAAAGGUCCAAAAAUUACAAAUGCUAACAAGCAAGUUUGAUUCUAUUUGUAUGGAUGAAAACAAGACCUUUACCGAGUACUAUACGCGUCUACAAGACGUUGUUAAUACAUGCGCUAACUUGGGAGAGAAAAUCUCGAAUUCAAAAGUUGUUAGAAAGAUUCUUCGAACUCUUCCGGAACGCUUUCGGGCAAAAGUUGCCGCGAUCGAAACCGUUAAGCAUCCGGACGAGAUGAAAGUCGAAGAGUUAGUAGGUGCUUUACAAACGUAUGAGAUGACUUUUCCUACUAAUCAAUCUUCUUCCAAGUCUUUCUCUAAAAGCACAGGGGUUGCGUUAAAGUCGACGAAGGAGGAAGAUGAGGAUUCAAAUUUCGAUGAAGAUAUAUCGCUUGCUGAUUUCGAACAUCAACUUGCACUAUUAAAGAAGAAGUUUCGUCGAAAUUUUUGGAAAAAGCACAAGUUUGACAAGGCUACAUUGUCUAAGCAACAAACGUUUUCUAAGUCUUCAUCUUCUAAUAAGAAGAAGCGUGCAAAGGCUUCAAAAGAAAAGGAUGUAUUUGAAGGCAAGAUCCGAUGCUACAAGUGCAACGGAUUGUCCUUCAAAGAAAUCGUAUACUAAGAAGUCAUUGCAAGCGAAGAUGUGGGAUGAUACGACUUCAAGUGAAUCAAGCUCAAGUGACGAAGAAAAGAAUGGAAAUCUUGCUUUAUUUGCUAAAUCUACCUUGCCUUCGUCUAACAUUGUGUGUUUAUCCUCUAUUAUAUCUAGUUCCAAUAUGUCUACUUCUUCGCAUGUGUCUUCUAGUGAUAACGACGAAAGCGAGGAGGAAUCAAACAACGAGGAUAUAGCAGAAGCAUACAAUCAACUUAUUGAAUCAAAGAAGAUGGCUAAACUUAAUAAGAAGUUGAGGCGUCGUUUUGUUGAAUCUCGAAGAGGAUAGCAACAACUUGAAGACCACGAACAAAGCACUCGAGGAGGAAAGGGAACAAAUUUUGAAAAAUAAUUCGGACCUCCAAGAGAAGCUUAAUGAAGCGGAAUCAACAAUCAAAUCCUCUAAAGACAAGAUUGGAUUUUUGGAGCAUCAAUUUGAGAAAACCUACACAUUCAAUCAAUCCUUGACCAACCAAGUUUGACAACUCAAAUCCGACAUACAAAAGUUCUCAUCGGGAUCGAAGAAAUUAGACCAUAUGCUCGGGUUGGGUCAAACGGAUAAGUUAGGCCUCGGAUACGAAAGAGUUUUUGUUGAGAAGGGUUCUAAAUCAACUUCGAAAGUCUCAACAACUUUGAAAGACAAAGCGUGUCAUCGAUGUGGCGUCAAAGGACACAUCAAAAGGAAUUGCCCAAACAAAGAAAAGAUAAAUCAAUCAGCAAGGUCUUCACAUCGAUCAACAACUUCUAAACUCCAAGCAAAUCGAUUUUCUUAUGUGCAACACCAAAUCUGACCGAACCCAAAAGCUAAUCGGAUUUCUAAACCUCAACGACAAAUUCAACCAAAGCCUCAAGCGAAGAAACCACCAACGGUUGAUAAAAAAUCUAAGCAAACGGCACCAAACGUCGACAAGCCGAGAAAACCAAAGAUCCGACAAGUUUGGAUCCGGAAAGGUGAUAUCUUUCCUUGCUUCUCGUCUUAGUUGUUUUUGAUUUCUUGUGUAGUGCUUUGAUAGGUGCUUAUUGCAUAUUUUUAUUCAUUGCAUUACAUGUUUAGAUGAUUUUUUGGUGUUUUGAAUUUUAUUUGUUUAAAAAUCAUUUUGAGGAAAGGUGUUUAGGAAUUCAAAAUUUUUGAGAAAGGAGUGAUUGAGAAUCAUUAUUUUGAGGAGAGAAAUUUUUCAAAGUCGCUUAAACGGUAUUUAACUUCACAAUCAUUUUAAGUUAAAUUCAUAUUAAUUAUCAUUUUUACUCCACUUUUUAUUAUUCUGACGAUAAUUUAAUAUAUGAUUUCUUAAUACAUAUAUUCAUCAAAAUUUUGAAAUCAAAUUUGAUCUCUUAGUGAUUAAUCUAUCUCGGUUGUGUGUGUUGAAUAUGAUAGAUAGAUAUUCGCUAAUAGACUAAAAUUUGUCAAAAUAUUUUCAAUUGUGAGAUUGUCUAAUUUAGAGGGAGUUAGAAAUUAAAAAAAAAACUCCUAUGUUUAAAAAGAUGUGGAAAGAGUUACAUCCAAAAGGAGUGUGAAAACUACCACCACAUGUAGGAAAGAGCUGCCACCCCGGUCGUCCGGCAAGUGUGUGAAGCUACCACAUGAAGAUUGAGUUGAAUAACCGAAAAGGUUGAGAAAAAUUUGAAUAUUUUAUAAUUUUCGGAGUAAUAAGGUGUUAGUUUGAAAAAGAUGCUCAAAGAGCCACCUCCGGUAUCAUAUUAGUUAAAUCUCUAUUUUGAACGGAUUGUGACAAAUUAGUGUCAAUUUUGCCGAAUUUCUAAAAAUCAUUCUUCGUGAACCGUUACAUCUUGAUGAUUUUGAAACUUGAGGUCAUUUUUGAUAAUGAAAUUUUGAUGUUUCGAUGUAUUUUGAAAUCUUAUAAUAUUUUAUUCUCAUUAUAGUGAUUUUUUGAGUAAAAUCCUUAAUUUAUAUAAAAUUAAUUUAAUUUGAUGGAUUUUUAAAGUAAAUUUUUUGAAAUCUAGGAUCGUGUACCGGUACACAAACCCGUACCGGUACGGUUACUGUAGCAGCGGCUUAUAUAACCGGAUAUAGGAUUUUAUUUCUUCCUCAAAUCAAAACCAAAUCUCUUUCUCUUUGUUUCUACGACUCCCUGGGAUCCUCCUCCUCCAGAUCCACGAAAUUUCCCCCCGAAUCUGUAAGUUUUUUGUUGGGAUUUCAUGAUUUCAUCUCGUUUUUGCAUAUUUUUCGAAAAAUUUCGAGUUCAUGCUCAGAUCUCUGUUUUUGAUCGUUUUUUAUGCAAUUUUUUGUUGUAGAUCAGUGUUUAAUGACAUUAUCUUACUUCUAAAACACUUGAAUCAUAUCAAAACACAUUAUUUUUCGCUGAUCUAUAUUCUAAGUUUCAUUUUGCAUGUAAUUUCGGAAUUUUUGAUAAAAUGUCAUUUUUGAUGAAAAUUUUUUUCAUGAUCUGGUUGAAAAUAGCAUUAGUAUGCAUUCUAAUGUUAUUAGAAAUUUUUUCACUAUUUUUACAGAUUUUUUCAAAAUUUUGUUCAUGCAAGGUUAAUUUUUGUAUAGAAAAAAUGACGUUUCACUUGUGUUGAUGAUUUUGGUGCUGAUGGCCGCAAAACGUGGUCGAGGUGGUGGUAGAGGUCGUCAUGGGGCCUCUAAGAGGACACGUAUAAUGGAAGAAGCGUUCGGAUCUGAUCCGGAUUAUCAGGCAAGCUCCCCGGAAGAGGCUGAAGAACCUAUUGCUCGUCUUGACAAGGGCAAAGGUAUAGCUGGCGAAUCCUCGCGUGGCGGUGGUUCUCGUGCAAGAGAAACUUGGUCGAAGCAUGCCGCGGAUGUUCCCCCAGAGCGACGGAGGAUGUUCAUGAGCAAGUUUUGUAUUGCAGAGCGUUAUGUCAACUUCAAUCAUCUUAUACAUGACGUUCCUGACUUUGGGCGGUUACUUCAGCGGGUUCCUAUUGAGCCAGUUGGUAGGGUUCCUGCUCGAGCUCCUUUUUAUGUGGAACUCAUUCGUGAGUUCUAUAUGAAUGGGAAGGUACUUGCAGAAGAUGAGGAGACCGGGACUUUUCUAUUUGAGACAUUCGUGCAUCAGCAGAAGGUUGUCGUUACCCAAUAUACUAUUGGAGAGCUUUUGGGGAUGAAUGUGGACACUACGGGUCUUCUUUAUACAUCAGGAGGAUUUCAAUCAUCAUCUCACUGGGAUACAGUUGUAGCAGCUAUCUGCAAAGCUGGAGUGCAGACUAAUCGUGCUUAUGUAGAGUCCAAGGAUUUGCGACCAGAGUAUCAUCUACUGUCCUUGGUCUUGAGCUACAAUGUGCAACCAACGAUUGGAACAAAAAGGAUUCGUUGGGAUCGUUUGCUUUUACUGCAUCUACUUGGUCACCCGGAGCAAGCAUAUGGAUUGAACAUCAACAUUCCAUUUCUGAUGUAGCAGCGGAUGGUUCAUGACAUUCAGGCUUCUGCCCGACGGGAUCUACUUCCAUUUCCUCUUUUGAUCACGAGGAUUUUGCAGGACAAUGGAGUGGAUGUUUCUUGCGAGAAGUAUGAUUUUGGUCUUGGUCCAAUCGAUGCUGUUACCUGGGCCAAGUCGGUUAGCACGCUAAAGACUUUUUAGAAAACAAAAGGACCAUCGCUAACAGCUCCUAGCCAGGCACCUCCACCACGCGCAGAGCGUGAAGGAUCUUCCAGUUCAGGGGGAGAAUCACUUCGCUAUGAAGUGCAAUCUUUAAAGAAGAAAGUGCAGAUCUUGCUAGGAAGGUGGAAGUAGGUAUGAAGAGGAUGAUGGACAAAUUGGGAUGUAGACAUGAUGAUAUUUUUCCUACUCAGCCUGUCUAUACGAGGUAUACUUCGCGACAUCCUCUUAUUCCUCCACCUACUGGAGCUUCGGAUGCGGGAGGUUCUGGAGCUGGCGCUGGAGCUGACGAUGAUGACGACGAGGACACGAAGUGAUUUCUUCUUCGAGCUUGGUCUUUCUACUUCACUGUGUUUGCUGUUUAGGAAAAUGUUUUAGUUUAGUUUUGCUUGCUUAUCUUUCUUUGGUAUGUUUUUGCUUUUGUUUUAGACCUGUAACUAUGACUUGACUAUUCUUUUGCGUCUUAGUGUAUUUCCUAUCUAUAUGCUUUCUUUUGGUAAUUUUUGACAAAAAGGGGGAGAUCAUAAGAAGAACAGGUAUUGAUCAAAGCAGAGCAAUGGAGAGGGUGAUGAACAAAGGGAGAGAAGAAGCGUAAAUUGUAAGAAUGUCCAGGUUUGAACUUUCUAUAUCUUUUUGGAUAAAUUGUGUUGCAGGACAUCAAGACUUCAAGACUCCUAGUUGCGUCUAAGUCAUAGAGUCUGUUUUAGGAGUUUUGAUGUACAUUUGCAUUUCAUAUUGUAUUUGGAUCACAUGUGAGGAGUUCAAUGUUUUGGUGAUGACAAUAGAACUUCUAUUUUUUUAAAAUUGUAAUUUUUGAGUUUGUGUGAGUUUUGUCACGAAAUUGCCAAAGGGGAAGAUUGUUAAGUCUUGUGUGUUGGCAAGUUUCGUGAAGUGAGUCGGAGUCUUGAAGAAUCGGUGAGUGUCGUCGAAGAUUGAAGAAUUCAAGAUUUCGAAGAAUUUGGAAAGUAGCUCACAAUGUGAAUCACGACGUAAAGGUAAUGUGUUAAUUCAUGUUAUGGUGAUUCAUACUUAGUUAUAGGCAUUAGAAUCAUUGUUAUCAAUGUUUAGCUGAUUAGAAAGUGCUUCGGAACUCUGCGGAACCCGAAACAGUGAAAAGUGUGAAAAUUGCAUUGUGUACCGGUACAGCGAUUGCCCCGUACCGGUACAGCCAUCAACUUUGGCUUCGCAAAUUUUUGUUUCGUCAUUGUGUAAUCGGUUACAGCCUUUCGUGUACCGGUACACUGUGUAAAAUCAUGAAAACCUUCUAAUCCGACUCUGUUUGAUUCUAAAGUCUAUAAAUAAGCUAUUGGGGUUCUCUAACUGAUCAAGCAUCACGAAAAUACAUGUUUGAAAAACCCUAGAGGCUCGGAUUUUAUCUAAAACCUAUUUUUUACAUACUAGCCUCUUUUAGGUCAAAUCGAGAUUUUGAAUUUUGAUAUCAAUAUGUCGAUUUGAUCUUCACUUCGCUUGGCGAUCUAUUUCUUGGUUUUCAUCAAUGCUCUAAGCGAAGGAUCACCAUACAUAUGAUGUUCUUCAUGGUGGCGUCGUGGAUUUGGCGUGACUGACGGCGGUUCGUGGAUUCGGAUCGUGGGCUCGUGGAUUUGAGUGGCGUUCGUGGAUUCGGACGUGUGCGAGGCGUUCGUGGAUUCGAACGUGAGGGUGUUGACAACCCGGAGGAUUGCGCGAGAUUCAUAGGAGGUUAAGGGAGGUUGAGUCCGUGGAGUCGGUAAUUACCUUGUAAUAUUUUCUCUUAGUGAAUUAUUUUUUCGCGUGUUGGUACCGUGGGUUUUUCUCCAAGUUGGAGUUUUUCCACGUAAAUCUCGGUGUGAUUUUUAUUUUCCGUAUUUAUUUUUUAUCGCAUUGAGAUUUGUGGUUUUUGGCUAUUACACCUAUUCACCCCCCCUCUAGGUAUUAGAUAUAAUCUAGAUAGAUCCUUGGGCUCCUCAAAACUUUCACUAUAAUGCAUAAUAUCCAUAUAUGAUCAAUAUAAAGAACUUAGACAUAAAAAAAAGCUCAGUUGCUUCGGGAUGGACACCCCCACCUUUUGGUGAUGUCUUGAAGCUACGAAUCCGUUUCCAAAAUUUUUGGAAGCUUACGGCGCGAGCUGCGGCAAUCUGUACCUCUACGGCUUAUUUCCUCAAAAUUUUAAUGUACGCUCGUCAUUUCGCCAAACCAAGCGCACCAAUGCGUCAGAAUACCUACCAAUUAGAUUAGAGAAGGGUUAAUUAAGAUCAAAACCCUCUAUGAACAAAAGCCCUCUUUUGGAUGCCCUAAAAGCCUUAAUAUUGCAAUAGCCCCAUACUAGCAUUUAUUCUUGCAAUUAGUGAGUUCAUCUACUACUAGAGGUCCAUUAGAGUCCAUCUAGGUAGGUUCUAAGAGAUCAAAGCAAACCCUAAGCUACUUGCCAUGAGAGAGGGUUGAAGCUUACCUCUACUAGCUAGACUAAAGAGAGGAAGAAGAGAUGAGGAAGAUGGUAGCUUUCCUCUUGAUCUCCUUCUCCUUCUUCUUCUCCUUUCCUUCUUCCUUUCCUUCUUCUCCUUCUUCUAUUCCUAGAGAGAGAAAGAGAGGUGUGUGUGUGUAUGAGAGUGUUGGAGGGAAUGAGAGAAAGAGAGAGGGGAAAUGCCCACUUAACCCCUCUCAUGCAAUAUUUGCACUUAGCCCCCUCCACUUUGCCUCUUGUGCACUGCCCAAACUGGGCAGAUUUCGCAUGCGGGGAUCAGUCCCUCUAUGGGAGGACCGGUCCCCAAGAGCUGCCUCACACGCAGAGCCCUCGGGCCAGCCCUCUCACGCGCACGGGGACCAGUCUCUCCCGCCAGGGACCGGUCCCCGAGAGCCGAACUCUCAGGACUUAGCUGAUUUUUUCCUCUUUUCGCUGGCCACGCGUACGGGGACCGGUAUGUCUCACCAGGGAACGGUCCCCGAGAGCAAUACUUGUGCGUAGAGUUUUUCUGCAGCCGACAAUGCUUACGGGGACCGGUCUCUCCCCCCAGGGACCGGUCCCCGAGAGCCGAACUCUCAGGACUUAGCUGAUUUUUUCCUCUUUUCGCUGGCCACGCGUACGGGGACCGGUAUGUCUCACCAGGGAACGGUCCCCGAGAGCAAUACUUGUGCGUAGAGUUUUUCUGCAGCCGACAAUGCUUACGGGGACCGGUCUCUCCCCCCAGGGACCGGUCCCCGAGAGCAGAAUCUGCCAAAUGCAGAUUUUCAUCAAUUUGCUCUCCGUGGUCCAACUUCAAUGCACUUUUGGUGCUUUUGACUUCUUCGGCUUUUCCGAAGCAUACGAACACGACCCUUGGUCGAUUUUAAACGAAGGCCAACUCUCGUAUUUCGAGAAUUCACUUUCUUACACACACACACGAUUUAUACAUGACGCAUAUGAUUAAGUUUUGUUCAUUUGAAUAGAAAACAUGUAUUUAUUACAAAUAUACACUCUUAUGGAUUAGUAGAAUGGUGCUAUAAGAUUUUUAGGAGCUGCUUUUCUACAUCGCAUGAAACAGAAUAUAUUACAUGUACUCUCCUAUAAAUAAUUAUUUUGUUUAUAUUCGUAGAAUUCAUAAUUUAGGGUUAGGGUUUAGAAAUUGGUACUUGAUAACAGCGUAAUUACUGGCAAACUUAUCGCGCACCGGGUGUUCGAUGAUUAACAACAAUGACCCUAUUUGCGUCAUUGUUGUCCCGGACGUGUGGGUCUUUGCAUGUAUGAUUCAAACUUGAUGCUCGAGGUCCAGGAUCCCUCAAUCGGGAUUUAAUGGUGAUCAGCUUGUAAAUGAUGGUUUAGGUGUGCAAUAUAGGUGAUUUUUGGCUCCGUUUUCACGAAAUGGAUUUUUGUUGCUGGUUGCAGUGGUUGGGUAGCCUCGUUGGCUCAUUGGGAAGUCACUGGUGUGAAACACGGACCAACGAUAGACCCUAGGUGGGUUCCGACACCAAAAUCAGCAUUUUUGGGUACCCGAUAAGGCGAGUUUUGGCGAUUUCGCAUUCGGAUCGCACCACUCAGCGUGCGGCUCUCCCAACACCCAAAAGUGAGUGUUUUGGGAUAGCGAGAAUGGUAGAAUAAAUUUCAGAGUGUUCAGAACACUUUAGGACUAAUCCGAAUCCCAAAAUAUGAAAAUGGAGUGGUUCAGGUGAGGUUUCUUGUUGCGCGGGUUGCUGCUGUUUGCAGCCGAGUAGGAGCCUUAUUGGCUGGUUUUUGUAAUGUACCGAGUCCUUGACGCGUAAACCAAACUUUAGUUGAAAUUGACCAAAGUGUGGUAUUGGACGCUUCGAAAAGGUCCGUUGAGCGUUCCGAACGCUCAGAAUGACUUAUAAGGGUAUAUGGGACCUUGGAGAGCAUUGUGGAAAAUUUUUAGGAAUUUCGUGCUAAAAAUGCUCUCGGAGUCGGAACCCUGGCUAUAGGGUCCGGACCCCGUACGCGAAGAAUGACAAGUUGAGUUGGGAUGUCGUUUGUGUAAGGGGUUAAGUGCAAGUGUGCAAUAGGAGAGUAUAUGGAUGGGUUUUAAACUCAUCUUUCUCAUUUCCCCUCACACUUCGAACCUAAGAGAAAAGCCUUUUUCUCUCUAAAUCUCUCUCUCUCUCUCCUAGGGUUUGCUCCAAGAGGUGGAGUUGGUGGAGGAGAGCUUGCUUGGUGGUGAAGCUAUCAUCUUUUCCACCCUAGGCUUGAGAAGAAGCUUGAGUUAAGGUAAGCCUCAUGGAUUUUUUUUAGGGUUUUGGAGUUAAGGUUUUGUAUAAUCCCUUAGAUGUGAGUUCUAAUGGAGCCCUAGAUGAAUCUAAACAAUGUUAUAGUAGAAACUACCAUGAGAUUUGGAAUUUUAUGCCGUAUGAGGAUUUUUAGGGUUUUCAAGAAAGCAUUUGAUCAUGAUGGGAUUUGAUCUAAAUUUAGCCUAUGUAAACCUAAUUGAAGGUAAAACUGACAUGGUGGGCAACUCAAAUCGGAGUUCCUACGGGCGUGCCGCGAGUUAUUGAAGAAAAGUACGGUUUUUAGUUUGUUUGUGUUGGGUCGAGCCGAAACGACGUCCAUAAAUAGUGAGGCUUGGAUUCUCGCACCUCGGCAUAGUAGAGAGGUGGGGGGUGCUAUCCGAAACAAUCGAAUUUCAUUUUAUGUCUAUGUCAUCAUAUUGGCAAUGUAUAUACAUGUGUAGGAUUCAUGCACUGUAGAGUAGUUUGUAUUGGUUAUUCCAUUCCUUUCAUGCUCUCAUGGUAAAUGUAGAAAAUAUGAUAUGGAACAUAGUGGGUUAUGUGCAUGAGGAUUGGAUUGAGAACAAGAACUCUAUAAUGCUAUGACAUUGAAACAUAAUGACAUAAAAAUGUGUCAUUUGGAUAGUAUAUUGAGAACACUCAUGACAUAAGGAUAAGGAUUGAUAUCUCCCCUGGCAUUUGUUACCACUAGUUGGUAGGGUAUCCUCGAGAUAGAGGAUUGGAUCAUACUCACAUUUCGUCUGUUCGCUUGGCGGUUGUCACUCCACCCAAGUAGUGAUUUUCGGAGUACUUCAUAGUAGGGGUUAACGUAGCUACCCCGCAGACGGUCCCCAAUGGGUGUAGCUAGGCUCCCCAUUUGCGGGAUUCGGUUAUGAGUCGGGCUCAACCUUCAGGUUAGCCAGUAUGAUUGGGUUAUGAAUCAUGGAUAGCAUGCAUCAUGAGCAUAGUAGUUGCUAGUACAUGUUUAUUGUACCCGUUUCUUGUAUCAUACUGCGAAGGCAUAGUAGCAUGCUAGAUGUUUAUUAUAUUGCUAACUCUUCUACUUAUGCCUGUUUAGACCUAGUGGUAAAAUUGGCAGGGUCGGCGACCGAACCCGUUGGGAACUUUUGUUAGUUCUCAUCCCACUUUGUUGCAGAGCCUAGCACAAGCGGAGCGGUCGAGGAUCACGGUAAGGGCAAAGCACCCUAGAUAGUAGCCUCCUUUGCAUUAGAGUACCAUGUACCAUUUUGAGAGAUAUGAUAUAUUUUGGUGAGGUUACUUGUGGAUGUAUAUGUAUUAUGAGCCAAGUGUAUGUAUUUUGAUGGAUGAAUGUAAAAAAUCAAGUGUGAAUGUAAUAACUAGUAUUUCUCUCUUGCGCUUGUUCAUAUUACACUCGCGCAAUCAUGUAUGUUGUUCAUGUUUUUACUUGGGCAAACUAGAUGUACAUGAUGUUUAUUGAGCCUUGGGCGAACAGGGGAAACUCCGUCCGUUCGGCGGUCCGCCCCUUGCGCCCGAUCCGACCAAAUUGGCAGUCUCGGGGUGGGGCGCAUGACAGUUUUAGUGUGAGGUUUGACACCUUUGUUUACAGUAUGAGGGCUGCGGGUGGUUUCGGUGCCGAAAUGAGCAUCCAGGAGCCAAAACAGUGAUUUCUAAGAUCUCGGUUUUAUGUUUUGGUGCACUUUUGUGCGGCUAUCCCAACGGCAAAAUAUUGGAGUUUUAGGAUAGCAGACAAGGUGGGUUAUGUAUUUGGCUUAUUUCGGACACCCCGUGGGUUGGGGUGGCAUGCUGAUGAGUUGGUGCAACAAUCAUGCGACCUUACGGUGACCAUUGAAUAGGAUCUGAAAAUUCGAUUGUUCGCUUAUUUGGAUUCAUAUAGAAUCAUAAGUGUCUGCGACCACGAAUGACGCACCUCGCACGGUCGAUGGAUUUGCCGUGGGAUUGUAUUCAUGAUUCAGAUUAGUAUUUAUAUAUAUAUGGAUAUCAGGUAUUGCGAGUCCAUGGCUUCCAAUAGAUGCAAGCAUCUACUGUUAAUUAUUCCCUUAAGAUUGGGACACCGUCGAUUAAGAGACCUUCAUAGAAAUGAUGGAAUGAAUUGUAUCUUGAUGGCUGAUUGAACCCUAAAUAUAUGUAUUACGAUUCAGUUGGAUUUGAAGUUGACUAGGUCCUAAGUAUAUGUGUUAAGAUCUAGUCGACAUUGAACUCUAAGUAUAUGUUUUAGAGUCUAAUUGGUUCUAAGUAUAUGUCUUAAAGUCCGAUUAUAUUUGAUUUCACUUUGGUUGUAUAUUCUAAGGAGAAGAUAUGACCAAAUCCCAAGUAUAUUUGUUUGCAGUAAAAUAAUACUUAUAUAGGAUGAAACAAUCCUAAUCAUAAUAAAAAAAAAAAAAACGAUAGAUUCGAGUUCAUACAAUCAUAGGUCUCGUGUUAACCAUUAAAUUUUUGGGCCAAUAAUUAUAGUUCAAAUAUACAAUAGGCCCAUUCAUAAAUGUGAGUUGGUGGGCCUCAUGAAAGCCCAUGUAAAUAAAAAUAAAGGGUCUCAUUCCAGCCCAUUAAAUAUUAUCAUUUGGACCCAAUAAAUUAAAGCGGGCCUGAUCAACGACGGCCCACAUCCACAUCCUAUAAAAUAUCUGUUCGAAAUUCGAUUUCAAGUCACAACCCAUUCAAAAUUCGAUUUCGAAUUUUGAAUUUCGAAUUCUCAACAAAUUUCAAAAAUAUCUUCCAACAAUCCAUUCAAAAUUCGAUUUUGAAUUUCGAAUUCCCAACCAAUUUCCAAAAUAUCCUCCAACAACCCAUUCAAAAUUUGAUUUCGAAUUCCGAAUUCCCAACCAAUUUCCAAAAUAUCCUCCAACCAUCCAACAACCCAUUUAAAAUUCAAUUUUUAAUUUUGAAUUCCCAACCAAUUUCAAAAUACCCUCCAACCAUCCAACAACCCAUUCAAAAUUCGAUUUCGAAUUUCAAAUUCCCAACCAACUCCCAAAAUAUCUUCCAACCAUCCAACAAUCCAUUCAAAAUUCAAUUUCGAAUUUCGAAUUCUCAACCAAUUCCUAAAAUAUCCUCCAACAACCCUUUCAAAAUUCGAUUUUGAAUUUCCAAUCAAUGCCCAAAAUACCAUCCAACUAUCUAAAAACUCAUUCAAAAUUCGAUUUCGAAUUUUGAAUUCCCAACCAACCCCAAAUAUCUUUCAACCAACCACAAUAACCUAUUCAAAAUUCAAUUUCGAAUUUCGAAUCCCUCAAAAUAUCUCUCACCAUCCCUCCCAUUAUAAAUACGAGAAUCGAGAUAAAUACGGGGGAGGAUACGAUUUUACGGAGAAGAGAAAAAAAAGAUAGAUUGCUACACACAUUCCCACGUACAAAAUAUUCAAAGAAGCGCUAAGCCGUGGAAAGGAGGAGAGAUCACUCGAGCUGCUGAAAGGAGGAGAGAUCGUCGAGCCGCAGAAAGGAUGAGAGAUCACUCGAGCCGCUGAAAGGAGGAGAGAUCGCUGAGCCGCGGAAAGAAGGAGAGAUCGUUGAGCCGCUUCAUCCAAUCCAUCAACAGGUAGUAAACAAAAAAGAGUAAGAAAGAAAAUAAAAUAAUAAUAAAACACAAAAAAAAAAUUCUCUUCUUCCCCCCUCUCUUUUUUUCUUUUUUUGGUCCUGCUACCGUAGUCAUCCAUACCAUCUAGAUGACUUCGAUGGCAGAGUGGAGGGGAGCCAAUGGCUUCCCGUUUCUUCGGACCUCUCAAUACCCCAUUCGAAGUUGUUGAGGAUGGAAUGGGUGAUCUACAUUGCUGCGACCACCCCAACAUCGAUGGCUUGAUAGUUUCGAAAGAAGAAUGGAGGGGAAUCUUUGAUUCCCCAUUUCUUUGGACCCUUCAACAUUUCUUCGAAAAUGUCAAAUCAAAUCCGAUGGCCGAACAGAUCCACGCCACCGUCAUCAACUUCACCGACGACAUCUACAGCAUUGCCGGUUUGAUACUUUCGAAAGAAAAGGGGGGGGAAUCUUUGAUUCCCGUUUCUUCGGACUCUUUAAUAUUUUUUCGAAAAUGUCAAAUCAAAUCCGACGGCCAAACAACUCCGCACUACCGUCAUCAACUUCAUCAACAUCAUUUACAACACCGACGGUUUGAUACUUUCGAAAGAAGAGGGGAGGGGAAUCUUUGAUUCCCCGUUUCUUCGGACCCUUCAACAUUUCUUUGAAAAUGUCAAAUCAAAUCCGAUGGCCGAACAGAUCCACGCCACCGUCAUCAACUUCGUCGACGUCAUCUGCAGCAUCGCAAGAAGAGGGGAGGGGAAUCUUUGAUUCUCCGUUUCUUCGGACCCCAAAUCAAAAUUAAAACGGAGAUUUCUUCGGACCCCAAAUUGGAACCAAAAUGGGGAUUUCUUCAGACCCCAAAUCAAGAUCAAAACGGAGGUUUCUUCGGACCCCAAAUCAAGAUCAAAACGGGAAUUUUUUCGGACCCCAAAUUAGAGCCAAGUGGGAAUUUCUUCGGAUCCCAAAUCAAAAUUAAAACGAGGAUUUUUUCGGACCCCAAAUCAUAAUUAAAACGGAGAUUUCUUCGGACCCCAAAUCGAAAUCAAACGGGGAUUUCUUCGGAUCCCAAGUCAAAAUCAAACGGGGAUUUCUUCGGACCCCAAAUCAAAUUGGAAAAUCAAAACGGAGAUUUCUUCGGAUCCCAAAUCCAAAUCGAAAUCAAAACGGGGAUUUCUUCGGACCCCAAAUCCAAAUCAAGAUCAAAAGGGGACUUCUUCGGACCCCAAAUCAAAUUGGAAAAUCAAAACGGGAAUUUCUUCGGACCCUAAAUCCAAAUCGAAAUCAAAACGGAGAUUUCUUCGGACCCCAAAUCCAAAUCGAAAUCAAAACGGAGAUUUCUUCGGACCCCAAAUCCAAAUCGAGAUAAAAAAGGGGAUUUCUUCGAAUCCCAAAUCAAACCAAAAUCAAAAGGGGAUUUCUUCGGAUCCGAACCAAAUUGCAAAAUCAAAAGAGGAUUGCCUCGAAUCCAAAAUAGAUUGAAAAGAAAAUCAAGUCGACAUACAAACCAAAUCUGAAUCAAGUCCACAUCCAAACAAAAUUCAAAUCCAGUCCACAUAAAAAUCCAAACCCAAAGUCCAAAUAAAAAAUUCAAAACCAAAUACAGUUCACAAAUAAAUCCAAAUAAAACCCAAACCAAAACCCAAAUAAAAUCCAAACCAAAUCAAAUCCAAACCCAAACCAAACCAAAACUCAAAUCAAAUCCAAACCCAAACAAAACGAAAACCCAAAUAAAAUUCAAACCAAAUCAAAUCCAAACCCAAACCCAAAGCCAAAGCCAAAUCCAGUCCACAUAAACAUCCAAACCCAAAGUCCAAAUAAAAAACCCAAAACCAAAUACAAUCCACAAAUAAACCAAAACCCAAAACCCAAAUCAAAUCCAAACCCAAAACCAAAUACAGUCCACGAAUAAACCCAAACCCAAAACCCAAAACCCAAAACCCAAAUCAAAUCCAAACCCAAACCCAAAUCAAACUUCCAACUUAGGCUCAUGAAUCUAAACCAUACCUAAGUUCGUGAACCAAAUCCCAAAUCCUAUCCCAAGUUCAUGAAUCAAGUCUCAUAAACCAAAACUCAUAAACCAAGUUCAUGAACCACGAACCAUAUCCAUGAACCUUACCCAAGUUCGUGAACCAAACACCACGGAUCA
This 93726-nucleotide long non-coding RNA is filed under the name Ananas comosus (pineapple). RNAcentral describes it as "long non-coding RNA (ACOM_LNC009993)". The record is from RNAcentral. Lineage: Eukaryota; Viridiplantae; Streptophyta; Magnoliopsida; Poales; Bromeliaceae.